RNAcentral lists this long non-coding RNA (93037 nucleotides) under Gossypium raimondii (Peruvian cotton). Its description in RNAcentral is "long non-coding RNA (GRAI_LNC004883)". The stretch from base 76378 to 76464 matches the Rfam family "MIR7486 microRNA precursor family". Lineage: Eukaryota; Viridiplantae; Streptophyta; Magnoliopsida; Malvales; Malvaceae. The record is from RNAcentral.
GGUACCUCCGCGGGUGCUCCUUCUAGUCCCAGCAUUGUUAGGCGCCGCACUUGGGAAGUCUUGGUUUCCCGUUGUACCGUAAGCACCCCCUGUAUCUCCGCCAAACCCCACACUGCUGAGGUCAUCUUGCCUGCCUGUAUCAUACCCACUACCUGCGGUGGGGUACCCACGGUUGUCAUGUCCACCGGUACCGCCAUAGCCACCAGUAUCCCCUCUGUUGUACCCAGCUGUGGUGUAGCCAGUACCACCAAUACCACCACCACCAGCAUGGCCAGCCGUGGCGUUAUGAUGGCGGGCCUCUUGUUUCCUCAGCUCUGCAUCUUCUUGUCUCUCUUCUUUCCUUUCCCUCGCCAUCUCUUUCUCAUUAGGGUCCCUUGUCUUCAUUUGGUCCACCUAAACACAUCAUCCAUUUCAAUAAAUUCUCAAAAUACAUAUCAACAAAUAUAAUGCCUUUAGUUGAAAGGGUAACAAAGAUAUUAACCUUUUCCUGCAUGGAGGCCUUGGCCUUCUCCAUGCCGGCCUUAGCAGAGGCAGCAGCAUCCUUCAUUGACUGCAUCUUCAAUAUUUAGUGAAAGGGUUUUUAGGGUAUAUUUGCUUGCUGAUGAAGUUGAUGCUCGAACUCCAAAAUUCUUGCCAUUAAAUAGGACCCAAAUGAUAGUUGCUCAGCUGCCACGUAUAAAAGUAAAUCUGACACGUAUGCUCCUUGGAUCAUUGAACUGCUUACACGUUUCAGCCAUAUGGCAAACAUGUAAGGCUUAGGAUGUUUGUUUAAGUAUUUUAAUCAAUUAGAGACAGGUAAAUCCAAGACAAGAUAAGAUAAGGUGGCGACAAGAAGCCGGUAUGGCUGCUGUCGGCUAUGGAUUGUUCACCGCAUCCACGCAGAGCUUUGACAUUUAGAAAUACGUUUUACUAUUUUUAGAAUAAAUAUAAACUUUCGGGUUAAUUAGAUGAAAAAGGUUUAUUUAAAAGUUAAUUAUGGAUUUAGAUUUUUUUGUCAAAUUUAGAAAAAUAAGUCGAUUUUGGGGAAAGAAACAUAAAAUAUGUCUAGUAGGAAACGUUUUUUGUUUCUAAAAUUUUUUUUUUUUUUGUGUUGAGUGUUGGAAAUUUGAGGAGAAAGAUUUAUUUGUGUUUGUGUUUGAGGUAGGCAUUAUGAUAAUUUUAAGGUAUGUUUGAGUUCACGGUAAUGCAAUGACGCUCGAAGACCCACACAUUUCAUCUACCGUGUGCAGAUAAAACCAUCACCUUAGAAGCUCAUCACAUUUCAACUCAGGCUCCUAGUUCAUGAUGACUAUACAGUCACAGGUUGAAGUAUAGCUAGGGCUCUCAGUUGACGGUGGUUAAACGAUCACAGGUUGAAGUAUAACUCAGGCCUAAGUUGACGGUAGUUAUGUGGUCAUGGGUUCAAAUUUCAUGAUAUCUAAAGAGGAUGCUUUAUAAAUCUCAUAUAUAAGUUUGAGACCAUCAUAGGGAAAAACAAAGAGAUUUUCCAGUAUAAUCAACUUAUUAUUUUUCUUCAUCCCCACCAAAGGUAGUAUCUUUAACCUUAUUGUCCAUAACCUGUGACAGUGUUGGGCGCAAGAAGACUUUCAGGGAGAGGAAUGAUUGUGACGGUGGAGAAAAAGCUGAAACUCGAGUUGUAACAGCAACUGCCGCCUCGACUCCCGUUUCAAACAAUGAUGUCUACUUUGAUGGAGAUGGAGAAAAAGAAUAAGUUGAUUAUACUGGAAAGCCCCCUUUUUCCCCGAUGAUUAUGAUCUCAAACUUAUGUAUGAGGUUUAUAAAACAUUCUUUUCCGAUGGCAUGAAACUUGAACCCGUGACCGCAUAACCAUGGUCACCUGGAGCCCUAGUUAUACUUGAAUCUGUGAUUGUAUAAGUAUAACCACUGUCAAUUGAGAGCCUGAGUUGCAAUGCAAUAUCUUCUAAGGUAAUGGUUCUAUUGUAAUGGCCCAAAUUCAAAGUUAUCGGAAUAGUGGUUUCGUAACCACAAAUCCGAUUUAAAGAUAAAUUUAUUUUAAUAUUUUUGCAUGAAUAUUUAUAUGAUAGGAAAAUCAUAUGAAAAUAUCGAUAGAAAAAUUUUACCGAUUUAGUGGUUAGUUAGAAAAAGAAAUUAUUGAAGAAAUUGGGUAAAAAUAAGGUAUCGAGACUUUGAUCUCGUAAAACUGAGUCAAAAAUAAUUUUAUAAAUAAUUAUGAAAUAUUAGUAAUAUGGUAUAAAAAUUUCGUUAGAAAAUUUUAAUGUUUGGAUAGUCAAUUACGUAAAAAGGACUAAAUUGAAAAGGUGUAAAAGUUACUAGAAGGAUUAAAUAGCCCAAUUGUUAAAUGAGGAGGGACAUAAAUUGAAAUAAUCCCAAAAGAAGAUAUUUUGGGCGGCAUACGUUGAGAAAAAUCAGGAGAAUUGAAGAAUUAAGGGUAAAAUUGGAAUAUUGCAAAAAUUGCUUUAAAAGUUAGGACUAAAGUGGAAUAUCUAGAAUUCUCUUCAUAUUUUCUGCAUUCUCAUCAGCCAAAAACGUCCCAAGGGUUUCUUCAAGCUGGUUUUUCAUAAUUUUUGCACCAAGUGAGUUAAUGCUUGCCUUUUUCUUGUAAUCUUUGUGUUUCUAAGACUUUUACAACUAGGUCCUAUUACUAAAUUCAUUAGCUUUUGAUUUUAUGAAUGAAAUGGAAAGUUGCUAUGAAUAUGUGCUGGAAUUUUAUGAUGAAAUAGGAUGAAAUUGAAGCUUUAAUUUGUUUAUGAGAUGAUUUUAUUAGGUGAUUUCAAUAGAAAUUGAUUUGUAGGACCUAAUUGUGAAAAAGUUUGGAAUUAAAGUCUAAUGCUAAAAUUAUGAUUUCCAAAGGCUAUAAAGUAGUUUUAAGUGAUGGAAUAAUGUGUUAAUUUAUGAAAAAUCAGCUCAAUUGAGAGGUUAAUUGAGCAAGGAUGAAAUUAUCAUUUAUUGAAAGUUUAGGGAAAAAUGGUAAUUAACCUCAUGCACUAAAACAGUUUGGACAGCAGCAGUAGGUUAACUGUGAAAAAUCACCAAAAAUUGUAGAAAUUGAAUUAGAGAAUGAAUAAAAUAUGAAAUUAAAUCUUAUUAAGUCUAGUUUCUUAUAAAAGAAAUGGUGUAAGCAAUGGAAUUGUAAAUCAUGAGAUAUUAGGUUUUGUGAGACAAGGUCAGAAUGAAUUCGGGUUCCCCUGUUCUGACUUUGGAAAAAUCAUUAAAAAUUGUACAAAAAUUAUUAUGAGUUAUAAUUUAUAUGGUUAGAAUACUUAAUGAGUAUAUUUUCAGAAGAAACAAACAGAAACAUCAUCCGAAUUCUGUACAAUGAGAUAAUUAAUUUUUAGUGAAGAGGGGUCGGAACUGUCAACAAGUGAAACAGGGGAAACUUUAAAGAAUAAACUGUACUUAUUGACUAGGCCAAAAAUUCUGAAAAUUUUAUGGUAAUAAGAUAUGUGAGUCUAGUAUAAGGGAAAAGAGGAUCUUAAUUUGGAGUUCUGUAGCUCAAGAUAUAAAAAAUUUAGUGANNNNNNNNNNNNNNNNNNNNNNNNNNNNNNNNNNNNNNNNNNNNNNNNNNNNNNNNNNNNNNNNNNNNNNNNNNNNNNNNNNNNNNNNNNNNNNNNNNNNCAUGAAAUGUAUUAGAUUAAUGAUUAAAUUUAUUUAUUUAGAUCUGGAAAAUUCAAAUACGAAGCUAGAUCGAGGAAAAGAAAAUUUUCGGGAUUAGUAGAUUUUUAUUUACGAACAAGUAUCGAGGUAAGUUCGUGUAACUUGAAUUAUAUUCUUAAAUGCUUGAAAUGUUUGUUAUUGUUGUGAAUAUGAGUUGUAUGUUUAUUGUAUGAUAAUUGAUGAAGUAUUGAUAUUCUUGAUGAAAAGAGAAAAUAAAUCCCAGUUGAAUGAAAGGAAAAUUCGAUAGAUCUUUGAAAAGGAAUUGACGGUAAAAAGGAUCUAGCCCGGACGGGUGAUCCUAUCCUGAUAUAGCCCUCCUGAAGAAUAUGUGGAAAAUGGAUUUAGCCCAGACGGGUAAUCCGAAUUAGGGUCUGAAUUUAGCCUGGACUGGUAAUUCAGAUCCAAGCUCGUUAGAGUAAUUGUCAUUGCAGGGGAUUUAGCCUGGACUGGUAAUCCCGACAAUACUCUGUGAGUUUAUAUUACAGGGGAUUUAGCCUGGACUGGUAAUCCCGCUGUAAGGAUGAGGUUCGCUGGAGUGUGCUAUCUGAAAUGGAAAUGUGCGCACAUAAAUAUGAAUUGACGGACCCGAAAUUGAACACUAAAGUGUACCUCUGAAAAUCCAUCGAAAUUCCAAGUAGUUCAACGGGGUAAAUAUGGAAAAAUGACAAGGAAAUGGAAAUCAUGGUAUUGAUGAGCUCAUCAAUCAUGGUAUAAAUUAUUGAUACAUGGAAAUUAUUGGACUAAUUUGAAUGUUAAGUUUGUGCAUGAUAGGGGAAUAAUGUAUGGAAUGGGUGUAUGAAUGUUUAUUACAUUGUAUGGAAAAUAUUAGGUAAGUAUAAUUCUUGUUACAUGAGCUUACUAAGCACAAAGUACUUAUCCUGUUUCUUUUUCCCCUGUUUUGUAGUGUUAAGAGCUCGGAGGUCGGAUUUGGUCGGAGACGCAUCACACUAUCAACCUCAAGAUCUCGGUACAUAAAGAAACUUAUUUUGGAAAUCAAUGGCAUGUAUAAGCUAGUAAAGUAGAUGUUAAUGUGGAAUGAAUGUAUAGUUAGUCAUUGGUAUGGCUACCAAAUUUUGAUUUUGGCAUGUGAUGAGAUUAUCUUAUGAAUACAAUAAAUCUAUCUUGAAAAUAUGUUGAAAUGGAUUGGUUAUGUUGGCUUGGUCUCGGUUUAAAAUUUGCAGGGAGGAUUAGAUAUUUAUAAAGGGGUUAUAUUGAGUUUAAAAAAAAAUCAGUAAAAUCUGGUAAUACCUCGUAUCCUAUUCCGGCGACAGAUACGGGUAAGGGGUGUUACAUCUAUCCCCACAAGACAAAUGAAAUAUGUAGAUCUCCAAGUGUCAUCGCAUCACCGUGAACUCAAACAUACCUUAAAACUAUCACAAUGUCUCCUUCAAACACAAACAGAGUUUUCUUUCCAAAUCUCCAACACCUAGCACACAAAGAAAAAAUAUUUGGAAGGAAGAAAACGCUUAUUGCAGGAUGCAUUUUCUUUUUCUUUCUCCAAAAUCAGCCUAUAUCUCUAAAUUUGAGAAAAAAUGACCUAAAUCCUUAAUUAAUUUUAAAAAAUACUCUUUCUAUAAUAUACAAAUACAUAUAUAUUGGAUAUAUGUGUAUAGAUAUAAAUCUUUUAGCACUUAGAAUAUAUUAAAACUUGACAAUGAAUAUGGGUUUCAUUUAGAAGUGUUUAUAGGUCUAAUUUUUUUAAAUAAAAUCAAAAUGCAUUAAAAAGAGGAUAUGUGGUACACUAAUCAAAGGUCUGAAAACACCAGUUGUUUAAUAGCUAUCAAGAGAGUAUUGAUAACCGAGGCGGUGCCUCGAGUUUGCCUAACAGUAAAAGAAAAAUAAAAGAAAUUGAAAUGCCUCUGUUAAAGCCCUAAGCAAAAAAAAAACUAAAGGAAGCCUAAAUCCUAUCGUCAGUCAAAAUCACAUUUCCUCUUCUUGCAUCUAUAGUUGUUGUAGUGGAGUAUACUGGUUGUGCCUUUUCAUCACUGUAAAAAAUCUUAUUGAAGCGCUCUACCAGAUUUCUCCUAAAUCUGAGUUCAUCAGAGGGUGCUGAGGACAGACGUUUUUGUGUUGCAUCCAUGGACUCAGACAAAAAUGACCUAUUUUUACAGAUUCUAGAGUCUUAUUUGGUUGUUGACGAUGAUAGGUUCAAUCUCCGUUGUACUUCUUCAAUCCAAUAUAAUGGGUUAUCCAGGUUGAAUCCUCGAGUUGCAAUGGCAUGCGCUGCUUCAUUUUUCUUUCGAGGGGUAUAUUCAAAGGAUAAGGUAACAAAACUGAGUCUUUUUCUUUAGAUUUCAUUAAUGAUGUUGCCAAUCACUGAUCUAUCCACCGAAUCUGACUUAAGCUUUUUAAUGACUAUAAGGGCAUCACCUUCAAAAACUAGAUCUUUAAAGCCCAUUUCUUCCCCAAAUAUGGCAGCCUGUAGAUACACAUUCGCUUCAGCAGUGGUCAGAUCCCCUGUUCUUCCAAAUGGGCAAGUACAUGCUCCCAUUACAAAUCCUUCAUGAUUUCUUAUAAUAACUCCCGCAGUUGCUGUCAUGUCUUGUUGUGAAAACGCUGCUUCAAAAUUGGCUUUGACCUGUUCUUCCUUGAGGGGUAUCCAAAAUACCUCUCUUGGAUUGAUUUUGGUUUCUGUUGAGGAGUUUACUUGCUCUAACUCUCGCAAAUAAGCUCUAAUAAAAUUAGCAACCUCUUGUACCCUUUUUCUUUUUUCCUUCGUGGUAAAUUCUUUUUCUAUUAUGCCAUAUUGCCCAAAUAGAAAUUUAUAUGGUCGCACAUACUUUAAUAUUAUUCAUGUAGAAGAAAGAGGCUGACCAUUGUUUCCAUGUGUGACUUGCAUUUAUGGGCGAUGUGUCCAACCCAACUUCCUGCAAGACCUGUUUUUUGAAUUCGCAAUCUUGAAAAAGGUGUUCCACUGUUUCUUCUUCAACUGAGUAGACUGGAUAUGCAACAUUGUUCCUGAGUCUUCGAAGUUUAAGAGUACUGAGCGUCGGAAGAAAAUUGUUGACAACUCUCCACAGAUGUAUUUUUAUUUUACUUGGACUGUGUAUUCGCCUGAUUUGUUCCCUCGCCAUAUUAGAACAUCCGGCUGCGUAUUCACCUGAUUUGUUCCCUCGCCAUAUUAGAACAUCCAGCUGCGUCCUGCUUACCAAAGGAAUAGACAAAACUACCUCCGCUUGAUCCCUUUCGAGUAAGUUCCAGAUUGCCUCGUAGUUCCAUGAAAACGAGUCUUUAUUGAUUAGAUCUGUUACUUUUGAACAGUUGAUAUUUAUGUGUUGAUGCUUUACUCUUCCAUCAUCAGGGUGGUGUAACAGCCCAAUAUUCAAUGGUGUCAAAAAUAGUGGUUCGAGACCACUAAGUCUGAAAAGUGAACUUGUAAAUUUUAUUAUAUAGUGUUUAUGACUUGAUUGUAAAUUUAGAAAGGCUUAUGAAUUAGUGAAUUAUGCUUUAGACAUAUUUGUUAGAUUAAUUGGUUUUAAAAACGAGGUAUCGGUACCUCGAUUAUAUAAACCGAGCAACCCAUAUUUUUAUAAAUAUUUACAGAGUGUCAUUAAGGUAGUAUUAAAGUUUCGUUAGAAAAUUUUAUCGUUUCGAUAGUUAAUUAAUUAAACUAAAUUGAAAAAGGUACAAAACUUGCUAAAGUGAUUAAAUAGCAUAAAUGGUAAACAAAGGAGGACUUAAGGAUAAAUUAUGCCUAAAAUAAAGGCAUGAGGCGGCAUAAGCAGAAAAGAAAACAAAAAUCAUGUGAUUAAAGGGCAAAAUUGUAAUUUUUGUGAAAUUAACUUAAAUAAAUUGAAUUCUAAACUUUUCGAGGCUAUUCUUCUUCUAAUUUUCAGUCCAAAAAUGCCAUUGAAGGUAUUUUAAGCUGGUUUUUCAUAUUUUUACAUCAUGUGAGUUCAAUUCUUGCUCUUUUCUUGUAAUUUUUAUGUUUUUAAGACUUUUACAAUUAGGUCCAACUAUCUAAUUCAUUAGUUUUUAAUUCUAUGGGUAAUUUUGAAAGUUACCAUUGAUGAGUUCUGGAUGUUUAUGAUGAAUUAACAUGGAUUUGAAGUUUUAAUUUUGUUAUAUGAAGAUUUUAUCAAGUAAUUUUAGUAGAAAUUGAUUUUAGAACCAAAUUCUGAAAAAGAUUAAAUCUUAGGGUUUGGUAUUAAAGUCCAUUUAUUAAGGACUGUGUAAUAGCUUAUACUAUUUAGAUAAAGUGUUAAUUGAGAAAAAUUAUCUCAUUUGAUGAGUUAAUUGGUGAGGGACUAAAUUGCAAAAAUAGUAAAAGUUAGGGUAAUUGUGAAAUUUAGAAAUUUGAGGGGAAUAAACUGUGAAGUGGACUGAAAUUGAAAUAUAUGCUAAUGAAUGAAAAAUUUUAUAUUCUAGAUCAAGAGCUCAUAGAUCAACGAGAAAAAGGGAAAUUAGUCGAUUAGUCUUUAAACUAUUACCAAUUUUACAAUCCAACCCAGGUAAGUUCAUAUGGUUAAACUUUCAUGAUUAUUUGUUAAUUUAAGAAUGGUAUAAUAUAUUUAUUCAUAUUUUUUUGUUGAAAUUAAGAUUAUUAUAAAAGUAUAAAAAUUGAAUUGAAUGUUUAAAACGAGUAGAACGCAGGAUUGAGUACGAUCGUUCCCUGGAAAAGAAUGAAUUGACGGAUAAGACCAUGGUUGGACCAUGGCAAUGUUUAAAUGUAAGACCAUAGCUGAGCUUUGGCAUUUUAAUGAACAGACCAUAACUGAGUUAUGGCACAUUGAACGUAAGACCAUGGUUGGACCAUGACAAUAUAGAUACAUGUGUAAGACCAUAGCUGGGCUAUGGCAUUCUGAUGAUAAGACCAUAACUGGGUUGUGGCACUACAAAUGUAAGACCAUGGCAGAGCCAUGACAAUGCAUGUAAUACCCCGAAAAUCUUUACAGUAAGAUAUUAUCUUUGAUAUAAUAAAAUAAGAAAAAUAAAGCGUUAAAAAGGGGAAAUUUUGGAGUUAUGUCAACAUUGGGUCGUUUAUUAUGACAUAUUAGUUCAAGAAAGGAUUAAAUCGUAAAAGUGAGAAAAGUUUUGUUGCCCAAGAGUAAAUACUCAAAAAUUAAGAGGUUAAAGUGUAAAUAUGAAAAGUUGAAGGACCAAUGGUGUAAAUAUUUUAAGGGUGGAAUGAUCUAGAAACUAAGAAAAAUGGAUGGAUUAGGACCAAAUUGAAAAAGGUGAAUAAGUUUGAGGGACUAAAUCACAAUUUUACCAAAUUAAGUGAUGACUCAAGAUGGAAUUUUAAAAGAUCAUGAAGGGCAAAAUGGUCAAUUAGAAGAGAGAGAAAUCUAGAAGAUAAUGAUGAUGUUGGAGAUAUUUUAGAUUAAAUAAAUAAAUAAAUAUUAGUUUAUUAAUAUUUUGAUUUGAUUUUUAAAUGAUAUGUUAUUAUUUUAUUAUUUUAAUAUUUAGUAUAUAUAUAUGUGGAAAGAAAGAUGAGAAGGAUAAAAAAAAAAACCCACCAUCUUUUCCAUGCAAUUCACGUUAGAAGAGAAGAGAAGAAAGAAAGUUUUACUUUCUUUACAAUUUAGUCCUUCCACCAAAAAUUCAUCAUUUUUAUCUAGAAAUCAAAAGAAUUUUCAUAUCCAUCAAGAGAGAAAGAUGACAAGGAGACUAUGGGGAGCUAGAAUAUCAAGUUAGAUUCAAGAAAUAGAAGCUGGAGGAGAGAGAAAAUCAAGUUAAAGAUUGAAAUCAAUAUGACAAGGUAAGUACAUCAAGAUUUUAAUAUAUUUUUAAGUUUGAUAUUAUUGAAAAAGCAUGGAAAUGAUGUUAAUGUAAAGUUUUUGUAUAUAUGGUCCUAUGUUCUUGAUAUGUUAGUGAAGAGAAAAUAAGAGAAAGUGAUGAGAAAUAGUGUAGAGAAAGAAAAUAAGGGUGUUAUAAACAUGGUAAUAAACAUCUUGCACUAAAAUGGUUUUGGACAGUAACAGUGGGCUCAUUUUGAAAAAUCACCAUAAAUUAUGAAAAUCUAAUUAGAGUAUGAAUAAAAUAUGGAAUUAAAUCUUAUUGAGUCUAGUUUCUCAUAAAAGAAACGGUGUAAGUAAUGGAAUUGUAAAUUAUGAGAUAUAAUAAAUUUUGUGAGACAAUGUUAGAAUGAAUUCGGGUUCCCCUGUUCUGACUUGGAAAAAUCAUUAAAAAUUGUACAAAAAUAUUUAUGGGUUACAAUUUAUAUUUUUAAAAUCCUUAAUGAGUCUAUUUUCAAUAGAAACAAAUGGGGACAUCAUCUGAAUUCUGAACAAAGAUAUAAUUAAUUUUUAGUGAAGAAGGGUCGGAAUUGUCAGACAGCAGAACAAAGGUGAUUUUAAAGAAUAAACUGUACUUAUUGGAUGAACCAAAAAAUUCUGAAAAUUUUAUGGUAAGAAGGUAUGUGAGUCUAGUUUCAGUUAUAAUUAUAGGAUCCUAAUUUUGAGUUCUGUAGCUCAAGAUAAAAAUAAUUUAGUGGCUAUGACUCAAAUGGACAGCUUUGAAUAAAUUUACAAGUAAAUUGUGAAAUCAUAGAUAAUGUUACUUAUAAGCAUGUAUUAUAAAUUAAGGAUGUGGAAUGGAGAGGAGGAGGAGGAAAAUAUAUAUAUGAAUAUUCAGUUAGCAUGGAUAACUUGCACGUUUUAGACUCAGGGACUAAAUUGAAUAAAAGUAAAACUUUAAGGGUAAAUUUGUAAAAAUGUCAAAAAGUGACCAAAUUGCAUGAAAUGAAUUGUUUUAUUAUUUAAAUUAGUAAAUGGAAUGAAAUAUUAAUUUAGAUCAAGAUUGGGUGAAAAUUUGAGAAAAAUAGAAAACUUCCAAAAUAUCCCUGAAUUUUGGUAUUUCUGCAAUUUAGUCUGGUAAGCUCGAAUGAGUUAUAUUCUGUAAUAAUUUUAAUUGAAGUGAAUGCUAUUUGGUAAUGAAAAUUAUAUAUAUGUGUGUAUUAUUAUUGGAAUUAAAUUAUUAUUGGUAAUAUGUAUAAUUAUUUGAUACAUUUAGCUGAUUAUCGGAAGUUAAAUUGAGUUGGAAGCUUGUUGGAGAUAUAUCACAGUAUCCAUUGGUUCUAUCGGUAAUUUUGGAUGAUUUGAUUCUGGUUAUAAUGGCAUGUAUAAGUUAAAUUGGUUAACGUUAGCUCAUUAAUGUAUUGAUUUUGAUUGGUUAUAAAUAUGAAUGCUAGAUAAAAAUGAAAUGUCUGAAAAUUAAUUAGUAAACUCCGGUAAUGCCUCGUACCCUAUUUUGGUGUCGAAUACGGGUAAGGGGUGUUACAAUGCAUGUUAAAACCAUAGUUGGACUAUGGCACAAAAAGAACAAUGUACUCAUAUCCGUAAGUCGUUCUUCGAUUUAAUAAGAAAUGGUAAGAGACUUAUGUGAUUGAAUUGAAAGAUUUAUAGAUUAUUAUUGAUAUUGAUAUGAAGGAAGUGUGUUUAUUGAUUAUAUUGUAUUUGACAAGGAAAAAUGUAUGAUUUAUUUACAAUUUAAUUUAUUUUAUUAUAUUAAGUUCGGUAAGAUCAAUGUUUAACCUAUUGAACUUACUAAGCUUCAUUAAGCUUACUCGUGUUGUUUAAUGUUCAUGUAGAUUAACGUGUAGUCGAAAGAUCGGAUCAACACAUCAAGCUACACUAUCUAGUUUAUUCCGGUAGUUUUUGCAAUGUAAAUUUUGGUUUAUAUGACAUGUAUGGGGUUGGUUUAGUAAUGAAAUGGUUUGAAUUGUAGUUGUGAAUAUUAAAUGUUUGUAUGUAUGUAAUUAGUAGUAGAAUUUGAUAAAUCAAUGAAAUGAAUUAAAUAGGUAGGUAUAAGUAAAUGAAAUAUUUGUGAUGUUAUGUGAUGUUGAGAAUAUGUUUUAACUUGUAUUGAUUGCUUGGUUGGGAUAUAUUGGUGUAUGUGAAUGUUGAGUACAGGUUAAUGUCAAAAAGGGUGAGAAAAAUGGCCUUAAAAUGACCAAUUUUUGUUCACACGGGCAGAUACUCGGGCAUGUGACCCCUGCUUCUAAGAAAAUUUUUAAAAUUUUGGGAAAAAUUCCCUGAGUAGCCGGUUUAGUCUCGAUUCAUUUCUAAGGUGAAUAUUGGGCUUCGAAGGCCAUCUGAGGGACAAUAUGAGUGUUAUAUGAUUGACUCUUAAUAUGUGUAACGGAAAUGUCCGUAUUUAAAUCGUAAAGUUUGGUAAUGCUCUAUAACCCCGUUCCGGUAACGAAUAAUGGUUAGGGGUGUUAUAGGUGGGUAACCAAGAGUCAUUCCAGAUGUUUGUUGAUUCACCAUUCCCUAUCAUUCAACCUGUUCCUUCUUCAAGUAAGCUUCGUGUGUUCCAAAUGCUGCACCAGGUAAAGGAGGGGUAAUCUCCUAACCUUGCAUUUAAAAACUUAUCACGCAGAUAGUAUUUUAAUUUCAUAACGUCCGUAAACAAAUAGUUAGGCUGGGUGAUUAGUCUUCAUCCCUGUUUAGCCAACAGGGUCGUAUUAAACAUUGUUAAAUCCCUAAACCCCAUACCUCCAAAUGCUUCUGGACUACACAUCGCAGACCAACUACACCAAUGAAUGCCUUUAUUAGUUUUUAAAUUGCGCCACUAAAAUUUAUUCAUCAGAUUUUCUAAUUCUUUACAAAGCAAUACUGGUAACUUAAAACACUGCAUGGCGUAAAUCGGAAGUGCUUGUAAAAUUGAUUUAAUAAAAACUUCUUUACCACCAAAGGACAAAUUAUAGAUACUCCAAUUCUUCGAUUUUUGGAUGAUUCUUUCUUUUAGUUCUAGGAACACACCUUUCUUUCUCCGCCCUACCAUUGUUGGUAAACCCAUAUAUUUUUCUAGAUUAUUUGAAAUUUGGACCCCCAAAACUCCCCCUAUCUGCCCUUUAAUGUUGUCUUGUACAUUUUUGCUGAAGUAGAUCAAUGACUUCUCGAAAUUCACUAGUUGUCCAAAAAUACUUUCGUAUUUAUUAACUACUGCCUUUAUUGACAUUGCGGCUUCCAUUGUUACUUUCCCAAAUAAAAUAUUGUCAUCAGCAAAGAAAAGAUGGGUGAUAGUUAGCUCUCCUCUACCCACUUUAGCCCCUUCAAUUUGUCUUUCCCUUUUAACUUUGUUUAUGAGCUUAGAGAAGCCUUCUGCACAUAUGAUAAAUAAGUAUGGGCUCAAUGGAUCACCUAGUCUGAUUCCUCUUGUUGGCUUAAAUUCUGCCCCUUGAAUCCCAUUAAGUACUACCGAGUAUGACACUGUUCAUACGCACCUCAUUAUGAUAUCAAUCCACAUAUUACAAAAGCCUAGCAUUUUCAUCACGUUUUCAAGGUAAUUCUAUUCCGCUCUAUCAUAGGCUUUGCUCAUGUCCAAUUUUAAAGCAAAAUAUCCUGCACCUCCUCUUUUCUUUUCUUUUCUUUUUUAAAGGAAUGUAAUAAUUCAUAAGCUAUCAUUAUGUUAUUAGUUAUUUGUCUUCCUGGGACAAAAGCACCUUGCGUUUCUUCAAUACAUAGUGUAGCACCCUUCGAAAUCUGUUAACCACUACUUUUGAGAUCAAUUUGUAUAUGACAUUACAAAGACUUAUGGGUCUGAAUUGUCCCAAAUUUGUAAUGGUUUGUACCUUUGGGAUAAACACAAUAUUGGUUUUGUUAACUUCCUCAAAAUUCAUCCCAUUAUUCAGUACUUGAAAGCAAUAAUUAACAACAUCUUUUCCUAUAAUAUGCCAGAAUUUUUGGUAGAAGAACGCUGGGCAUCCAUAUUUUCCUGAUGCUUUGAGAGGUGCCAUACUUUUUAAUGCUUCCACAACCUCUUCUUCCUUAAAUUCUCUAAUGAGUUCCUCAUUUAGAGAUUCUGUAAUACACGGUUGGACUUUGCUUCUAAGCCUUUCACAGCUUUGUAGUGGAUUGGAAGAGAAUAGAUAUCGAAAAAAAUUGGUUGCAAGUUUAUUAAUGACGUUGUCACCCUCCACCCAUCCACCCCUUCCAUCCUCCAAAGUCUUUAUUGUAUUUCUCUUUUUGUGUUGGGUUACAAAAUUAUGGAAGAAAAUAGUGUUUCGAUCCCCCAUACUUAACCAAUUAGCUCUUGCCCGUUGUUCCUAAUGCAAUUCUUUCUUGUCGGCUUCCAUGUUGAGUGCUAGCUUAACUUCUGUUAAUUCUGCCAAGAUGUCAUCAUCUGGAUCUUCUCUAUUUAAAUUAAUAAGCCGCAAUUUUAAAUCCUCUCUAGUCUUUCACCUGGAUCUACUACUAGAUUUAUCCCAGGUUUUCAAUUUUAAUUUCAGAUCUUCUAAUUUCUUUAGCAAAUCCUUAUCUCCUAAAUCCCAUCCUUGACUGAUUACCUUUUCGAAAUCGUUUUCCAGCACCCAAUUAGCAUUGAAUCUAAACAGGAUUUUACUAUUCUCAAAUCUUCCUAUUCCAUGCGUCACUAUGUUAAUAAUUAUGAGAUAAUGGUCAGAAAUACUAUGACACUUAUCUUGAACUGAGAAAUUCGAGAACCUUUCCCACCAUAGUAGAUUAGCCACCCCCUAUCCAGUCUUUCACGAAUGUUAUUGCUUGGAAGUCUACAUUGUUCCCAUGUAAACCAUUGUCUUGAAAAUCCUAAAUCAUUCAAUUCACAAUCUUCCAAAGCCUCCCUAAAUACCAACAUUUUUCUUUCCUCCCUUAACCUACCCCUUCUUUUUUCAAACGAGAAAAGUAUUUUAUUAAAAUCCCCCAUAACAAGCCAUGGCAACUGGCUGCUUCCUUUUAGUUGUCUAAGGAGGCUCCAUGAAUCUUUCCUUUUCUAUUCAAUUGGCGAGCCAUAAAAACCUGUAAAACGCCAAUAUUAUUCUCCACUAUUUCCCAAAACUUCUAUAUCAAUAUGAGAUUUAGAAUAACUUCUCAAUUUAACAAAUACUCUUUCCUUCCAACUAAGAGAAAGUCCCCCUUUUGAUCCUUCCGCACACACAUCAAUCCCGUUUGCAUAGCCACAUGUUUUUCUUAUUGAUUCCAUUCUUCUUGAAUUGACUUUUGUUUCAAUUAGAAAUAAAAUUUGAGGCUGAAGUUAUUUCAAGCUAUUUUUUAGACGUUUUACUGUUCGUGACUGCCCUAGGCCACGAACAUUCCAACUUAAAAUUUUCAUUGUGACCGGUUGGCCUGCUUAUUAGCGGCCGCCGAUAUAUCUUUACUGAUUGAAGGACUUGAGUGGACAUUUUGAUGCGUUCCUUCUAUUUGUUGAAUCAUCUGUUUUUUCUUUCCUUCAACAGGUCCGAUUGGUAUUUCCUCGAGAACCUCAUUAUCUUCAAUUAUCAUAUUAUGCAUUGCUUCGAUUUCACACCUUCGGUUUGCAGUUUCAUUAACCUUAUUAAUUCUAUAACAUCUUCUACUAAAUUCCCUUUCUUUACCUUUUCCUCUAACAUUAUUAAGUUCCUCUUCUCUUUGAGAUCUCAUCUGUCUCUUCUACGAAUUUCAUCCAGAUCCAAUUCGAAACCUGGGCCUAAAACUUUACCAAACCUGAGCUCAACCCAUAUUUUAAACUAGUCUAAAUUUUUUGCUCAAUCCCAUUUUUUGUAUCAAAUAGUUUUAUUUAAACCCUCCCAAAAUUUAAAUGGAUGUUUGAGUGGACUUUUGAACUUAGAUGAGUAGCUCAACCCAAUACAAAUCUAGCUCCACGGCCAACUAAGGCAAAAUAUUGGCUAGUUAAAUGAAAUAAUUCUAUAUUUAGUUCCUCCUAAAUAUUAAUAAUUUAAUUUAAUUUUUUUAACCAUUUAGCUAAGUUUUCAUAUAAAUUAAUAAUUCAAUUUAAAAUUUUUUUAAUACAAAAUUUUGAAUAAUGCAUUUUUAUCGAGUUUUAUAAUUUCAUAUCGACUCCAUAACAUAAAGAUGAUGACUUCGCCUUUCACUUCAUAAUAGCAAGAGGAUAUUUAAUGGAACUAAAUUAAAUUAAACAAAACAUAUUACGAUACGAUGCAUAAAAUUUGAAUGUUUUUAUGUAUCUACAUCCAUCGUAAUGAUGAUAUUUCUUAAAAGACAAAGUUGAUAUGAGUAUCAAUUUGAUAAAUUUCAUCAAAAUUUUUAAAGAAUAAAUAUUUUGAUCUCUUGAUAUUAGAAUGAAAAUGAUCAGAAAUCGCCAAAGCUUUUGGUCUACUUGCUGCAGUUGGAAACCUAAUGAUUGAUAUUUUUUAUGAUUGAUAUUGACUUUUAAUUAUGUACUCGAAGUACCAAAAGUUCUUAAUUUUGAGAGCAUUUGUACUGUUUUCUAUUAUUAAUUUUUUAUCAACAUUAAAUUUCUUGUUUAAAUAGUAUUCAUCGGAUAGUUAACCAGUCACUCAACAAUCGAAAGCAUUGUUUUAAUGUUAGGAGUUUGUUCUCAAUAUCCUCAAAGAGCUAUAGACUGUUUAUAGAGGGGUAUCUUGUUUGGUGAAGAUACGACACUAGAGAGAAGUGUUAAUAUUGUGCAUACCAUCUAAGACUUCAAAACAACAUACUUGCAAAUAUUAUAAAAUCAAUCAAUAAUUCCUACAGCUAAAUAAAUAUGUAAUAAACAAAAUCAAUAAAUUUUACAUAUCUGGCAUAAUAAAUUUAAAUUAAAACGUCAUUAGCAUUUCCUGUACAUAAUAAAACUGCAUAUCUCGAUCGAUACAUACAAACCAAAUAAUAAGAAAAUCUUAAUUGAUUAAAAGAAUAUUCUAUAAAAUAUAAAUACGAUUUUUUAAAUAACAUUUAAUGAGUCUUUAUAAAUAUUUUAUUAAUCUUUAUAAUAAUUCUAAAUAAGCUAAUCCAGUUUUGGCGGGGGACCAUUCAAGGUUUUCUUCAUUACCUUGUUGAAUCUCUCCCCCUCUAAAGUCUAAACAAAUACACCAACUGUGUCCCCCAUCUAUUCUUUCAAACAUGGAGAAUUUGAUGAUGAAGAAACAAACCAGAAUGUCUCCUUCAACACCACUAUCCAUUCACAAGGAUUCACAAAUAAUAUCAAAGGCAAAGCCCAAGAUACGCAUAAUUCACUUAUUAGCCCCACAGAUCAUUAAGACCGAUGUGGCAAACUUCAGACAACUGGUCCAGACACUUACUGGGAAACCACCUCAAGAAAAGGGUUCCAAAGAUCAGAAAAUGGAGCUGAGAACUGGGUUGCUUGCAGGCUUGGAAGCAAUAGAAAGGGUGAAGGAAGAAGAUGAAGGUAUGUGGGGAGAAUUCAGGUGGUUUCUUGACUGGUUUUGGAGAUUUGGAUGGAUUUAUUCAAGAGCUAACUGAAUUUCCUUUGGACCCUUGUCAUCUCAUGCAUGGAUUUCAUGAACCUCAACUUGCAUAGAUUGAUUCUUUACUUUGUGUGUGCCAAGGGAAGGGGAAGGGAUUGUCUAAGCCAACAAUACUAUUUUAUUUUUUACUGGCUAGUUAACACAAAUGAAUGUCUGGGUCAUUAAUGAAGAUUAUUAUUAUUAUUAUUUAAGAUAGAGUUUUCACCUAAUUUUUAUGAAUCUUUUUGUGUCUCUCUAAGCUUAUUAUAUUUGUGUAAAUACAAGAGAUUAAACUUAAUUUCUGAGAUAAUUUCUUAUUUUUGCGAUGAAAUUUCUUCUUAUAUAUAUUUUUCUUUAUGCCAAUUUUGGAUGUAAUACAACCAGUCUUCUCUUCAUUUUAAUUUAAUUAAUUAAACAGAUAGUUUGCUUCUGUUCAUAUGGAAUGUGCAAUCGCAUUUUGUCUUAACCCGUUACUUUGGGAAUAAAAAACGUGCAAAACCAAACCUGUUGUAUGGUUUUUUUUUCUAUUAAUUGAUAAAUGUCUUGCUUUGCAAGUGUUCAAUUUAAUACAUCAUUUUAUCCUUCAAAGUCUCCUCACAUUAAUAUUGUAAUUAGUGUAACAUAAUAUUUUUUAUUCCAUUGAAUAUAAUUAAAAUAUAUUAAUUUAUUUAAUAAUUUAAAUAUUUUAAUAAAAUUAAAGCAUUUUAAUAUAUACAAUAUAAUUAUAGUUCGUGUAAUUAAUACAAAGCAAUAUUAAAAUAUAGUGCUAAUAAAAAAUCCUAAUAAUUAUUAAAAAAUUUGCAAAAAUUAUAAAAAAUAAUAAUAUAUCUUCACUAUUCAAUUUUUAUUUUUAUUUUCUUUAACAAUCAAUAAACGGAUGAUAAUCAUUUUCAGAUAAUAUAUUAGUAAUAUAGACUAUAUUAUAAAAAUCAUUAUCGUUAAAUUUUUAUAUAUGAAAUAUUAUUAUAUGAAUAAUUAUAAUUUACUACUUAAUAACAAAACUAAUACAAUUUUGUUUUACUUUUUAUAAUGGAAACACAUUAAAAAAUUUGAAAAGAAAAAACAUUUAAGUUCGCAAUUAUAUAUAUAUAUAUAUAUAUAUAUUAGGAAAACUAUGAAUAUAGAUAAAAUGCUUCGUCCCUGCUCCCUAAUUAUUAGAAAUGGGGGCAUUUGAUGAUAGCUUCAAGGAAAGAUAAUUACUAAAAUGCUUAAUAAAUCAUUUACUAGUUGAACUCCACAGUUUUUUAAAUUGCUACUUAUAUUUAAUAAAAAUUAUGUAUUUUGAUAUUUAAAGAUAAAAUUACUAAUUUUUCAUUGUCUUAUUUAAAUUUUAAGAUUAAUUUUAUAAAAGUUAAUUGCUAAUGUUUUAGGUUUGAUUUUUAUGAUUUUAUGAAUAUGAUAAUUUAGUGUUAAUUGUGAAUUUGUUUAUUUUUAUAUUUAGUUUUUCUUUUGGCGAAUGAAACUUCAUUAUAAAGAAAACUAAUUAUAGAUACAUCCAAGCUCUCAUGGAGGCGUUUCAAAAUAUUGGGUACUACUUUUGUUAUUAACAUCCAUUUUAGCUAGAUUGUUAACUUCUUUAUUGAAAUCUUUGAAAAUGUGUUGAAUCGAUCAUUGAGUCAAAUAUUUAAUUUAUUUAAUAUAGUAUCAUGACUGUGAUUUCUUUUUCAAUUUCUUGGGUUCAUUUAAUGAAAUUUAAUUGUUAAUCUUAUUAAUUAAUUAUGAUUUUUUAUUAAAUAAAUUCUAAAACUUAAAUUGAAUGCUAAAAGUUAAUAGUGUUACUUUUAAGUACCAAAAUAUAUAAUAUUUACUAAAUUUAAAUAUCAUAUUGGACUAAAAAAAUUACAAUUACCAUAUUAAAAAGGUGAUGAUGUAUUAAACCUCACUAAAAACAUGAAAUGAUUAAAGGUGAUAAAGCAACGAAUCUAGAGUUUAUAUUUUAAAAUCAUAGCAUAAGCAAUUAUUUUUCUUUUCUCAACAAUUUGAAAAAAAAAUGUUAAAAUACUUAUUCAAUUUUGAUAUUUAUUAAAUUGGUCCGUUUAAAAAAAUAGAGCAAUUUAGUUUCUAUAAAUGUCGAAAGUGAGCAAAUAAAUACAAUUAAUACACCGAUCAGUUUUUUUUGUCAAUUUAUCUUACUUUUGAUUAGUAUAAUUGCAGUUUUAGCCUUUAAUAUUUACAUAUUCUAUUAAUUUGACCCUGAUUCUAAAAGAAUUCAAUAAAUUUAACCAUCAACAUUUACACAUUCAACCAAUUUGAUCUUAAUUCUAAAAAAUCUAAAAAUAAAAAUGUAUAAAAAUCUAUUCAAAAUGAAUAUAUAUAUAUAUAUAUAAAUUAAAAUUAGAGAGAUGUAUUAAAAUUUUAAAAAUUCUCAAAACGCAAAAAUGACGUGUAAUGGUUAUAUUCUCAAAAUGAGGUCCUACACGCUGCCUACACACAACCAAUCUCCUCCACACAUCAACACACAAUCCUAUAUCAACGUUAACUAUUGAUUUCAACGGAUUCAACAACUUUGACCCGAUUUACUUCGGUUCAAUCUAUUUUGACUACGGUUUGACAUGAUUCGGUCCAUCUUAACCCGAGUCAAACCAAUUCAAUCCACCUUAACCUGGUUCAAACAAGAUCCAUCAUCUUUAACUUGAUUUGACCUAAUUUGGACCAUUUUAGCCCAAUUCAAAUCAAUAUAAUCCGAGGUUCUAUAUGGUUAGCUUGGUCUCACUGUAUGAGUUGACUUGAUUUAACUUUAUCCAUGGACCAAGUUUGACUUUAACUUUGUGUUAAUUUCGUGGGGUUUGCUUGAAAAGUGUUGAAUUACUCUAAUAAAUUCUAUACAAUUCAUCAAAUAAUGUGUGAUUUUGUAGGUUUUUAAAUAUAUGAAAAUUAAUUAAAAGCUUUCUUGAAAGCAUGAAUUUUAGAAAUUUUAUGGAUGUGAUAAUUAAAUUUGGCAUUCCUCCAUUCCCAAGAAAGUCUCAUAAUUUAUCAUAAAAUUAUUCUAAAAUAUAUUAUUUAAGUAUUUAAUUGAGUUGAUGUUACAAAUUAAUUGAACACUGUAUCAAAUAAAAUUACUUAUAUUUAUAUUACUUUAUCAAUAAUUACUAUGUAAAAAAAUCAUUGCUCAAAUACUUUGAUAGAUAUGGUGAAAUUUUUUAAACUUUAAAUACUGCACCAAAUAAUUUAUUAAAAAUGACCCAACAUGGAAGGCAAAGGUUAGCAUUGGUGCACCUUAUAUUUAAAUCAACCAUUUUGGUAAACUAUAUCCGUUCAUAGAAACCUACUCAUUUAUCUAAUAAAAACAUAGCAGGAUCAACCACCUGCUUCCACUCAUCUUAAUUACACCACCAACCCUAAUUUCUUGUUUUAAUAACAAAAUUCACAUUUCAUCCUUUUCAUUUCUUCAAUCCAUUUUCAAACAAUAUUUAGCAAUUAAAAGGAUACAUAUUACUUUAAUUCAAUUUUUCAUCUUAAAAUCAAUUUGGACCAAGAAUAAGUCAUAGAGAAAUUCUGAAUACAAAAUACAACAAACUGAUCAUUGAAAUAUAUAUACCCAGUCCCUCCUAAAUUGGAAAAUUCUUCAUUUAGGCUCUUUAUAAUUUAUAAAAUUUUAAAUUAGUAAUAGUAAAACUACACUUUUGCCUCUCAAAAAUAAUAAAAAUUUGAUUUAAUCUUUUAAAAAUUAUAAAGAUAUAAACCAUUAGAAUGGUGAAAUUGCAUUUUUACCAUUAUAAAAAUAAUCAUUUUAAUUCUGCCCCUAAAAAAAGUUUUCUGCCAUACUUAAAACUCUGAUUGAAUUGGUGUUAUGAAUCUAAUAGAGAUCAAUUCAAUUUAAAGUUAUUAAAAAAUCACACUUUUUUAUAAAAAUAAAACCAUAAUAAAAACCAAUAUAAUGAGAUAUGAAUAUAAAACACUAUAAUUUUGAGAUUCAUUUCAACUAAAAUUUUAUUUAAUUUCCAUAUAAAAAGAUUGUAAUGGUUUUUAAGCCACUUGUUUUGGAUGUUAUUAGAAAAGUUUGCUAUUUGCCACAAAGUUGUAGAUUAGAUAACAUAUACUGUCCAUUUCCCACGCAAUUCGCAGUCCAAUCCACUUCCAAACAUUUUCAUUUAAACUCUCCACCCAACGGAUUGAUUUUAUUAAAUCCUAUCUAGAUUAAUUUUAUUUAAAAUAAUAAAUCAUUAUAAAUAUUUAGUACAUUAUCACCGGAGUUUUUAGAUUCUUCAAGUAGGGCUAGGGGUUGAUAAGUGCUAGUAAAAAAAUUUUUUAAAAAAAAGAGAUACAUGUUAAUUUUUAAAAUUAUUUGUAAAAUAAAAAAAAAUACACUAUUAAUAUAUCAAUGCUCACCUUUUUAUUUAAAUAAUCAUAUGUAUUUUUUUAACAUAAAAACAAAAUUAUAUUUUGAUUUGUCCAUAAACUUUAUUUUCGACUAUAGAUUAAUUUAUAUUAUCAUUUAAUUAUAAAAUUAAAUUUAUGAGUUUUUUUUAUAAGUUAAAGAUUAAUAUCUUAUUAAAGUAUAAUUAAGAUGUUAAUGAUUUUUUAAGAAAUUACAAGUAGAUCAUAAUUACAGUCACAAAACAGGUAUAAUGAUAAAUUUAACUUUUAAUAUUUAUCCUUUCUAUCAAAUUGGCUUUUGUUUAUUUAUUUAGUUAAAUUUGACUUUUAACCUUUAAAAAGAGUCAAAUUGUUUUUCUUUAAUAGAAAUAUUGACAAAUUUUCUUUUUAAUGAUAUUGACACGGUAUCCCACAUGAUAGUCCAUGUGCAUUUCAAGUUGAUAUGACAUUAUUUGUCUUAUAUACCAUGUCAACAAAUUAAUAAUUUAAAAAUAUAAAAGUUCAAAAAACUAAAAAAAAGCCUCGAAAAAUUAUAUUUUUUUUCUUAAAAUGCAAUAAAAUUAGAAUGAAGUAGCGGGUUGCCAUAUGGGUUACCAUGUUUAAAAAAUUAAUUUUUUUUAGUAUUUCUAUUAAAAAAAUCAAUUCGGCUCUUUUUUAAAAGAUUGAUGGUCAAAUUUUACUCUUUCUGAAAUGUUGUGGCAAAAAAAAUGGGGGACCAAAUUGACAAAAAAAGUAAACGUUAAGGGCUAAAUUUGGCAUUAUGCCAAAACAUACUUCUAAAUAACUAUAUUUAACCAUUGUAAAGCACUAUGAGACUAAAAUUAAGAUAUAUUCAUACCUAGACAAAGCACGCAACAUAAAAUUUAAACCAAAAUACAAUAUAGACUGAGAAUUCACAUAUGACUUAUACAAUAUAGACUUAAAUUUGGAAUCUUAAAAUUUUCUAGACCUCAACCUUACUAUUAAACUUAGGACUCAUCAUUGGCAUGUUAAUGACUAACUUAAAGGUAGAAGAAGUAUGAUUUCUUAUUUAUAUAAAAUUGUUGAAGGUAGAAUAGGGAAGGAGGAGGAAGAUGACGGUUCCCAUGGUAGAGGUGUGUUAAGAGUCACUUGAGACAAAAGUUGAAUAGGGUAAGACAUAAUAAUAAUAAUAAUAAUAAUAAUAAUAAUAAUAAUAAUAAUAAUAAUAAUAAUAAUAAUAAUAAUAAUAAUAAUAAGUUCGAGAGAAGGAUUCUUAAAGGCAAGAAAAGGUAUUUUAUAGACGAGAUUGGUUGCCUUCUUACCCUCAAGCCUCAACACGUGUCCAUGCUAAUCUUAUCAUGGUUAACUCUUUAGGGAACAUGAUAGAUUUCUAGCGAGGUGAUGGGGUUGAUGGAUUUGGAGAUCUGGUUACAAUUGGCUCGGUGUAGGCUUAAUGAAGUUCUAUGCGUGCUUCAUGCUUUGAGGAAGUUCAUUAACUAUAUUUAGGAAGGUAAACUAGAGGUGUUUUAUGUGUCGACCAUGCAUCUGUGGGCAAGGAUCAAACCUAGCAAGGUAUCACCCAUAGGUAAGGUUGUGGUUUGCGAGGUAUGGUUAGCAAAGCUCGCAUUGGUGAGGUAUGUAUAACAAUCCCCUCAAUUAAAGAAAAUGUUAUAAAGUGACCUUCCUCAAGGUGAGGUAAUGACAUUUUGAAUUUAUGCUUUUUUAAAGCUUUGGCAACUUGUGCAUGAGCAAUACAUGUGGUGGGAAGGAGUUGUGUGUUGCACACACAUCAUGUAAUGGUGAGGACCUUGAUUUUAGCGGCAAGGUGUGUCAUUUGAAUAUUCGUUAGUUAAUGAAAUACUUACAUGUCUAUUGUUAAUAGGAUAUAUGGACCAUCGAAUCAUAUUUGCAGGGACACAUUUGCAUUUGGUUUGUUCUAAAAAAAUGUCAUUUUUUAAAUCAUGUUGGGCACACAUGUGUUCUAUAUAAAUUGGGCUUUUCAAAAAUUUUGUAAGUCUUUAGGCCACUAUAUUGAGAGCCUAAGGAUUUUUUAGGAGAGUUCUUUAGAAGUUGUGUUGCUUAAGUUUUUUGCAUUGUGGGAGUCUUUGCUUUUUGGUUUCAUUUGGUAAGUUUCAUUUUUUUUGUCCUUUCUGUUUUGUGUUUUAAGUAAAGUUAGUAACAAUUCGUCUAGACAAAUCAGAGUUUAAAAUUUAGAAUUUAGAUAUAAUGGCUUAUAGGAAUAGUUAGAGGAGAAAAGGUAAGGAUAUUGAAACGGAAAAAGGUAAGGAGAAGUGAUAAGUGCAUAACUUUAUAUUUAUUUGUGAUAUUUUUCGCAUUGAAUUAUAUUAUUUAUAUUUAUAUUUUAUUUAUUAUUAAUUUAGGAAAUAAUUGGAGAAAAUGGAGUUUAAAGUUUAUUUUUGACAAGUUUUUGCAGUUUGAACUUUUAAUAGUAUUUUGGUCAUAAUUUGAGAUACAAACCUCCGUUUUGGGACCAUAAUGUAUCAGAGCUAGUUAAAUUUUCAUAGAUCAUCCCGUUCAGAGAUGGCAGCAACAAGGUUUGAAAUUAAGAAGUUCGAUGGUGAGAUAAAUUUUAAUCUGUGGCAAGUUCGGAUGAUGACAAUUCUAGUUCAAACUGGACAAAAAAAGGUUUUUACCGGGAAAAAGCCUGAGAAUCUAAAUCAAACAGAAUGGGAAGAAGUUGAUGAAAAGGCAUUGUCUGCAAUCUAGUUGUGCCUUGAGAAUACGGUAUUGCAGGAGGUAUUGACGUAGAAGACCUCAUUUGCCUUGUGAUAAAGGUUAGAAACUCUUUAUGCGAUUAAGUCUCUGGAUAACCGUUUAGUGUUGAAACAACGUUUAUUUACGUUUCGCAUGAACGAAGGUGAGCUUCUUAGAGAUCGCAUUAGUCAAACCAUUACUCUUUUAAAUGAUUUAAAGAAUGUUGAGGCACAUAUUAAUGAUGAAGAUCAGGCUAUGAUAUUAUUGUGCUCUUUUCCCCCUUCAUACAAGUCUUUCAGGGAGACCCUGAUUUAUGGCAGAGACAAACUCUUGUUCGAAGAUGUGAAGGAUCAUUUGUUGAGUAGAUACAAACUCAAUAAUAUGUUUGAUUUGGAUGCAAGGCAGAUAGGCAAGCUUCCAUUUUGGUAGCAUCAAAGAAACGAGACAAAAGGUGUCGUUAUUGUAAAAAGUUAGGUCACGUCAAACCAGAUUGUUAUAAACUGCAAAAUAAAAGAGCUGUUGAGAGUAACAAGGAAGAUGUAGCUGGUGCUAAUUUGGCUGAUGAAAGCGGUGAUGAUUUCUUGUUAGUCUCAACGAGCGAUAACUCCAAGCUCAUAUCUGAGUGGAUCCUAGAUUCGGGAUGUUCUUUCCACAUGUGUUCCAAUAGAGAAUGAUUCUCCACAUACAGUUCGGUUGAAGGUGGAGUUGUGCGUAUGGGAAAUGAUUCAUCUAGUAAGGUAAUUGGUAUCAGUACUGUUAAAAUUAGGAUACACGAUGGGAGGAUUAGGACACUCUCAGAUGUCAGGUAUGUACUUGAUUUACGAAAGAAUCUCAUCUCCUUAAAGUAUUUUAGACUUGAAAGGAUGCAGAAUCAACAUCAAGUCGAGCGACAUUAAAGUAUCUCGUGGAGCUCUUUGGAUGCAGAUUUUGAAAAGUUAGGGCAUUGUGUUCGUGAAAAUCAGACCAGAGAUAGUUUUGAUUUGGCAGUGCACAAGUCGAAGGCUAGAAGUCUUCUAGCUUCUAAGCACAGAUUCAAUUUAGUUAAUUUCCUGCAUAGUUCAAGAUAGGCCCGUUGUGGGCUUUGGCAAAGAUGGUGUUAUAAAAAUUCGUGUCAAUAUGGAGAUUCUUAGAGUUGUGUGGCUCAAAUCCUAAGAGAUUGCUUGCAAGUCAAAUUAAACAAAAUAUAUUUUCUUUUUAGAAGAUUUAAUAUUUAUUAGCAUAAUAUAUUUAGCAUUUAUUAGCAUAGUUUAUUUGACCUACUAAUUUAGCCUAUAAAUAGGUUCUUUUACAACCUUAGAAAAAAAACACAUUAGAGAUUAGAACUCAUAACAUAUUUAGAGAACUUUGUGUUUACGUUUUGAGGGUUCUUUGUUUUUGGGGUUUAGUUUUUAUCUCCAUCUUUUGUACUCUUCGUUCUUUUGCCAUUAUAGUAAAAUUAUCUUUGCCCGUGAUUUUUUAUCCUCUUUGGAGGGGUUUUUCCACGUUAAAUUUGUGUGUUCAAUUUCUCAAUUUAUUCUAUUAUUUUUUUACUUGUUCCUUAAUCAGAUGGAUCCUAACAAACGAAGAACCGAAGUUAUUUGUGAUAGAACCUCCUUCCCAAAAAAGUUUCAUGGAACGCAAAAAGGAUGAGGAAGUUCUUAAGACUUUCGGUAAAGUCAAUAGAAAAUAAAAGAUGAAGUUACGAGGGAAGAGGUUAAGAAUGAAAUAAUAGUGCAAGAUGAUAGCUAUUCAUGUAGUCUGUGUACUACAAUCAAUUGACUAAUUUUAUUUAAACCAACUUGCUUAACUCGCAUUUACUGAUUAACCAUAAGGGGUGAUGUGGUGGUUGUUCACCUCAUCCCUUAACCAUGUGGUCUAAGGUUUCUAUUCUCGCUCAUGGAAAUAGAUCACAUUUCAUAGCUAAUCGUUUACCUAUUUGAAAAGCACCCACAACAAGCGAAUUAGUUAUUACUUUCGACAAUAAAUACCCUAAUUAUGACAAAAAAAAUUACCUAAUUGAUCAAACUGUAUAUGAUAAAUUUAUUAGAUUAAACUUUGGGCAACUUUAAAAUCUCAAUCUCAUUUAAGUAUGAGUUUUUAGGUUAAAUUUUAUUUUGGUUUAAAUCUCAUAAUAUGCAUACUCUAUGUAAAUUUAUUUUACUCUAACAUUGCACAUUAAAUCAAAAUUCAUGUGUUAUUGAUUUAUUUUGUAUAUAACAUUGCUACAUUGGUACUUUUCUAAGCUUUUAUUUAAGCACCUUAAGAAAUGUCUUAUUUAACCAUUUUAAAAGAUUUGAUCAUUAUGUAAAAAACCCUAAAAAAUUGACCUCAACUUGUAGAUCCAACAAAGACCCCGCCCAGACCCAUGGAAGGGCUCAAUUACAACAUUAUCAAACACAACGUAAACAUCAUUCAAGAAUUUGAUACACUAUUUUACUAUAAUUUACAUUUAUGAUCAUGGAAUCUUUUUGAACAAAAUUAUUUGGAGGGGGAAAACAAACAAACACAAUCCUCGAACUCCUUAGCUCUCAUAUUCGGGAUUAGUUUCCGCCAUGCCAGAUGAAGAUGCCUCCAACCUAGUAAGAACUUCAGGUAUUCCCGCAGUGUCCCUUAUUAUCUGGCAUCAUGAGAAACAACAACGAUCAUUGCUUUUGCUAUGCCUAUUGAAAAAUUGACUAACAUAUAAAUACAAAUUCGCAUAUUUAUCGAAAUUAAAUUAUUAAUCAGCCAAAAUUUAUAUAAAUAUAUCAUAUUUUCAACCCUCUCCAUAACAUCCUUAUUUGUCAGUCAAAAUUUUAGAUGUUACAGAGAGGUGGCUGAGGGUGGCUUUUAUAGAGAGUGCUGCCUGUGCCCUAAAAGAUGAUUCUGACACGUUGUCAAAUUUAUCACAUACUAUAGAUAUUAACAGCAGAGGCAUCAUUGUCAGUGCUGUAAAUAUACAGCCGACUCUUUGUAUGUUAUCUUCAUUUUUCUUGAAUUAAACAUGUUCAAAACUCAAGCCCAGCACAUUCAAACAUUGGUAGGGGAAUGGACCCUAAAGAGUAUGGGAAAACUUGGAACAUAAUUGAACAUAUCUGUGUCAACCACGUAUUUGUAUCCUAUACACUAUAGUCCAAGUAACAAAGGCAUCUACCCCACAAAACUGAACUGAAAAUUUGAAGGUUGUUUCAGCAAAGUUAGCAUUCUCAAUCUACCAUAGCAUUCUCAAUCUACCAUCUUAAGCUCCCGUGACAAGAAUGGGAAAGUUUAGCAAGCUGAUGGCAAGUUAUGGCAUUGUAAUAUUAUCAGCAUACCUAUCACAAUGUCUAACAAAAGUCCUUUUGCUAAGGCAUUAAAAAGAAUAAUGCCUACAUGUAAUAUCAAGUGGAAUAAUACAGCUCAUAUGAACUUGACUGAAGGAGCACAGGAUCAGUUCGAAGGUGAAUGAAGAUCAUCAAGAAGAAAGUCAUAAUAACAUGUGGCAACCAAAAAAAUAUCAAAAUACAGAUGAUUAAUCACAUAUAGCUAAUAUAUAAUUGGGAUAUGAUACACUAGGGUUGCGAUAAGAACCCAUUUUCUUUUCAAAUAGCUGAACUCUACUUGAUUCAUUAGCUCCUCAAAAUAAAAGAUAUCAAUGGUAUAAUUCCCUUUUUCUCAAGGCAUUAAAUGACCAUUUCAAACCUUUGGUUUUUGCAUCAAUUGCUAAUUACGUCCAUGUGGUUAACUCAUUAUUUCAUAUGUUAUUGCCAACUUUAACAAUGAAGUAUAUAGAAAAUGAUCUGAAGGCCAAAAAGUGUAAAGAUAAUCAUAAAAUCAAAAGAAACAGAGGAAAAAGUACAUAAACUUACAAGGAUCUCUUCAUCCAGAUAAGAUAUCAUGAACAGUCUCUGGAAUGUCCCACCUGGAAACACAAAGAAACUUCUGCUCAGAUUCAUGAAAUGGUUGAAUAUCAAACAGAAAAGCUAUAUAAUUUACCCAUAACCAUGUAAAAUUUUACCCUUGACACAUUAAUCAUCCAGUACAUGACAGCUGUUAAAAUUGCUGCCAAAGUCAUUGAGUGAUGACAGAAUUGGAACAGCAUCCGUUUAUGGAACUGAUUCUCUGCCAUCAUUUUCGGCUAUGAUUUCAUUCCAAAUGCAUUGGCACUACUCUUUGCCCAUAAGUAACUAUUUUAUAUAUUUGAAGUAAGGUCACCUAUUCUAAGUAUACAUUGAAGCAGGAGAUUGUGCUACCAGGAGGGGAUGGAUAAGUUCACCACAUCCUUAAUUUGACUUUGUAAAUUGCAAAAUUUGGAAACUAGCGUCCCUCAAGGAAAGAAACAUUCAAACAAUCACCUCAUUAUAUUUGUAUGGCAUUACUUUUACAACAGACACCUGGAAGAAACAUGUUGCAAAAGUGAAAAGAAAACAGAAUAGAAACAAGCUAGAUAUUGAGAUCCAGAAAAACAAUACGUUCAUAAUCUCUAACUUUGUUGUGGCUGCCCACCUUUCAGUUUUCCCAAACAAAUGUUGGGCUACAAGAACUUAUUCCACUUAAACAAUGAAUGGACUUGCCUGAGACAAUGACCCCUCUUCCUACCUACACCAACCAACCAAAAGUUCAACUUCUUGACUCGGCAACAUCCAAAGGGUUCCAAAAAGAGGGAUGGUAACUGUCUCACAUCUAAGGGAAUUCAGAAAAAAAAAAAAAAAAGAAGAAGAAGAAGAAGAAGAAGAAGAAGAAGAAGAGAGAAGGGAGACGGUAACCAUCACAAUUAGCUGGUAAUGUUUUCCUUACAUGGUAUGAAUUAACCAAGUAAAUUCAUUAUUUCUUUUGAUAAUCCACAAUAAAACCAUACAAGCUUGUAUUUCUUUUUGAUUAUCAGCAUUAUCUGGCCUUCUUAUGCUGCAGCAGAAACAGAGCCAAAACCAUCUCCUUCAAUAACCUUUGCUAGAAGUGUAUUGGUAAUACUGAGAUACAGUUCAGUAUUUUAAAUUCCCGUGUUCUUCGAUCUCAAAAGAAAAUUUACUAUUUCAUAUAGCAACCUCUAUAAAGAUAUCCAAAUGAUCAAACAGCUUUCUUUGCCAUAAAAAAAUGAUCAUAACUAUUAUAACUCUGGUAAGCACCUUCAAAGGCUAAUGACCAAGCUUUAAGCAUAAGAAAUGGAAAAACAGAAGGGAUAUUUCAGAACUUUUCAGAUACAUCAGAGCAUGUCUAUAGGUGGAAAAAGGGGCACUAAUGUCUAGCAUCCAUGAAGAUCAGCUAUGGGCUUCGAUAUUUGUUCAGAAGAACAUACUCGAGCAUACUGUUUCUCAUAAUGUAACCCUAGAUUAGAUUUGAACUAUGUUUUAGUGUUCAUUUCAGCAUGGUCUUGUGCGAUAAUGUACAUUAACAGUGAAUUCCUAUCAGCCAUAUCAUCUUAGGAGAAAAUUGGAAAAUUUGAAUGCUUACUCAGAGGAACUCGUAGUCCAUUGGCCACUGCAUCCCUAAUAGGAACUGGAAGUUGCUGGGCAGUAGUAAGAGCCUGACUAUAUGCACCUUUCAACUGCUCUGGUAUUGUUUCUUCAACAAUAGUUGGUGAUUCAAAUAUCCCCUCAACAUAUUCUUCUUUCAUCCUUAAUGGUCCCUCCACAGACACCUUGGCGGAAAGAAUAAAUUUGCUUUCUAUCUGCAUUGCACCAGAGAUAACCCUAGAUCAGUUCAAAUUUUUGUAAUGAUGAGCGCACUUCCUGGCACUCAAAUAAAAUACAAUGAAAAAGUGGCUGUUUAAUUAACUCUAUGUAGAAGAAAGUUGUUUAAUCAAAGCAUAAUUUCGGUCCAAAUUCAUACAGCAUAAUUUCGGUCCAAAUUCAUACAGCAAGUUUAAAAACAGAAAACUCAAAUGGUAAACGAGUAAAAACACUUGUUCCACACAAUUUGAGAAUUGCAAAGUUGCAGGUAAUACAAGCCAGUGACAAUACAUAUGAGAAACUAGCAGAAGGAAUAGUUCCACUGGGAAGUCAGUGCAAAGGCUUGCAGUACGUACAUGGAUGGUCCAAGCUUAUACCCUGCUUUUUCCACUCUUUGGAACAUUAUCUACAAAUAUGAAAGGAGCAACCUUACCCUCCACCAAGAUUGAGUUGAUCACAGUAUAAAAGAAACUGAGGCAAUGAUUCUAAAAUUAUCACCAGUUAUUUAACUUUGAUGGUAACAGAAAUAAAAGAGAAACUUAAUGUGGAAUCUCUUGUACACAGCAUCAUUUCAAUAUUCACAUAAUGUUACCUAAUUCACAUAAAUAAAAGGCCACCCCACCUUUCUAAACAGAAACAUUUCAACCAUAAGUAAUGAAGUUGAGUGACAACAGCUUUUGACAGUGAGCAAGAUCAAGCAAAAUUUGUUAAUACAAGUACUUUUAAAUGGGAGGAAAUUAGUCUGGUCUCAAAUUACUUAAUCUUAUUCCCCAAAUAAUGACAUCAGUGAAGGUUUAAGAUGUACAUCCAUCCAGUUAAGACUAGGGGCAAAACAUAAUCUUUACCAACUUCCAUAACAGUCGAGAAAAAUACAUUAAUUAUUCUUGUUUAGCUUAAUACUAAGAUAUAUCAAGAACAAGAAGCACAAAGUAGAUGUUGCAUAGAAAAAAUAGUAACUGAGACCACAUAGUGAUUUGGUUUGCUAAACAUUUUUUUACUAGAAUAGAUUUAAAUCAAUUUGAUUUAAUUCACAUCUGACCCAUGCAUAAAGCAGUAAUAAUAUGUUGUGCUAUGUAACUAGACACAAGGGUAAGUAUUGAAUACAGUUACGUAUCCAACAUGGACACACUCUUCAGUUAUAAGAUUUUCCGAAAAUUUGGAGGAUCAUCUCAUGUCCAAAUAUGUGUCGGAUAGAAGUGUCAAGCAUAGGUACCUUAAGAAAAAUGAAGAGUCCAAGUAACACAGGUGCUAUGCAUGAUUAAAUAAAGGAAGAUGACAGCUGAAGAUCACUAUAAAGUUCAAGGUGAGCAGUUCAUAUAGAAGACCAUCUUGAUGCUUUAUGACAAGUGACAUUUAUUUGUGUAGGAGAGCAUACAAAGUUGGUGGGGAAAUAUUUACCGAGUUAAGCAAUUUUAAAUGUGCUGCAACCUUUGCAUAUCCAUCCUUAAGAAGCAAAUUCAUUUUUGACAUUCUUGCCAAGGUCGAAGGAAAUCUCCUGCAAAGUACAACGAAACACCAAGAAGAUCAGCUGGCAGUCAUCAGAAAGAAAGGAGAUCAUCAGCUUUCAGAAGAUACUCACUCAAAUACGACUCUAGCAGCAAAAAGUCCUGGGCUUCCAGAUCCAAACCACUCAAAGUUCCAUAGACCCUCCAGAAAGGGAGACCUGGAAAGCUAUAUAAACAAAUAAAAGUCUUAUGGAAAAGAUGAACAUGCAAAUUUCGUUUUUUGACAAAGCACCUACGUUGUCGGCCUUGUUGUUGGAUUGAGCCUCUCAAGGCCAGUUAUCCUCUCAUUCACAUCAAUUCGUUGCAUAUCUGUUGUCUUUCCCGUGACUAAUGCCUCGAAACCCCCAGCAUCCUUAAACUGAAAUAGUAUUUAACAAAGUUAAGAUGAAGGGCCAAACUUUAAGAUGCAUAAUAAAAAAAUACAUGAAUAUAUUAGAUAGAACCCUCAGAAUUAAUGAUUGAUACCUGAAAUUUUAUCUCACUCUAAAUUUACCUUUUUAUAGGUCCUGAAAAAAUAGAAAAGAAAAAAAAAAGAGGCAAUUUGUAGACAGAACCUAAGCACCUAAGCUGACUGCUUUGACUUGUAAUUGAGGCAAUUAGCCAAUUACUUGUAUUUUCUUUUUCUAGGAAUCAAGAUUUGGCCUUAACUGAAAACCAACUCAAAAUUCUCGAAUGAACCACUUCUUCUUUGGGCAAUUUGUAUAACUACAAAACUUAUUAACAAUUAAAACUAGAGACAAGAAAAUGUUAGUAAGGAUAAACUCACAGCAAGCAGAAGAGAUUCCUUAGCAGAAAGUCGUUCCAUAUCUUUAGCAUAAGUAGCCGGAGCUCCUCCCUGCACUGCUUGCUGAACCAUUGCUCUACAGGACGUUCUACGACAGCUUAUCCGGUCGCCGGAGCUCCUCCGGUUACAGUCCGGCAGUCUAACGAAAGAAACUCCCACCAAAGAAGACGAAGAGAAGCUCGAACGCACAGCCGAAAUUGCAGGAAACGAUCCCUGUAAAGAAGCCAUUGGUGGAAUGAAAAUGUUUCUUUGAGUUUUUUCUUCUGUUUUUGAUUUGUUUAUUGUGAGGAGCGAAGAGGGUCAAUUUUGUGAAGCAGAUUUUUAUUUUGGUGUCUCUUAUGACAGCUGCUUUUAGAAUAAUAGAAAUUUGGUACACUAUCAAAAUAGUUAUUUUUAUUGUGUCAAGUUAUAUUUUAAUUAUUUAUAUUUUAAUUGUUACGUUUUAGUCAUUUAUAUUGUGAUGAUACAACAUAGUAGUGAUUAAAUUAUUAACAGUUUAAUAGUAAAUUGACAUAGUUCAUUAAAUCAUCAUUUUAAACAAAAAAAUUUAAGUUAAAUUAGAUAAUUAAUCCUUAUAUUUUUUUUUCCUUUUGAGUAUUUUAAUUUUUUAUUUUAUCUUUUUUUAACUUUUUUCUUUUUCUUUAUUUUCCAUUCUCUUCUACUUCUUAACUAAAAUUUUUAGAGCUUAGAGAAGAAAACGGUGGUGUUACAAGGGCACUAAUAGAGAUUUCGAGAGCAGGAAGAGAUGAAGGAAUGGUGCUUCGAAGGAACGGAAGGAGACUGGACAGAUUACUUGCAUCAGCCCUAGUGGGACUGGGGAAGGAAGAGGAGGAAGGACUAACUUGACAUGAAGGAAUUGGACUUGAAAAUGCAGAAGAUUAGGAUUUUGGGAAGAAUAUGGGGUAAUUUUAGCUUAAUUGCCUGCUAUAUCAAUCGGAGGUGGCUUACAUCCCAGAAUAACAAAACCAAUUAAAAACAAAAAGUAAUCAACAAAUCAACGCUCAAGAGGAUUAUACAGGAAAAAUAGCAGUUGAUCAAGAAAACUUGUUCACGGUCCAGUUAAUAAAGUUUCAGUUCCAACAGUUAUCGUCUUUAAGUAAGAACUAUUGUUUUCAUGCAUGACUUUCUAUUGAUUUUUCCAAUAUUCCAAGCAAGCAAACAUAAGUCAAAUCAAACUGAAAUAAAGCAGAUCAAGUAAAAAAAAAACCUAGAAAGCAUAACCAAUUUAGAAUUACUAUGGGAAUUAGAUCCAACUAAAUUACAACCAAAACAAAAUGAGCAUAGAAGGGAAAGAGUUACAUCUUGUUUGAACAGAUCGACCAUUUUGUGAGUAGUGAAAAGAAGAAGAGAAGGGUAAAUUAGGUACAUUUCGAUAAGUGGUGCCAUCAUCUUCAACAACCCAACCAGCCUUGGCACAAAGAGCUUUGAGGACCUUGUUGUUAUUAUAGUGCUUGGGCAGAUUAUAAUUUCCUUGAGCUCUCGGCCUACUAUAUAUCUUAGCAACGAUAGCUCCUCCUCCUCUCCCUCCUCCUGUUGUUCUCUCUCUCUCCCUCCACGACGGCUUCCUCUUCGAUUUUGGUGUCGAUGUCAACGUCCUCCAUUCAUCUUAGCGGUGUCGACUUCCUCCAGAAGCAGAAGAGAAUGGGAAAAAAAAAAGGGAAAAAAAAACAUAAAAGAAAAAAAUUAAAUUGCUCAAAAUGAAAAAAAUAUAGGGACCAGUUAUAUAAUUUAAUCUAAAAUUUUUGUUUGAAAUGAUGAUUUAAUGUGACGUGUCAGUUUACCAUUACACCGUUAACGAUAAUUAACGGCUCAGUGACUAAAAUGUUACAACACAAUAAUGUAAGUGACUAAAACAUAACAUUUCAAAUAAAAUUAACUAAAAUGUAACUUGAGACAAAUAAAAUGUAACAUUUCAAAUAAAAGUGACUAUUUUAAUAGUUUACCUUAAAUAUUUAACUAUUUAAAAUUAGAAUUUAGGUUAAACUAGAUAUUUAAUCAUUUAUAUGUGAUAAAAAUUACUUUUUCAUUAUUAAACUUUAAAAAGUUUGAUACUUUUUGAAUUGUUAAAAGGGUGAAAAAUAGAAAGUUACAAAAUAUAAUUUUUCUUUCCUUAAUAUUUGGCAGGAAGAUGAAAAAAAAAUGGAAGAAAAUUACCUUCUUUUCUCUUUAUAUGCAAAUUUUAUUAUGAAAAUAAUUUGCUUAAAAUUUUAGUAUGGAACCUCAAUAUAUAAUGUAUUUAUUUUAUAGGAAAUACUAUCCCUGAUGUCAAACAUAAUUUCAAAAUGUUCUGAAAAAAAAACCUUUAAAAUGUUGGAAAAGAUUGAACAUGACAAAUCUAAAAAAUGCUUCUCGUUAGAAGCAUUUUCCUAAAAAAACUAAAUAGUUUUUAAAAAUUGCUUCUUGUUAGAAACGUUUUUCAAAAAAAUUUGGGAUGUGAUGUCUGAAUUUUAUUCAUGAUUUUCGGGCCCGAGAAUUUUGAGUUUAGGGUUAGGAUUCAAAGGGGUUGAAAAUGCGAGGGAAGAAAAAGCCUCAUUUAUGGCGUGCUUCAAUGUUUCUACUGCCACCUCAGUUGAAAAUGCCUUCUACAGGAGACAAUUUCAACCCUAACCAUAACAGAGAAUCCCGUGAAAAAAUUUCGAAACAUGGGAAUCCUAAGAUAAUUUUCAAAUAUCCCAUCUUGGGAAUCCCGGACGAUCAUGGGCUCCAACAUUUUUUUUUAAUUUUCCCCCCGGUUGUCUAUAUAAAGGGAGGUUUUGCUCCUCCUUACUCCAUUAGCUCUCUCGCCCACCGUCCUUUAAAAAAAUAUUUUUUUAAUUAUUUUUUUGGUUGAAUGUUGAAAUUUUGGGAGGGAAAAAUUUAUUUGUGUUUGUGUUUGAGGGAGACAUUGUGAUAGUUAUAAGAUAAGUUUGAGUUCACAAUGAUGCGGUGGUGCUAGAAGACCCACACAUUUCAUCUACUGUGUAGGGAUAGAACCAUCACUUUAGAAGAUGUCGCAUUGCAACUCAGGCUCCCAGAUCACGGUGGCUAUACGAUCACGGGUUGAAGUAUAACUGAGGCUCCCAAUUGACGGUGGUUAUGCGGUCACAGGUUCAAGUUUAAUGUUAUCGGAAAAGGAUGCUUUAUAGACCCUAUACAUAAGUUUGAGAUCAUAAUCGUAAGGGAAGAUAAAGUGACUUUCCAGUAUAAUCAUGUAACACCCCUUACCCGAGACCAUGGCCGGAGUCGAGCAUGAGGCGUUACUUGACUUAACUUAAAAGUUCGGGGCAUAAAAAAUUUACUUUCAAAUUUAAUUUCAUCAUUCAUAAUAAAGCUGUCCUCCUGUACAGCAGUCACUAAAAUAAUUAUAAUUCAAGCUAAGAAACUCGAAAUUUAGAUCCGUAAAUUUUUCAUAAAACUAGACUCAUAUAUCUAUUCACCAUAAAUUUUUCAGAAUUUUUGCUUUAGCCAAUUAGUACAGUUUAUUAGUUGAAGUCUCCCCUGUUUCACUAAUCGACUAUCCUAACCACUCAUCACUAAAAUUUAAUUAUCUCUUAUUAAAGGCUUCAUAUGGUGAUUAAACUUAUUUCUACUGANNNNNNNNNNNNNNNNNNNNNNNNNNNNNNNNNNNNNNNNNNNNNNNNNNNNNNNNNNNNNNNNNNNNNNNNNNNNNNNNNNNNNNNNNNNNNNNNNNNNNNNNNNNNNNNNNNNNNNNNNNNNNNNNNNNNNNNNNNNNNNNNNNNNNNNNNNNNNNNNNNNNNNNNNNNNNNNNNNNNNNNNNNNNNNNNNNNNNNNNNNNNNNNNNNNNNNNNNNNNNNNNNNNNNNNNNNNNNNNNNNNNNNNNNNNNNNNNNNNNNNNNNNNNNNNNNNNNNNNNNNNNNNNNNNNNNNNNNNNNNNNNNNNNNNNNNNNNNNNNNNNNNNNNNNNNNNNNNNNNNNNNNNNNNNNNNNNNNNNNNNNNNNNNNNNNNNNNNNNNNNNNNNNNNNNNNNNNNNNNNNNNNNNNNNNNNNNNNNNNNNNNNNNNNNNNNNNNNNNNNNNNNNNNNNNNNNNNNNNNNNNNNNNNNNNNNNNNNNNNNNNNNNNNNNNNNNNNNNNNNNNNNNNNNNNNNNNNNNNNNNNNNNNNNNNNNNNNNNNNNNNNNNNNNNNNNNNNNNNNNNNNNNNNNNNNNNNNNNNNNNNNNNNNNNNNNNNNNNNNNNNNNNNNNNNNNNNNNNNNNNACACUUGAUCAGAUAAGUGUAGCUGAAGCUACCACUUAUCACUUUAUCACUUGAUCAGAUAAGUGUAGCCACUUAUCACUUUGUUUCUUGAUCAGAUAAGUGUAGCCACUUAUCACUUUGUUUCUUGAUCAGAUAAGUGUAACCACUUAUCACUUUGUUUCUUGAUCAGAUAAGUGUAGCUAAAACUACCACUUAUCACUUUGUCACUUGAUCAGAAGUACUCAAAUCCGAUGUUCCACUUAAUUUGAUCAUUUAUUCGAUUUUCACAUUUUUAUUUUAUUCUCAUUUCAACAAUAAAUACAUUUCACCAUACAUUGUAUAAUUCAUGAAAUUAACAUUUAAUCAUUAAAUUUCAGCCAUAUGAACUUACCUGGAUCGAUUUGCAGAAUUUGUAAAAGUUCAGGGACUAAUCGGCUACUUUUUCUUUUCCUCGACUUGUUUCAGGUUCUCGAUCUAAAAUGCAAAUUUAUUCAUUCAUCAGCAUUUAAUUCAAUUCUAAUUCAUUUCACAAUUUAUGCCCUUUAAUUUUCGAAGUUACACUUUUACCCCAAACUUUACAGUUUUUACAAUUUGAUCCCUACUCAAUUAACCCCUCAAUUGAUCUAAUUUUUCUCAAUUAACACCUUUUCCAACUAUUUUAGACUACUACAUAGCCUUUCAUACUCAAAACCGCAACACCAAACCUUAAUUCCCAACUUUUUCACAAUUAGGUCCCUAAAAUCAAUUUCUAUCAAAAUUACUUAAUAAAAUCAUCAUAUAACAAAAUUAAAGCUUCAAUUUCAUGUUUAUUCAUCAUAAAAAUCCAACACUAAUCAAUGGUAACUUUCAAAAUCAGCCAUGGAAUCAAAACUAAUGAAAUAAUUAGUUGGACCUAAUNNNNNNNNNNNNNNNNNNNNNNNNNNNNNNNNNNNNNNNNNNNNNNNNNNNNNNNNNNNNNNNNNNNNNNNNNNNNNNNNNNNNNNNNNNNNNNNNNNNNNNNNNNNNNNNNNNNNNNNNNNNNNNNNNNNNNNNNNNNNNNNNNNNNNNNNNNNNNNNNNNNNNNNNNNNNNNNNNNNNNNNNNNNNNNNNNNNNNNNNNNNNNNNNNNNNNNNNNNNNNNNNNNNNNNNNNNNNNNNNNNNNNNNNNNNNNNNNNNNNNNNNNNNNNNNNNNNNNNNNNNNNNNNNNNNNNNNNNNNNNNNNNNNNNNNNACAAAUUUUACACUAUUCCCAAUUUAGUCCUUUUUAGUUAAUUAACUAUCCAAACGUUAAAAUUUUCUAACGAAACUUUAAUACCAACUCAAUGACACUCUAUAAAUAUUUCUAAAAAUAUUUAUGGCUCGGUUUAAAAUCUUCGAGGUCUCGAUACCUCGUUUUUUAUUUUAAUUAUUUUAAUAUUUAUUCCUAGUACACUAUUCACUAUUUCAAAAAUUUUCCUAACUUCACAUUUAACUUAUACUUACUAAAUUUAUAAUAUUUUCUACUCGUUUGUCAGAUUUAGUGAUCUCGAAUCACCAUUCCGACACCACUAAAAAUUCAGGCUAUUACAAAUCAACUUAUUCUUUUUCUCCAUCUCCAUUAAAGUAGUAUAUUUAAUCUCAUUGUCAAUAACCUGUGACAGAGUUGGAGGCAAUAAGACUUUCUAGGGGAGGAGUGACGGUGACGGUGGAGAAAGCUGAAACACGACUCAAGGCGAUAACGAUUGCUACUAUCAAAGAACUUAUUAAUAACUACAACUGCUGCCACUCGACUCGAGUUUUAGUUUUUUCUCCAUCGUGACGGUUACUCCCCCUGAAAGUCUUCUUGGCCCCAACUCUGUCACAGGUUUCAAACAAUGAGGUUAAAUAUACUAUUUUAAUAGAAAAUGAAUAAGUUGAUUAUAUUGUAAAUCCUUUUUGUCACUUAUAAUUAUAAUCUCAAACUUACAUACGGGGUUUAUAAAGCAUCCUCUUCCGGUGGCAUGAAAGUUGAACCUGUGACCGCAUAACCACCGUUAAUUGGGGCCUAAUUUAUACUUGAACCCGUUAUCGCAUAAUCACUGUCAACUGGAAGCUUAAGUUGCAAUGCAACAUCUUCUAAGGUAAUGGUUUUAUCCCCCAUACGACAAAUGAAAUAUGUAGGUCUCCGAGCGUUAUUGCAUCACUGUAAAUUCAAACAUACCUUAAAACUAUCACAAUAUCUCCUUCAAACACAAACACAAAUAAAUUUUUCUUUCCAAAUUUCCAACACCCAACUCACAAAAAAAUUUUUUGGAAGAAAACGCUUAUUACAGGAUGCAUUUUUUGUUUCUCUCUCCAAAAUCGAUCUAUUUUCCUAAAUUUGGGAAAAAUGAUCUAAAUCCCUAAUUAAUUUUUAAAAAAACAACCUUUUAUCUAAUUAACCCAUUAGAUUUUAGGUUGAGUUAGAUAUUUAAUCAUUUAUAUGUAAUAAAAAUUACAUUUUGAUUAUUAAACUUUAAAACUUACAAUAUAGUCGCUUAUGUUAUCAGUUUGUUACCUUUUGAAUUGUUAAAAGGGUGAAAAAAUAAAAAGAUACAAUAUCUUUUUUUUUCUUUUCAUAGGUGUGUUUGGUAGAGUUGAAAAAUGAAAUAAAAUAAAAUAAAACAUUUAAAAAUUGCAUAAUUUUAAACUUUAACAAGUUUACGCGUAAGAUAUCCAACACCUAAUGUUCGUACAACAGUAUCCAAAAUUCCUUUUCGGGCUUCGUAACAAGAAAUGAUAUAUCCUGUUAAAGACAAUCAUUCGUGUAAGUUGCUUAUCAUACACUUCUCUCCCAACUUCUCUCAUCUCAUCAUUCCAAUUUGAAAGAAUUGAUUUUUCUGUAUUAGAAUGGAAAAUGGUCUCUCAUUCUAUUUUCUUUCCUCUCACUUUUUUUUCUUGUUGAGCAUAUUCAAAAUUUAUUUUCUUUCCAAAUUUUUCACUGCCUCCUCUCAUUAAAAUUAUUUAUUAAAAAGAAAAGUAGUCAUUAUUUCUUGGGCAGUAAAAAAAGUAAAAGUGAAAAUUUAUCACCCACUUAAACGGGAAAAAUAAAAUUAAAAGUCCUUUUUUUUCAAUAUUUACCGAAAUGGGCCCGGUAAAUAAUUAUUUACCGGAAUGGGCCUUUUUUCCCGAAAACGCAUCCACGUUAGCACGAUCUCAGGGUACGUGACAGGAAAACACGACCUCAAGGGCGCGCUUUGUCCACGUAGACAGAAAGCGCGCUGAUAUGGACGCGUUUUGUUGCCACAUCAGCACGUCCCAGGGGACGCGUUUUCCCCGCGCGUGAACAGUACCAAUGGUCAUUUUUUUGACCGUUGGCCCCCCCAACGGUAAAAAAAACUAUAAAAACCCCCCACCCCUUCAUUUUUUUCACAAAUUAAUCCUUUCUCAAUUAUUUUCUCAAUUUUCUCUCAAUUUCCUUUCAAAUUGCUCUCAAUUUCCUUCCAAAUUUCUCUCAAAUCCAUAUUUAAUCUCAAUUUGCUCUCAAUUUCCUCUUAAAUUUCUCUUAAAUCCCUAUUUUUAAUUAUUUUUUAAAAAAUUUAAUUUUUUAAAAUUUUUUAAAAUCGUAAAAAUUUGUACGAAUUUAGCAAUGGCCGGAGAAUUGAUUCAUCUUGAUAACAAGUAUAUAUCCGUCGAACAAAUGAAAAUGGUAAGUGUUAAAUUUAUUUUUUAAAAUAUUAUUUAAUAUUUUUUAUUUAUGCAUUUUUAAAUAAUUAUUAAUUUAUUAUUUGUCAUAAAAGUUUGUAGAUCGGAUAUUGGAAUGCUAUAUCCGGAAUAUGCAUGGUCAUCCAUCACCGUUGGUAGAGAAUUACCUGUGAGAAGCGGGUUUUUGGCACGUGGCAACAGUAGGCCGAGGAUACAAGUUGGACCCGAAACUUAUCAGUGCGUUGGUUGAAAGGUGGAGACCUGAGACGCACACAUUCCAUCUUCCAUGUGGAGAGUGCACUAUCACUUUAGAAUAUGUCAAUCUGCAAUUGGGUUUACCGGUGGACGGGUACCCAGUCAUCGGGUCUGUUCAAUCUGGCGAUUGGGGAGCGAUGUGCUACGAGCUUUUAGGCGCUAUUUCGGAGAAAAUUAACGAAGGUCGGAUCGAGAUGGGAUGGUUACGAGACACAUUCCCAGAUUCGGAUGAUGAUUCAACCGAAGUAGAAAGAAUCUGAUAUGUUCGGGUAUACAUUCUUCAGAUAAUUGGAGGUUAUCUGAUGUCGGACUUGUCACAGAACCUCGUACAUCUAAGAUGACUGUUGAAACUUGUUGAUUUUAGAGCAGCUGGUGAAUUGAGUUGGGGGUCUGCCUUGUUGGCAACAUUAUAUCGGGAGAUGUGCAGGGCGACGCGACCGAGUAAAGCGAAAAUCGGAGGUUGCCUGUCACUUGUGCAGUCAUGGGCACGGUUUCGCUUUUCAUUUUUACGUCAUCGAGUGGACUAUCCAUAUACAUUCCUACUCAUAACGAGGUAAAUUUUAUAUUAGAUUUUACAAUUAUUACGUAGAUUUUUAAAAAAAAUAGUAUGUUAAAAUUUUAUUUAAUUAGGUGGAACCAUCCUACAAGUUAUGCUCGAUUACUUAUCUCUCUUGAAGAUAUACGGCUUCUAUUGGACUAACGGUCGGAAGCAUAAGUAAGUAUUAAAUAAAAUAGAUAUUUCCAUAAUGAGAUAGUCGAUUGGUAUUUAGUAUUUAGUACAUAACUAAUAUUUCCAUCAUGGUCAUAUAGUUUGAAUGGACACCAUACGAGGAUCCGGCAAUUCGGGCAGUAAUUCCGGAUGAGUACUUCCAAAAUCGAAACGGUUGGCAUGUGAAAUUCCCAUUGGUCAACUUUGCGACUGUAGAGAUGCACCAGUCGGACAGAGUAUUACGGUAAUUUAGAUUUCGACAACCGAUUCCCGUGGCACCUGAGGUGUUGGAUGAUCAUCACAAAAUCGACCUACAACAAUUUCAUACGGAUUGGCCGAGAUUCUGGUCACACUACAUCCAAAUAUGAGAAGAUCGGUAUGACUAUAUACCUACUCGGGAACCGAUCAUCGUUCCAAAGUUAGCGUGCGUGCUGGAAUACAUGCCAUAGUUUAGGAUCAAUGGGAAGCUGUAUUUACUUUCGCCAGAGGAGAGGCAGCAGCAAUUGUGUGUCCAAAGGGAACGACAUGGCCCUUUAAAUCCAAAAAGAAGGGACGACGAUGCAGGCCCAUCAACGAGGCCUAGAAAUUUACCCGGCCCAUCAUCAGCGCCCAUAACUUCAUCAAGCCUAGCAACAGCACUGACACAGUCACUCGACCCAGCAGUUCAACCGACGAUACCCACUGCACAACUUUUUCAGAUGAUGCCAGGUGCAUAUCCUAGCCCUUUUAUGUAUCCUGACCCUUAUAUGUUUCCUUUUCCUAGUCUCAUGGCAGGUUGGAGUCAAUGGAUCGGUUCAUCUCCAUUUUCGACUACGUCGAUUGGAUCGCCGAUGUAUAGGUCAUCGUCGCAGGAGGGAUCGCAAGAGGGGCCGUCAGGGAGCUCUUUUUUUUACCAAACCCCAUCACUGUAUGGGUUUCAAAUACCUUCGCUGUUGGUGAUGCAAACACCUCCACAUUCACUAUUCUAUCAAGGUGACUCAUCGUCCCAACACCGACAACCAGAUCCCCUACUGGAUGAACCAGAAUCCCUGUCGGAGCAACCACAACCCCCACCGGAAGCUGGACAAAGAAGGAAUCCAGUGCGUAACCAUCGAUGACCGCCAUGUGGUACUGAAUCCGGCGGGCACGGAGAUUGAUUUUUAUUUUAAAAUAUUUGUACAAAAUAGUUUAUAUUAAUGUAAUAAAAUACAAAAUAGUUUAUUUUGAAUAUUUUGAUAUUAUUUGAUGUAAUAAAAUACAAAAUAGUUUAUUUUGAAUAUUUUGAUAUUAUUUCAUUUAAUAAAAUACAAAAUAGUUUAUUUUGAAUAGUUUGAUAUUAUUUGAUGUAAUAAAAUACAAAAUAGUUUAUUUUGAAUAUUUUGAUAUUAUUUCAUUUAGUAAAAUACAAAAUAGUUUAUUUUGAAUAUUUUGAUAUUAUUUCAUUUAAUAAAAUACUGAAUAUUUUGAAUAUCUUAAUAAUAGAAAUUCUUUUAAAUAAGGCAAUAUUUUGAACACUUGACAUAUUAUUUCAUUUAAUAAAAUACAAAAUAGUUUUGAAUAAAGUGAUUGUAAUUUACUUUAAUAUUUUUAAUGAAAUAGAUUUAAAAUAAAAUAAGUAAAUAUUUUGAAUAUUUGUACCAAUUUUUUAUUUUAAAAAAAUAUAAAUAAUACAAAGUUGUUUACAAUUACGUUCAACUAUUGCGAUUUGGAUAUGAUCGGCUUGUAUGACCUAGAUUUUUACACCAUCCGCACAACUUUUAUUGACUGGUUGUUUCUCGGAUAUCCAUAUUGUUACGUAUUCUAGUUGAGCAAGGUCGACCAUUUGGUUUGCGACGCAAUUCUCUAUCCGGUAAUAGCUUAAAAGGAGCAAGCGAUACGGGCGGCCACUUACGUUCAUCUGGGACCAGUGAGAAAAUGUGUCUCCAGAUGUUGUACAUGUUUUCUAAUUUGUAUACUUUGUCGACAUAGCUCAUCGGAUCCAGAUGGAGAUUCUGACAAGCUGCAAUUACAUGAGUGCAUGGAUAACGAAGUGCAUCAAACAUCCUACAGUCACAAGUCAUAUUUCGCAAAUGUACAUGAUAUUGUCUGCCAAUAAUACCUUGGUGCGGUCUGUCAAACUCUGCCACGCAAAACCAUAAGUUGUCUUGAUCGUGACACACUGUGUACAUGGUGUUCGCCCGCUCCUUGGCCUUGUUAAUUUCUUGCACUACCUUACUGCACCAUACAUGGCCUCCCUGCAUCUGACCUGCAUAACUCGCUGCUUGUUUUGGAAAUAGCGCCGCCAAACGAAAAUAUGUCUCUCGCACAACCGAUGUUAUCGGUAGAUGGCGCGUUCCUUUUAGAACAGAAUUUAUGCAUUCAGCCAGGUUUGAGGUCAUAUUACCAUAUCGUAGGCCGACAUCGUAUGCGUGCGCCCAUUGUUCAAAACGUAUGUUACAAAGGUAGUCCGCGUAUUCGCCGUUAAUUGAACACAAAACUACCAACAUCUCGUGAAAACGGUCUUUAUUUAUUUUAUACCCUGCUAAUAUAAGUUCAUAGCGAGUAUUAUAUACCACUUUUUCAUUUAUAAUAAAUUUAAAACGACAAACGAAAUAACACAGACAGAGACUAAAUGCCCAUGUUGGUCACUUGUCGUUGUUCGCUCUUAGAUGGAUAUUGCCUGUAGUAGUUGGAAGCAACAUGUCUUAGGUAAUAUCGAUGGUAUGUGCGCUGCCAUAAGCUUCCAUGUCGAUUAAAUGCAGCUAGUAAACCGGUGCCCCGAUCUGAAAUAACACAGAUAUCAAGUUAGGGGCACACAUGCCUCAUUAACCUAGAUAGAAAAAAAUCUCAGUCAUCAGAUGACUCCCCCAGUGUUAUUGCAAACACAAUUGGAAGAAUUCUCCCACCGCCAUCCUGUGCCACUGCAAGCAAUAGGGGUGAGCAAAAUUCGAUUCGACUCGAAAAAAUCGAAAAAAAUUCGAAUUUCGAGUUAAACGAAUCGAGUUAUUCGAGUUAAUCGAGUUAUUCGAAUCAACUCGAAUUUUUUUUCGAAUUUCGAGUUCGAAUCGAGUUGAGUUUUCGAAUUUGAAUAACUUGAAUAAUUCGAAUAAUUCGAAUAUCAAACUAUAAUAUUUUACAUUUUUACCCCAAACUCCCAAACAUUUUUACUUUUCCCUCAAAACUUUUACUCCUUCCCACUUUCCCCCCAAAACUUUUACUCCCCUCCCCUCCUAACCCCUCAAUCUACCCAACCCANNNNNNNNNNNNNNNNNNNNNNNNNNNNNNNNNNNNNNNNNNNNNNNNNNNNNNNNNNNNNNNNNNNNNNNNNNNNNNNNNNNNNNNNNNNNNNNNNNNNNNNNNNNNNNNNNNNNNNNNNNNNNNNNNNNNNNNNNNNNNNNNNNNNNNNNNNNNNNNNNNNNNNNNNNNNNNNNNNNNNNNNNNNNNNNNNNNNNNNNNNNNNNNNNNNNNNNNNNNNNNNNNNNNNNNNNNNNNNNNNNNNNNNNNNNNNNNNNNNNNNNNNNNNNNNNNNNNNNNNNNNNNNNNNNNNNNNNNNNNNNNNNNNNNNNNNNNNNNNNNNNNNNNNNNNNNNNNNNNNNNNNNNNNNNNNNNNNNNNNNNNNNNNNNNNNNNNNNNNNNNNNNNNNNNNNNNNNNNNNNNNNNNNNNNNNNNNNNNNNNNNNNNNNNNNNNNNNNNNNNNNNNNNNNNNNNNNNNNNNNNNNNNNNNNNNNNNNNNNNNNNNNNNNNNNNNNNNNNNNNNNNNNNNNNNNNNNNNNNNNNNNNNNNNNNNNNNNNNNNNNNNNNNNNNNNNNNNNNNNNNNNNNNNNNNNNNNNNNNNNNNNNNNNNNNNNNNNNNNNNNNNNNNNNNNNNNNNNNNNNNNNNNNNNNNNNNNNNNNNNNNNNNNNNNNNNNNNNNNNNNNNNNNNNNNNNNNNNNNNNNNNNNNNNNNNNNNNNNNNAAGGUGGACAAAUUGGGUGACAAUGGUUACAAGGACCCAAAAUUAUUUUUUAAAAUUUAACUCGAACAAAUAUAUUCGAUUCGAUUCGAUUCGAUUCGAUUCGAAUUCCAUCUCACUCGACUCGAUUCGAGAAAACUUCAAAUAAAGUUAGGAUGAUAAAAUGAUAUUCGAAAACUCGAUUAACUCGAAAAUUUUCGAUUCGAUUCGAUUCGAUUCGAUCGAAUGCUCACCCCUAGCAAGCAAUAGUCGAUGAGUAUACCUACCAAACAUAAAGGUACCGUCAAUUUGUACCAAUGGCUUGCAGUAUGGAAAUGCAUCUUGGCAUUGCUUAAAGGUCCAAAACAGGCGUUUGAACACUUGGCAUCCACGUAGCAAUCGGCCGUUGUAGUACGCAUGUUCCGUUUCAAGGUCUGUGAUGCAACCUGGGACGUAUCUCUCUAACACUUGACACCACUGUCAUAUUUCAUUAUAUAAAGCGUCUCACCCACAAAGCAUAUUCUCUAACGCCUUCUGCUUAGCUAUCCAAGCCUUGCGGUAAGAGCGCGUGUAUCCCAUUUUGCUACGAAUAUUGGCAAUUAAGACCGGCACUGAAGUCUUGAGACCUACCUUCACUGUGGGUAGUAUCAAGCUAGCUAACAUAGCUAAAUCCAUAUUGGGAUGAUCUUGUGAAACACCUAUAAACGGAGUACAUUAAAUAAUGCAACAUUACAUAAUAACAGUAUUAUUCAAAAACCAUUAAUACUGUACCUGCAGCACAUGUAUGUGGACCUUUGUACUUUUUUAUCUCCCAUAACCCUGUCCUUUUCCUCAACAAGGCAUAGAUUUUCCAUGACUUCGCCUCAAACUUAUCAGAUUUGGAUUUAACCACGUGGUAGUUAACACCGUUAUUGAUGCUAUAUUGUUUUAAAGCACCAAUAAAACUAUCAUUGUUGGAAAAUUGAUUACCAACUUCAAAUUCACCUGAAUCCAGCCCCGAACUUGUACGAUCACGCAACCGGUGUGGUAGAUCUAGAAACUCUAACGCAUCAUAUGCAGACAGGUCGACAUUAUGCAUGUGGGCUGAAGGUGAGUAUGCUUUGAAUCGUAGAUUUUUUUCUUCAUCUGAACUCCUUUUAGCAUCUUCAGGUUCUGUUGGAAUAGGUUCUAAUUCAGAAAAUAAGCCAACUUCUGUACCAUCGGGCUCGGUUCUCGAGGUGGAUCCACAUCGGAGUCAUCUUCUAACCCACUAUCAUCUGCAACGUACGAUGUCCCCUCACCGGUGGACGUCGUAGGGAGUACAUCAUCCCUUUUUCUGGGCAUUUCAUAACGUCCCCAAUUGAAUGUAGAUUGCCAAUCACUAGAACUUGAUGUCAUUCCCCAGUACGUAUUUCCAGCAUCAAACAUCGAGCCACCGACGUACAUGUCCUAUCCACCGACAGAGUGUCUUGUAGGGGAUGUGCAUUCCACACCGCUACCAAACAUGGGCUGUUCUGUAUUUUGUAACUUGCUAACCGAGUGUCAGCCAAGGGUCGUGUAUACCUCUCAAACACCAGUCGCAAGUACAUCAUUUGGCGAUGUAAAUUGUACAUAUAACCCAGUAUAAGGUGCACCACUAGCAAGAUGAGUCUGCACCAUUGCCUCUAAGCUACGAGCACCUUUUAUGUCGAACGAGUAAUAUGUCACCGGAUCAACAGAAGAACAAAAUCGAUACGUAAUAGAUAAAACUUUCAUUGGCAUCGUUCCAAAAAUUUUACGCCUAAUUCUUUUACGAAGUUCUGUCAAAUAUAUGUUCUGGUUAAAAACCAGUUGCACUGUAUUCUCCGAUAAAAAACAACACCGUUCUCGGUGUGACAAACUUCACCAUCAUAGUAAAUAACAACACUAAUACGUUCACUCAUCUUUAAUUUCUAACCUUCUUAGCCUCUCUAAAUUGUUUUUGCUGUAACUUAUGCAAUCCGAGAACAUUUUUUGCCUCAUUUAUAGCCUCAGCCCAAACAUGCUACUGUAGCAAAAACGUGUCCACGUGGGAGCGAUUUCAGAAAUUCUUCUGAUAAAACAUCCUGCUUGAAGCGUUUUUUAUACUAUUUGCUCAGAAACGUCAAUUCGAAAUUAUUUUUUCAGGACCUACUAUAGCAAAAGCGCGUCCACGUGAGAGCGAUUUCAGAAAUUCUUCUAAUAAAGUAUCCUACUUGAAGCGUUUUUAUACUAUUUACUCAGAAACGUCAACUCAAAAUUAUUUUUUCAGGACCUACUGUAGCAAAAGCGCGUCCACGUGGGAGCGAUUUUAGAAAUUUUUCUGAUAAAAUAUCUUGGUUGAAGCGUUUUUAUACUAUUUGCUCAGAAACGUCAACUCAAAAUUAUUUUUUCAGGACUUACUGUAGCAAACGCGAGUCCACGUGGGAGGGAUUUCCUUAAUAAAUUUUUAAUUUAAUUACUCAUGUAACCCUAAACCCUAAUUUAAUUAAUUUUUUCUUAAAAACCAUAAACACGAAACCUAAUCCAAUUUUGAAAAAAAUAUAAUUAAUUUAAUUAAGAUACCCUAAACCUUAAUCCCUUAUUUGUUUAAUUUUUUCUCCAAAACCUUAAAAAUCCUAAAAAGCCUAAACCCUAAACCUAACCCUAACCCUAACCCUAACCCUGACCCUAAAAACCCAAAACCUAACAUAGGGAGAAACGGGCAAAACGCGUCCCCAAGGGAGCGCUUUAUGUGGCAACAAAACUCGCCCUUGAGGGAGCGAUUUCCGUCCAUGUAAGCAAAGCGUGCCCUCAGGGACGCGAUUUUCUGCCAUGUCCCCUGACAUCGCGCUGAUGUAGACGCGCUUUCGGGGAAAAGGGCCAUUCUGGUAAAUAAUAAAAUACCGGGCUCAUUUCGGUAAAUUUAAAAAAAAGGGCUUUUAAUGGUGUUUUGCCCCACUUAAACACCCGAAAAAGGUGAGUCUCCAAUUGAGUCGGUGAUGUUGCUGUUGACCCUGAUCUAAAGGUAUCUUGUCCUGAGGUGGUGAGAGCUUUCCUUCAAAAAAAUAUAUGCGAAAACAUAUUACUGUUUAAUUUUCUAUUCGCUAGAGAGAUGAAUAAGGCAAUAAAAGCAGCCAUUUUCAACUCUCAAGGCAACUAUAAUUUCCAAAGGGCUACUUUCUUCCAUUCCACUCUCGUCCUUAAACGCAAAAUAUGCAAUUAUUGGCAAUUUGUAUGCUUUCUUGGACUUUUUUUAAGCAUGUUUCUUUUAAUGGAUUUUUUUUUUUGUUUUCUGAAAUUUUGUUAUCAUUUUUUUCAUGAUUUAUGGUGUCUUAGAUUGUAUAAUUUAGGUUGAGAGAGCUUUUCUUAAUAUAAAAUUUCUUAAGGUUAUAAUUCUCUCUUGAUUAAAUGUAAUAUGCAAUGUAAAAUCAGUUGUCAUUCGAGAUCUGUUAGAAAUACGAUUUAAGUUUUUGAGGUAGAAAAUUACAUUUUUACUUAAGAUAUUAUAUUCAUUGAAAGAAAUGGAUUCCGAUUUUUGAGUGCUUGUACGAUGAAUACUCUUUUUGAUUUAUUUGAUUUUGGUAGAUGCAUAUGAAAAUAAAUAUUUAGUUAAAGCAUCCAUUGUUGAGUUAAUAGUAGAUUGCAAUAAUUUUCUAGGAUGAUUGGAGUUAAGUUUCACCUUCUUUUAAGUUAUAAUAAAUUAUAAUUUGUAAGAAAUAAUCAAUCCAAAUACAAUAUAAUAGAUAAAACCUAAUUAGCUUGAAUUAAAUAAAUUAAAUUCAAAAUAAAUUAUUGAUUAAAAUUUUCUAAAGGUUGAAUUACUCGCUUGAAAUAUAAGAAAAUUAAAUAAAAAUAUAAAGCUCGAAAAUUAAAUUUGAGAAAAACUUUAGGCCCAUUUUUCAUUUGAAUCAAGCUUAGAAAUUUUAUCUAACCUAAAGGUUAAGCCCAAUUUCUAAUCAAUAAAACUCAAGCCCAAACUAAUUCUAAGCCCUAAUUUAUUCCAAACCUAAUAGAAGUCUACUGCCAAUUUCGAUUUUGCCGUCCAACAUAUCCCUCAAAGACAAAAGAAGCCUCAUUCCGGUAAUGGGUUUUCUUUAAUUUCCUCAAAAGUAAGCUACAACUCAACUCCCAAAUCUGUCUUUUAGAUUGAUACGAAUGUUUUGUACCCCGUCCCAGUCCAACUCAGAUGCCCCGUCUUCAUCUUGUUCUUCCGUUGCAGUUCAUUUAGCUGUGAGUAUUUUGUUGGGAAUUGUGAAUUUGAUGGUUAAUUGAGCACAUUAUAAUAGGAAAAGUUGAUGUGCUUUUGUUGUAACCAAGCAACUAAUUUAGUGUUUUACUUUUAUGUAGUAUGCUGCCUAUGUGAUUAGUAUACAAUUUUUUUUCAAAGUUUAGUGUAUAUUAGGGUUCAAAUGCGUAUGUGGUGGAGUUGGUUUUCUCUUCUAUCAACUUUAUCUGGAAUAUUGAUUAUGGGUUUGCAUUCAAUUAUCUGUGAAAUUGUAGUUAUGUGAUCAACCUCCAUUAAAAAUUAUGAUAUAAAUUGGAUUAUUCUUUGUAUAAGCCAAGUUGGUUUCAUGAUUUCAUCUUUAACUGUUUUUUUUUUGUUAUUUUGCAUUAUGAUGGAGAUAUAAACAUUACAAUUAAGCUUCCUUUUAUCGAUGCUCUUUUUUACUUUGUGGAUACCAAUAAAAAUAUCUGUUUUGGAUCUACUGUAAUUUAGUUGUUUUAUUUGUUUGAAACAUUUGCUUCAUAGGAAUUAGUUUUCACUUCAUUUUUUAUGUUGAAAUGUUGUGGAGAAGGUUUGUGAGUCCCCCCUCCCUUUAUUCUUACAGUCAUCAUUUUCUAUAUUAUCUGUCAUUUGUCAAGCUUACUCAAUGUUUGAUUAUUUGUCUUUUUCACCCUAAAUUAGAUUAACAUAGCAUGAUUUUUCCAGAAAUGGCUCCUUUGAUUUCUCAAAUAUUGCUAGCAAUACAGCUUCUAGGAAAUUUAUAGUACCGUAUGCAUUAAGCAUUAGAAGAAUCUUAGCCUUUAGCUUUGUUGGAGGGAGCAGAAUGGGAUUCAUAUCUUACAUGCUCGGCAGCUCAGUAUUCGUUGAUUUUUUCCAUUUCUUUUUUGGCAAAUUGAAGGCACUAGAAAUUGUAAUUCUCGUAGUUGUAUUGUUGAACCUCGAAUAUUUUCCUACAAGAUGAUUGUAAACUAAAUGCUUUGAUAAACUGAAAGUUGGAAUCUGUAUUGACAUUAUUCAAGAUCUGAUCCAAAGUCCAAAUCCUUAUUGUGCAGUAAAAAAACGAAAAGUAAAAAUGAAAAAUUAUCACCCGCUUUAACUCCUGAAAAAGGCGAGUCUUCAAUUAAGCCGGUGAUGCUGUUGUUGUUUCUAAUCUCAAGGCGUCUUGUCUCAGGGCUGCAAGCUUUCCUUCAAGAAACCUAUGCAAAAACGUAUGACUGUUUAAUCUUCUGUCUGGUGGAGAGAUGAAUAGGGCAAUAAAAGCAGUCAUUUUCAACUCUCAAGGCAGCUGUCUUUUCCAAAGGGCUGCUUUCUUCCAUUCCACUCCUGUCCUUGAACACAAAAAACGCAAUUACUGGCAAUUUGUAUGCUCUUUUUCUUUCUUUUCUCUGUUAAUUAUUAAAUUAGAUAUUUAUAGUUUUAAGCAUGUUUUCUUUGAUGGGUCUUUUGGUUUUAUGGAAUUUUAUUUUCAUUCUGUUUUCAUGAUUUAUGGCGCCUUAGAUUAUAUAAUUUUGGUAGAGAGAACUUUUCUCAAUAUAAAAUUUUAAUCCUAUUGCACUCCUUGUUUUGGAUAAGUUAAUGGUGAAAUUGGAGCCUUUUUUUCUACCUGGGGUUCUGUAUAACAUGUAAGUGAAGAUACUGGAGUCUUGGCUGUUUCUAUGAUUUGUUUCAAUGACUGCUGGAAACUUCGAAGAUUAAAGAAUGUAAAAUUUUUUUUUUGGAAAAUAGUGAAACCUGUAAAUUUAGUUAUACAUUUAAUUGAGUAGUUUAUGGUUUAUGAUUGUUAAGUGCAAAAUACUAGAUAUUUUCAUUUGGUAAAAAUGAGAAAAUUUAAAUCAGGUUUUGUGUAAUAAAAUUUCAUAAGGCUAUAAUUCUGUCUUGAUUAAAUGUAAUCUGCAGUGCAAAACUAGUGAGUAAAUUUUUUAAGGAAGAAAAAUACAUUUUUGCCUAAGAUGUGUAUGAAAAUAAGUAUUUAAUUAAAGCAUCCAUUGCUGAGUUGAUAGCAGAUUGCAUUAAUUUUCUAGGAUGUUGGAGUCAGGUUUCACGUUUUCUUUAAGUUUUGUAUUUGUAGACACAUUUAUUUUUUAAGCAUUAGUCUCACCCUUUGCUAAGCUAGAACUUCUCAGAUAUUAGUUCUGCUUGGUUUAGGGGGACUGUUGCUGGUUGAGCCAAUUCUCGCAUUCCAUUAAGAAUAUUUAUUUUCUUUUGGUUUAUUAUUCCACCAAUAUAGACAAAGAAUCCUUGUUAAAUUCGUUGUUGUUGUUUGAUAAUCUUAUCAUUUAACUUGCAGUACUUUAAAAGUGUUCUUUUAUUGCUUUCAGCAUUUUGAAUGAUAUUCAUGUUGUUCUUGUAAUACUUUUGUUUGCAGGGUAAGAGGAAAAGAAGGAUGCGUGCAAAACAAGAAUUACUGCGCAAUUUUGGUGCUUAUGCAGAUAUCAUGUUUGAGGUUUCUUUUCAAAUCGAUUAGUUGUUUUUCUAGUUUAUGUAUAUUGUAAUAAAACCUGUAUGGUCAUGGAAAAGCAAACAUACUCCUGUGGGUUCAAAAGUUGCAUUAUGGAGGACUUGUAUUGCACUGGCUCAUGUGCUUCUGUUUGUAUCCCUAGUCAGUCGUAGUUGUGUCAUCCCAUUCCUGAAUGGAGCUAUGCUACAUUUUUGGGAUUUCCAUUCAUGUAUAUAGGUGCAUCUCCUGCGGGUCUUAUAUAAUUUGUGGGAUCAGCAUGCACUGCUGUUGCCUUAUCGUAGAACUGAUUCUAAUUUAGCCAAUAAUGCUUACUUUUAAAUGGAACUCUAGUUAAUGUAGUCAAGAUCUAAACCAAUGUACUCGCUGGUUAAUUGUGUUUCUUUGGUGAAAAUUUAGUAGUGUAAUAUGUUUUAUCGACCUUUGAGCAUAAUAAUUCUUUUAAAAUUUUAAAAUUAUCAUAAAAUGUUCAAUUUUGAAUGCAAAAUCUAGAAAAAAAAAAAACAAAUUUUUUUAAGCUCAAGGUUGUAAUAGUAAUACAUAUUGCAGAAAGUUUUUUUUAAGCAUUAGUGAUCUUUGUACGUUUAGCUUAUUAGAAUACUAUUUUCUUAACUGGUAUCUUUGAAUCAAAGGGUUUCAACUGUUCUUUGGUCAUUUUGCUUUCAGAACUGGAGAGAUGAGUUUCAUGAAGAUGAUCCGUCAUCAAGUAGAGGCCCGUCAUGGUUCAAAAGACAGCAAAGUAAGGGAUCUAGAAGAGAUUGGUCCGACAAUAAGGGAUUUUAUUACAGGGGUAGAAGUAAGGAUUUUAAUCUCUUAGAACUUAAAAUUUUCAGACCUAUAAUUAUGUUACAUGACCAUAAAGAAUUUUUUCUACAUUGAAAGGAGCCUCUAGAUUGGAUUUCGUUCUAUUUUUCCAAGGAGUGACCUUUUGAAACCCGAGUGGUUAGCUUAUACCUGGAUCUACUUUAAUAAUCAUCAUUUGGUGUUGGAUGUAAUACUUAUUGCUCUAUUUUAGGCAUCUCAGUCAUUCAAUUACUUCAAAACAAUUUAUUUCCUUCUCUGGUUUUUUUUAUUGAAAUUUAUUGUAGCAUAUUGCAUGUACUAUCACAUUAUCCUCCUGGAUCCCAUGCUAGAAUCUUACUGUUUUUGAACACUUGAUUAGGACCUUUUGAGUUUUGUGAAGACAUUGAUGAUGACAUAGAGAACAUAUUUAGGUCUGCAUUUGGUGGAAGCCAGUUCUUUUAUUGGUCCUUCAUUAAUGAUGAGUACCCUAAAUGGAGGAGAUCCAGAUACUCGGAUAACUAUGAGAAAUCUUGGAGGUGGAGUUCUCGAUUUGAUGAGGAUUCAGACUCAACAGAAUCUGGUAAUGCUGAGAGUUCAGACCAAGAUACAAUUGCAGAUAGGCGGGCCCUUGGACUAAGUGCAUCUGGUCCUCUAACACUUGAAGAUGUCAAAACUGCGUGAGUUCUUUUGUUGUGUUUCUCAAAUAUCCUAGUGUGUGUGUAUAUUUUUGGGUUAUUUCUUUUGGGGUACAUAUAAUAACCUUGUAAAUUGUUUUUGUUGUUAAAACCACCACAGUUGCUUUUGAAAAGAUAUUCUUUUAUGUUGUCUGAUUAUUUUUGUUCUCUUAUUUUGUUAGAUAUCGAGCCUGCGCACUGAAAUGGCAUCCAGAUCGUCAUCAUGGCUCUUCCAAGGUAUACAUUCCCGUUCAUUAGGGCACUUUGUUGUUUGGUUCGCUUAAAAUAAAGAGCAUAUUUUGAUUGUUUUGUGUAAGAUUCAGAAUCAUUCCUUUAUUUAUUUAUUUUUUAAAUUCUGAUACUUGAAUAUCUAAAUUCUAAAGUAAGAGGUGUCAUCAUAAUACUUCAAAGAACAUUUUACAGCCGUUAACCCUCUUAUUUAUUUAGGCAAUCUUGAACGUGGUUUUUAUGGCUACAUUCAGUAAACGGUCUAGUUAUGUUAUCCAGACUUUUCGUUUGCCUUAAAGUAUCCGUGCCUAACACAUUAAAAAUCUUUAGAAAAAUUGAACAUGUAAGUGUUGAUCACAUUCAAUCCCGAGUUGGGGUAUCAUAGCAGACUGGUAAGUAAAUGUUGGUUGUCUUCAAACUGUUAUGGAUGGCCCUAAUAGAUAUUAUCGUAACUUUUUGUUUUAACAAACUGAUGAGUGAAUGCACAAUGAGCAGGCUGUUGCAGAGGAGAAAUUCAAGCUUUGUAACUCAGCAUAUCAGUCGUUAUGCGAUAAGAUGGCAUUGAACUGAGGAAUGUUUUGAAGCAUGCGCUCUAGAUGUCCUCAAGCCGAUAACAUUUGUUAUAUUUAUGAUAAUGGGUGUUGACAUUUUGUAUUUUAGAUAGAUCAGAUAAUAACAGUGGGCGGCAUGAACACAUCAUGUAUGGAUUCAUGUGAUUUUAACACUUCAAAUUUGCAUAUCAAUAUUUAAGAAAAUCACUCUCGCUCAGUUUCUCAUCUGGGCUUCUUCCUACUGAUGGUAUGAUGGUGUGAUAAACUAAGUACUCUCAUGUUAUGUAUGUUUAUGAAUCAUGUGAUAAGGUGAAAAUAAAUUUGUACAAUUCAAAAUCAUCUUAUUUUAAAAGGAAAAUAUGUUGUGUUAAUUUUGGUGAUAUAUUUUUAAAGACUUCUAAUAUUAAAAUUAAUUGCACUCUUUUAUUGGGUAAAUUUGAAGUAUAUGUGGAUUUGGAAAAAUAUUUAGGUAUUUUUUUAUAUUUAGGGAAAUAAGUUAAUUUUGGCGAGAAGCAGAAACCGUGUGUUGUUGGAACUAUUGUUUUUUGUGUUGGGUGUUGAAAAUUUGGGAAGAAAGAUUUAUUUGUGUUUGUAUUUAAGGUAAAUAUUGUGAUAGUUUUAAGGUAUAUUUGAGUUCAUAGUGAUACAAUAGUGUUCGGAGACCUACACAUUUCAUCUGUCGUGUUGGGAUGAAACCAUUAUUUUAGGAGCCAAUCGCAUUGUAACUUAGGCUCCGAAUUUAUACGGAGUUGAAGUAUAACUAGGGCUCUUAGCAUACGAUGGUUAUGCGAUUACUAGUUGGGAGUAUAACUUGGGAGUCCAAUUGAUAAUGGUUAUGCGGUUACUGGUUCAAGUUUCAUGAUACCGAAAGAGGAUAUUUUAUAAACCCCAUUUAUAAGUUUAAGACUAUAAUCAUAGGGAAAAAUAAAGCGGUUUCAGGGGAUGAGUGAUUGUUGCGGUGGAGAGAAAGCUAAAACUCGAGUCAGGGCGACAACAAUUGUAGUUAUUAAUGAGUUCUUUAAUCACAGUAACCGUUGUCGCCCUAAAAGGACUUUUAGGUUUUUUCACCGUAACAAUCUCUCCAAAGUCCUCUUUCCCUUAAUUUUGUCACAGGUUUCGAACAAUAAAGUUAAAGAUAUUGCUUUGGAGGAGACGAAAAAAAAAUGAAUAAAUUGGUUAUACCAGAAAACCUUUUAAUUUUUCCCUAUAAUUAUGGUUUCAAACUUAUGUAUGAGGUUUAUAAAGUAUAAUCUUUGAUGGCAUGAAACUUGAACUCGUGACUGCAUAAUCACCGUUAAUUAGGCUCCCGAGUUGUACCCCAACCCGUGACUGCAUAACCACGUUAAUUGAGGGCCUUAGUUAUAUUUCAACUUGUGACUGUAUAACCACUGUGAACUGGAGCCCGAGUUUCAAUGUGAUGGGCUUCUAAGGUGAUGGUUCUAUCCCCACACCGUAGAUGAAAUGUAAGGGUCUUCGAGCAUCACCGCAUCACUGUGAACUCAAACAAACCUUAAAACUAUCUCAUAGUCUCCCUCAAACACAAACACAAAUAAAUCUUCCCGUCUAGAAAUUUCAGCACUCAACAAAAAUACAAUUUAUGAGAGAUUUUUUUAUUUUGUAAGAGACGGUGGCCGAGAAAGUUGGAGUAGGGGGCAAAAUCCCCCUUUAUAUAGGCAAUUGGGAAAAAAAUAAAUAAUGUGGGAGCCCGUGAUCGGAAUUCCCGGGAUAGGAUGUCUGAAAAUUAUCCUGGGAUUUUGGGGUUCUGAAUUAUUUUCACGAGUUAGGGUUGAAAAUGGGAGGGAAGAAAAUGUGCCUUAUAAGACACAUUUUCAGCUAAGGUGGUAGAAGGGACUCUGAAAUUGUAUCUUGUAGGACACGCUUUCAGCCUGCAUGGCGCCAACUCAGCUGAAAACGCGUCUUAUAGGGCGCGUUUUCAACAUCCUUUCUGCUAACUCAACUGGAAACGCGCGUGUUUUCUUCCCUCCCAUUUUCAACCCUAACCUUAACUUGUGAAAAAUUCUCAGAAUCAUAACCCUAACCUUAAACUAGAGAUUCUUAAGCUAGAGAAUCCCGAAUAAAAUUCAGACAUCACAUCCCAAAAUGUUUUUGAAAACGCUUCUGUAAGACGAAUUAAUAAGUUUCAAAUUGAAUCUCAUAAUUAAGUUUCGUUUUAAGUCAAUUAAUAAAAUAAAAACCCUAAUUUUGGUAUCCGACUCAAACCUUCGAUUUAAUACUAACUUGAUUUUUAAGAUGUGACACUUCAAAUCAUAUAAAAUAAUACUAAUUAAAUUUAAAUGUAAGUAAUUGUUAUUUAAAUAUAUAUGAUUAACUAUUCUCUCCCAUGGUUUCCCUGAAUGACUCUGGUCUAGUUGAGGGUUGAGAGUUUUGGAGAAGUGUUUGUACUUGCAUUUUAAGGUUAAAAAGUGAGAUUCUUCCGCCAAAGAUUGAAGUUGGAUUAUUUAGUUUUGCAGAUAUGUUUGAGAAUAUUCCUUUUUCACAUUUAAAUGUGUUUAUGUAAAUAUAUAAAUAACAUUAUAUGUGUUUAUAUUUAAUUAUACGUGUUUGAUGGUUAAAUUGAUAGAAUUUGUAAAUGUGAAGGGUUAAGUUUAUUGAAUGAUUUAGAAUUAAUAUCAAAUAGAUAAAAUAUAUAAGUAUAGAAAACUAUUCGUGUUAUUAUACUAAUUAAAAAGGACCCAUGAUAUGAUUUAUCCUAUAUAUAUUUUAUAAAAAUUGCGGUACAAUCAUAACUUUUUAUGCAUACUUUAAAAAAAAUUAAUAUUUUUUUUGUUAUUUUUAUAUUGGAGCAUUUAUGUGGUAAAAAGUUAAGCAGGUAGAAUUAAAUGAAUUAAAAUGGAAAUAGAUAUUGAUUAUCAUCUGUCUGUAAAAAAACAAGGCUGAGUAAGUGAAUGAAAUCAUAAACAUCGUCGACCAACCACGGCGUCUUACAUCCAUAGGAUUAUAUAUCAUUUGAAUUACCAAAAAUAUCCCUUUUCUUCAACUCUUUUCAAUUUCCUUCCUCCUCUAUUCCUUUUCUUUUUCAUUGUUUCAACUUCCUAAUGCUAAAAGCUAUACAAAUUCUUGGGUGUUCAUCUGGGUUUAUCUCUCAAAGACUAAAGAAGCCUCAUUCCGGUAAUGGGUUUUCUUUAAUUUCCUCAAAAACAAGCUACAACUCAACUCCCAAAUCGCUGUCUUUUAGAGUGAUUCGGAUGUUUUCGACUCCGUCCCAGUCCAACUCAGAUGCCCCUUCUUCCUCUUCUUCUUCCGUUGCAGUUCAUUUAGCUGUGAGUGUUUUGUUGGGAAUUGUGAAUUUCGUGGUUGAUUGAACACAUUAUAAUAGAAAAAUUGAUGUGCUUUUUGUGUAAUUAAGCAACUAAUUUUGUGUUUUACUCUUUUGAUUAGUAUAAAAAGUUAUUUAUUUUUAAAAAGAAGUUCAGUGUAUUUUAGGGUUCAAAUGCUUAUGUGGUGGGUUUGGUUUUCUGUUCUAUCAACUUUAUCUGGAAUAUUGAUUAUAGGCUUGCAUUCAAUUAUCUGUGGAAUUGUAGUUAUGUGAUCAGCCUCCAUUGAAAAUUAUGAUAUAAAGUGAAUGAUCUUUGUAUAAGCCAAGUUGGUUUAAUUUUUGUGCUAUUUUGCAUAAUGAUGGAAGUACAAACAUUAAAGCUACCUUUUCUCGCUGCUCCUUUUUACUUUGCGGAUACCAAUAAAAAUAUCUGUUUUGGAUCUACUGUAAUUUAGUUGUUUUAUUUGUUUGAAACAUUUGCUUCACAGGAAUUAGUUUUCACUUCAUUUUUUAUGUAGAUAUGUUGUGGAGAAAGUUUGUAAGUCCGCCCUCCCUUUAUUCUUGCAGUCAUCAUUCUCUAUAUUACCUGUCAUAUGUCAAGCUUACUCUAUGUUUGAUUAUUUGUCUUCUUCACCCUAAAUUAGAUUAACGUAGCAAGACUUUUUCCAGAAAUGGCUCCUUUGAUUUCUUAAAUAUUGCUAGCAACACAGCUUCUAGGAAAUUUAUAGUACCUUGUGCGGAUUCUCCUAAUGUCUUGUUAUUUGGCAGUUGUUAUGUUAUAAACAUGUCUGAUAUUCUUUUGUUUUUGGAUUCCGUGUAUGGUUAUUUUGCUAAACAUAGUUUACUUAGUUUGACUCUGAUGUAGGCUUUUGAUUCUGGUUUCUUUGGUAUUUGUAUUUAUUUACUUUUUUCAGAAUGUUUAUGCAUUAAGCAUUGGAAGAAUCUUAGUCUUUAACUUUGUUUGAGGGAGCAGAAUGGGAUUCAUAUGUUACAUGCUCUACUGCUCAGUAUUCGUUGAUUCUUUUUCUAUUUCUUAUUUUGCAAAGUGAAGGUGGCUAGAAAUUUUAAUUCUCUUUUUCAUAGUUGUAUUGUUGAACCUCAAAGUGCUGAUAGUAGCCAUAACUUAUUUUCCUACAAGAUAAUUGUAAACUAAAUGCUUUGAUAAACUGAAAGUUGGAAUCUGUAUUGACAUUUUUUGUGGUUGUUUUCUUUACCUAUGGUGGUAGAAUAUCCCAAGGGGUCAAGACUAAGAAUGUGAAGGAAAAUACCUAAUUGUAUACCAGUGAUUGAGUGUCUUUGUCAUUUUACAGGGCAAUGUCCGUAAGAUCAAGUUCUGCCAGUGGUGUGGCGGCCCAGCAAAGCAUGAAAUUCCUGAUGGAGAAGAGAAGAUAAGAGCUAUUUGCACCCUCUGUGGAAAAAUUGCCUAUCAAAACCCAAAAAUGGUAUGUUAAUUCAUUGCCGCAACCAAAAUAUUGCAUGUUUCUGCCCAAGUAUCGCUCAGGGUUAUGGUCUUCGUCUCUCCAAGCUUUUUCACUUUGAUUUAUGGACACAUUGCAGAUAUUUAAUCCUCUAGAAUAGGGUAUUUGAAGUUUGAAGGGAAGGCCCUAGAUUUGCAUAGAACGGGGUUAUGUGUUACUUUAACAUACAUCUUUCAGAAAACUAAAGAUUUUUCCGUGCUUUGAUAAGCCUUUGAAGAGAAGCCCCCUAGGUUUGCACAGCUUCGGGUUAGGGUUUCUUUUUCUUUUUUCCCUGUCUCCAUUUGAUCAGGAUUUUAAAGUAACGUGAAGGAUCAUGGCAUGGUUUUACUUAAUCAACUACUUAAAAGUGAAAUGGAAAUUUUUUUUUAUCAUCUUUAAUGGUUGCUUUUGUUGCAAGUUUUUAUUUAUCUAUUAGGCAACAUGAAAAAUAUGGGUUUAGGGUUUCUUCAAAUAGCCCACAAGCAUUGGGGUGGGGGUAGGUAAUGGGUUUCGUUCCUAUUUUAGAUGGCUAGUAGAGAAAAAUGCUUUGAAUAAAAUGUAUGCUUCCUGUAUUCUGAAUCAUUGUUUCCUUGGUAAUUUGUACAUUGUUGCAGGCUUUGAAUUACUUUCAAUUUUCAAGAAUAUACUUUUAUGCUUAAUUUUUGUUCUAAAUUGAUGAUACCUUUAGGUUGUGGGUUGCCUCAUUGAGCAUGAUAGAAAGAUUCUACUAUGCAAGCGAAAUAUUGAACCAUCUUUGGGUCUUUGGUAUGUAUUUAUAUGAUUGGAAUUUUGUUUAGGAAAGGAUUGAAUAUUGUUUUUUUCAUUUCCUGAUAUUUGUUUGCAAAAGAGAUUAAUUAUGCAUUUGAAGCAUGGAGUAUUCACACUUGCUUUUCUUGUAAAAUAGCAAGUUUCUACCAUCUCUGAUGGCAAUACAAAUAUUUGAGUUGAUUGGGUGGCAUUAACAUAGGACUCUUCCUGCUGGUUACCUGGAAAUUGGGGAGUCUGCUGCUGAAGGGGCAAUAAGGGAAACAUGGGAAGAGGCAGGAGCUGAAGUGGAAGUCAUUUCCCCUUUUGCACAACUGGAUAUUCCCCUUAUUGGACAAGUUAGAAGAAGCAUCCUUAAUUUACUUCUGUAUCUCAUGUACAUUUAUGGAAGAUGUUUAUGUAUCUAACAUCGCUUUGUCCUUUUUGGAGCAGACUUAUGUAAUCUUCUUGGCAAAGCUGAAGAAGCCCCAAUUUUCACCAGGACCAGAAUCAUCUGAGUGCUGUCUCUUUGAAGUGGACGACAUUCCCUUUGAUUCUUUGGCAUUUUCUUCCAUUUUUGUUACUUUGAAUUUGGUAUGAGCUUUUUCUUUUUCUUUCUUUCCAUAAAUGUAAAUAUGCUUUUGUUACUUUGAAUUUGGUAUGAGCUUUUUCUUUUUCUUUCUUUGCAUAAAUGUAAAUAUGCUUAAAAUUUAUCUAAAAAUUUUCAUCGACAUAAAUUUUCAUAAAUUGUAUUAUCUCUCUGUUGCUGCAGUACAUCGAAGAUGUUAAAUCUGGGAAAGUAAAGUUUCACUAUGGCACCAUUAACAAAAGGUAAUUCAAUUUUUUAUUUCUUAAACUGCCACCAUUGUGAAGCUCAUUGAGGGAAGAGAAAUUUAGUUUCUGAACUUUCAUUUAUCAUCUUGAAUGCAUAAACAGCGAAAUAGGGAGAAAAACCUGUUUCCCGAUGUUUGUUGAAAAAUGCUAUUUUAAGUUUUCCUGUUUCAUUGUCUCUUUCCCCAACAAUUAGGGGGUUCCUUUGUAGUUUUGUUGUUUUGCAGUAUGAUCUGAAUGAAUGUGAAACUUGCACUUUAGCUUGUUCCUUAUUUACUAGUUGUUUUACUAUCAAUCUUAGUGAAGCUCUCUCUUAUUAUCAUGUCCUGGUUCUGAUGUUUGGUGGCAGGCUUGGGACUGGCCCAUCAGAUAUCCGUGCCUUUACCCUCGACUAUCACUUGCAGGUUUGAGAUGCGGUUGCCACAUCUUGUGAAGUGAAUAAUAGUGGGGGUAAGGCUAAUGUGCUGAAUUGUUGGGAGUGAAAUCCUUUUACCGUUUCUUUGGCUCUGAGAAAUUGGGUUUAGUCUGGUGCUGUAUCUUCCAUUGAUAUUUGAGUUUUCCAAGUAAUAUCCCUACAAUGUUGAUCUGGAUUAUUGGUGUUAUGAGUUGCCUUUCAUAUACUUAAAUUUCUGUGUUCUUCAUCUCUUAUCGCUCCUAUUCUAAUGAAGUUCCUAUUUGUUAGUUAACAACCAGAUUCUCAGGGUAAAUGUUUUAUUGAAAUUUCCUGCAUUGGUAGACAUAUCUUAGAAAAUUGAUUUUUUCCCCUUUUGAAUUUAUUGUUCUGCUUUCUGGGAUUGAAUGCACAACUUUUCGGUGUUGAGAUAGAGUUGAGCACCAAGACGAACUGUGGGUGAGAUAAAGGUUUUAUGAGGUCUAAAGCUAAAAGUUGGGAAAAGAUAUAUUUUGGUCUUGAAAUAGGUUUCAUGGACUUGCUUCUGCAACAUGUUUAUUGAGUCUAAGGAGUUUUUUAGGUAUGAUGUUGGAUUUUGAUCUCCGAAGACAGUGAAAAUAAUAUCAAGAAAAAGAUGUUGUUUUUAAUUUAUUUUUUAAAAACAUUAUGAUUUAUUUGGUCAGAUUUACAAAUAAAGUUAUUUUAGUCUUUGAAAUUUUAUUAUUUUUCAAAUUAUCGCAAAAUAGAUAAAGAAACUAAUGUUAGUUAACUUUGGUGACGUGAAAUUUACCUGACCGUCUACAUAUAUGUUCCAUUAGUAAUUAAUUAAUUUUUUAAAAAAUAAAAAAAAUAUUUUUUAUACUUUUUAAAUUUUAAUAGCUUUUUAAAUUUAAAAACAUUUAAUUUAUCUUUGACAUGGCAUCUACAUGUAUGCAACAUCAAUAAAAUUAAUAAAUAUUAAUUUUUCCAUUCAUUUUGAGAUGAUUUAAUAAAAAAUGCAAGUCUAAGUGCUAAAAGAUACGAAAAAUUAAAUGGAGAACUAAAAUAAUUUUUUUUUAGAACCAAAUAAAUCUUUAUGCCUUUUAAAAGAAACUUAAAUGCUCAAAAUUGGUUUAUGAUUAUCUAUUGAUGUCAAUUAACCUAAAUUUUACUAUUAGGGCCCCUUUGAAUGGACGACGUGUGUACUUACAAUUAGUAUAAAAAUAACGGUGACGGUGAAAUUAGAUACUGUACUAUGAAAUAAAAAAGCUAAAUGCACCGCACUUGAUGUAAACGUCUAUCUGAAAGGGGCCCUUAGUCAUUGUACUAUGUUUAAGUUUUGAAUUUGAUUUUUAUAUUUUUGUUUUAAUUUGAUCAUUUUUAGCUCUUAUACUUUUUUUUAAUUUUGAAAUUUUAACUUCAACCCAAAUGGUGUAAGCUUUAAAUCAAUUUAAGCUAAAUUUCAUUAUUUUUAAAAAUCUUAUGCAAUAAACAUGAUAAUAAUAUUAUGUUAAUUCGUUAUUUUCAUAUAAUAUUAAAAAAAAUCACAUAAUUUUAGUAAACAAAUUUAAUGAAUAUCAUUUCUUAAGAUUAGAAUUUUAAAAUUCAAGAAAUAAAAAUUAAAGGUAAAUUACACAAAUAGGUACUCAACUAUAAAAAAAAUCAUUUUAGACACUUAAAAUAAAAGUUUGCAAUUUAAGUACUCACGACAUAUAAUUUGUUUAUUUUGGUCACUCCCCUUAAAAACUUAAAUAAGAAAAAUCUGGCAUGACAUUUUCAAUCAGCAAUUAAAACGCUUUAUUGACAAUACACAAUGGUUUCUUCAACUUGCACCUUGAUAUUCCAUGGGAUUGGAUCAUCCAUUCAUCAACACCUUGCACUUUGUUUGAAGGUUUGCUGUUGAAGAAACCACAUCUUAAUGGCGGCUUGAAAAUGCCAUGUCAGAUUUCCGUUAAAAUGAACAAACUAUAUAAUGUGAAUGUCUAAAUUGAAAACUUGCUGUUGAUGAAACCAUUGUCCACUGUCUGACAAAGCAUUUGAAUGGCUGCUUGAAAAUGUCAUGUCAAAUUUCCGUUAAAGUUUUUAAAGAGAAUGAUCAAAAUAAAAAAAACUAUGAAACGUGAGUGUUUAAAUUGAAAACAUUUUAUUUUGGGUGCCUAAAAUGAGAAUUUUUUAUAAUUGAGUGACUAUUUGUGUAUUUACCCAAAAAUUAAAUAAGAUAAAAUAGGAAAACAAAGAUUAAAUCUACAACUUAUACAUGCUAUGCGACUAAUAGUAAAAUUUGAUUUAAUGGAUUUGACUACUAUAAUUUGGAUUAGGGUUGAAAUUUUAAAAUAUAAAAAAGUAUAGGUAUUAAAAUUGACCUAAAUCCAUAACUUAUUAUUAUUGAGUAUAAUAUUAUGUUCAAUUGCGUACCAAAGAGGAGAAGAUAUGAAAAUAUGUAGAGGAAAAAGUAAGUAAAGCACUGCACAAACACAAACACAGAUAUCUUACUGAAAAAGAACACAGAUAGGGCAAUGUCUCAAAAUAUCAGAAUUGAUAUAAAUAAACAAAGGUGAAUGGUGAAGUCUAUAGCUGAAGCCCCCCAAAGUGAGCUUGGCUGAUUGAUUAUUGAAGAAGGUUAAAUGCUGUGCAAAGAGAAACCACCCUUUCCUUGAAAUGAAACCAUCCAUCCUCUUCACUACCUUCUGGAAUUAAAACUUGUUUUAUUUUUCAUCAAUUCUGUCAAAAAAGGCAAUCCAUCCAACAAAGUUCAAUUUUUUUUUUCAAAUCGUCACACCAACAAAUUUGACACAAGAAUUUUAACAGUGUUAACAGCUGAGCUUAAAUUUUUAAAUCCAAAAAAUAAAAUGACUAUAUUUCUCAAAAUAAAAGGGACUAAAUUUCAAAUGUACGGAGAGUACAGGGAUUUGUAGCAUAUUUUAACCAAUUUAUUAAGAGAGAGGGAGUAAAUGGUUAUGAACUUAAACGUUACAAUAAAAGUAAUUUUGAUAUUUCCAACCAAAAAAGCCUAAGGCAACCUAUAUAACCCAAAAUCGAGAACGGGUACUAGAUUCGGGUAUAUGUCCAACAUGAGUAUGCUUCAUUUCUUCUAAAUAAAUAUAUUUGAAAGAUCAUAACUUGAAUAUGUAUUGAACACUAAUAUCAGACACAAAUACUUUGAGAAAUAUGAAGAGGAACACAUCACUGGAGAAAGAUGACAAGCAGAAGAGGAAGCACUGGCAAUUCACAUAUAUGAUGAUGUGUUGUAAGAUUUUGGCAACUGAUUGAAAAUGCCUGUCUAAUAUAGACAAUCAUCAGGUUUUAGAACAACUACCAAAUUAGACCCCAUCAGUCAGUCAAGCCAUCCCCAAUAAUGCCUCAAGAAUCAGACAUUGGCUAACACAUACAUCAUUAUUCCUUGAGACACACACAUUUUGCUACAACAUACCAAUCAUUAAAUCAACCUGAUUCUCACUUAUGCAAAUUAUAAGUAGCUACCGGAUUCAACAACUAGUGUAAAAGCAACAUAAGUGAAGCAUGAACUAACCUUGUUAUGAGUUUCUGGAAAUCGUGAGCCUUUAAUGGAAUCAACAAAACCACUGCUGAGAAGCCUCUCAACAUACUUGCCGAGGAUAUCCACCUCCAAAUUCACCUUUUGCCCAAUUUCCUUCAAAGGAAUCACCACUUUCUGCCGAGUAUAAGCUACUAGCAUGAAAUUAAAGCAAAGUUCCUCUUCAAACACAUCCACCACUGUCAAACUAGUCCCAUCUAUAGCUAUGAAUCCUUUUGGCACUACAUAUUUCAAUAAGUUUUUAUCCGUCUUAACCUUGAUCCACAAUGAAUCCCCUUCCACUUGUUUCCCCACUAUCUCCGCUGUGCCAUCCACGUGUCCUUGCACGAAAUGGCCUCCCAUCCGGCCUGUUGGCGGGAUAGCCCGCUCCAAAUUCACCAAUGACCCGGGUUCCAGUUCACUCAAUGAAGUUUUCCUUAGGGUUUCAGGGGCCAGCCCAACCGUGAAUUCUCCCAAAUGGGUGUCGAAAUCCGUCACCGUUAGGCAAGUUCCAUUAACCGCAAUGCUGUCACCGAGGUGGACAUCCUCUAUAACAGUUUUGGCGUGUAUUUUGAGAUCGAAUCCGCCGUGACCGGCCAUACCCAGUUGCUUGAUUUCACCCAUUUCUUCGACGAUACCGGUAAAGAGGGAGCGGAUGGUGGGGGUACGGAAAUUUUGGGUUUUUGGUCUGAGCUUGGAUGGUUGAGUGAAAAGGGAAAGGGAAGAGGGUUUGAAAAUGGGGUUGAUUUUGAGGUGAGGUUUGGCUAAGGGAGACUUUAGGAGGUUGAAGAUGCUUGGGAUUUUAGAUUGAGAGGUAUGGGGGAUUAUGCAAAGCGAAUGCAGAGAUGUGGAGAGCACCAUCCUUUCUCUUCUCUGUUUGUUUCUCGAGAAACAGGAAAUAGCAAAGGUUGAAGUUCACUGUGUCUGAAUUCCAAUCCGGUCAAACCCUUAAGCCUCUGUUGCUGUUGGAGUCUCUUUCUUUCUUUCUUUCAAUAAUAAAUUUUUUUUAUCAUGAAAAAUAUAAAUGAGUACAAUUCAAAUGCGGUGAUUUCCAGUAAAAGAAGUUUGGAAGGUGAACAAAUUUUCGUGAAAUUGCACAAAUGUCUAUUUUCUAUAAAUAUUUUAAUUCUCAAUUCUAGAUGCAAUUUUCCAAAUUGUGGACUGGUGAUAUAUUUGACAAACAACUUAAAAGAAGUCAACGCCAAAACCUGGCAAGAACAUCCAAUCCCACAUCUCGUAUCAAUGGUGGCAAAUAUUUUCAAGUAAGGAAGCUUACAAAUUAUGGGUCAAAUUUUGGGAUUAAGAUGAAAAGAAAUUAAUUCGUAAUUAUAGAUUCCAUUGGUCGUCUACCUUUGCUAAUUAGUGAUUUGCUGCUCAUUGGCAUUAUAAAAUAGUCGAUGGCGUAAGUUUCUUUGGUUAGGUUUUAGUGUUUGGUCAGCCAUAUGUCGCAGAUGUUGACAUUUUUAAACUAUAGCAGAGCGAAGCCAAAAAAAUUUAUUAAGGAAAUUAAAUUGUAAUUUUAACCAUAAUAAUUUAUAUUUUUAUAAUUUUAAUUUUACCUGAAACUAUUUACAAGCACUCCAAUUUACUUUUAAUUCACUUUCACUUUUAAGUUGAUAUUCAACACAUUUAAAAUUCCAACAAACAAAAGAGAACUAAAUCCGUAAAUGGAUCAUUGAUGGAGAUUGGGCUUGACUGAUAUGAUUUCAUCUACCACUAAGAUCCGUAAAUGGAGUGAGUUGACUUCCUGUAAGUGAAUCAUCCAUGUGGUUGAAGGAUGGGGGCAUGGCUGGCCACACAAAUGAAGGUCGCUCUUGGGGUACCUGGGGUGGAUCCGCUUCACCUGAAAGUACCUGCAACACAGUCCUCAUUGAAGGCCUAUAGUGUGGGUUGGGAUGGCAGCAACCCAAGCCUAUAACAAGCACACACUCCACUUCUUUUUCAUCAAAGUCCCCAUCCAUCCUGGAAUCAGCAGCGCCACUGAUGCUUCCUUUCCUAUAGUAAUCCCAUACCCGAUUCACAAUACUAUUGUUGUAGUUGUUUAGCUCACUUUGAUUCCCGGGCCUUCUCCCACAAACAACUUCCAUCACAAGAACCCCAAAGGAAUAAACAUCGGUUUCCACCGUGGCUCGGCUUAUAAGAAAGGUUUCUGGGGCCAUAUAACCUGGCGUGCCAGCGAUCUCGAUGGUCGAAUGGUGCGUUUUUUCUUUCUCUUGGAUGGUUCUGGCCAGUCCGAAAUCUCCGAGCUUGGCGUUGAACUCGGAAUCCAGCAUGAUGUUGCUAGAUUUGAUGUCACGGUGGAGCACCCUUUUUUGACAACCGUUGUGAAGGUAGUCUAGUGCUUGAGCCACCCCUUGGAUUAUCAAUAGCCUUUGCUCCCAGUUGAGUGUGGAUUCCUCCUGCAGGGUUGGUUUAUCAUCGCAGAAGAUGAACUUAUCGAGGCUUCCAUGGGGCAUGUAUUCGUACACAAGGAGAAAUUCCCGCUUUUCGUAGCACCAUCCUAUUAACUUGACGAGAUUCUUGUGAUUGAGGUGGCCGAUUGUAGUGACUUCCGCAAUGAAUUCUUGCUUGCCUUGGUGUGAUUUCUUGGACACUCUUUUGACAGCCACGUCGUUGUUUCUCCAGGUUCCCUUGUAAACAGUUCCAAAUCCACCUUUCCCAAGCUUGUUCUUCGGGUUAAAAUUCCCAGUCGCUUGCUUCAAUUCCUUUAACCCAAACCUCCUUGGACCCAAAUUGGAACGUUUAAUCUCAUCUUCUAUGUUCCCUUGAAGUCGAGCACCCUGACCCUCCAUAUCUUCCUCUUUGUAUACCCUCCUCAACCACAAGUACAUGGCAACCCCAACUAAUAUACCCACACUUGCCACUGGAACCAUGAUCCAAACCCACCGUAGAUUGCGAUCUCCACCUAUAUCGGUACCAGAAAACGCCCAGGAUUUCACACAGUUGAGCUCAGUUUCAUUGCUUGUUGAACCAGAGAAUCCCAUGAAAACCUUCUCCGGAAGAUGAGUAGAGAGAUCAAGAGACUGAGAAAGCACAAGUGUCUGGUUGUCCCCAAUGAAAACUGACAACUUUUGGCCGUCAUAACGAAGAUGCACCCUUAAAUCCUCACGUCCCGAAAUGUUAACACCGUAGUUGCUUAAAGAAACUUGCUUGGUUGAGUGGAUGCUGUUUAUGUUUAACCCAAUAUGGUUGCCAUCCAUAUCUUGGUCGUCGCUCUUCCUGGUGUCAAAUUCCACCGCCACCACACUGGCCUGAGAAGAACCAUUUGUAUUGGCAUUUACCAUCCCCAACCACUGUCCUUGGCUGUUGUCCGGUAGGCUGGAGUUGCCGGUUAUUAAAAAGGCAACGCCUUCGCCACCAGGAGAGGUUUGGUUGCGGAUAUUGAGGACGAAACUUGUAUUGAAAGAAGCAAUGGUGGUGUGGUUGCCUUUCCAAAGCCUAAAUGGUUUCUUAUACAGAGCUCGUCCAGACAAAUUUUGCAUGGAACCUCCAUUAACAUCGGGAGUAACUUGGAUAGCUCCAAGAACUAUGUAAGAGUUCCUACUCAAGGUAAGCUGGCUUUCAUCUUCUUUCUGGAAAGUUGAAAAAUUGAACUGAAAACAGGUUACUUGAACAAGAAAAACAGCUGGGAUUAAAAAGUAGGCUAAAAGGGUAGAGCCCAUGCUAGCUGCUAGCUACUGAAAUCAACACCAGGUUUCUGGUUUAUAUGAUGAAUAACAUACAACUGGAGAUGGAGGUAUAAGUAUGAAAUUCGGCGGGGAUGGAGGUGAUUUUAUAAGGGAAAAAGGGAAAUGUAAAAAAAUAACAAUUUUGGUCAACCCCAUAUGAGUUGUACAAUCGGAAAGUUCUUAGUAUUUACUCUGAGGAAGGAGACUUGGAGUGUGAAAUAAGUAAUUGUUGAAUAAUAUGUUUAGACUUUAGAGUUAGUUGUAAUUUGAAUAUAUUAUUAUGUUUUUCUUACAACAUUCUGUUUUCCAUGUUUAUUUUAAUUUUAUUAUAAGGGUGAUUGGAAUUUAAAUUAUUUUUAGAAUAGAUGUAAUUUUUUAAAAAUAUUUUAAUAUGAAUUUUAUGUAAGGAUUUAUGAUGAGUUCCAAAAGUAAUUUUAUAUUAUAAUUGGAAGUGUUUGGAGGGAGAUAAUCCUAUUCAUUCAAAGUCUAAACUGGAGUAAAGACUUUCCCUGGUUUUCUAUAAACCAGUGCUAAAGUUUCACAACCUAUAUAGGCAUAUCGAAUUUUAUUUAAUCAUAACAUAAUUAUCACUUAUAAAAAUACACCCCAAUGCUUGUUCUAUGUUGUUUUGUCAGCCUCUUCUUUCUCCCACACAACAAUGUUGUUUUAAAAUAUUAUAUCUCAUUAGCUAAUCUCUACUAAUUAAGGUAGAGUUGUUUGAUUUAAAUCUUACACAUCAAUUGAAGUUGCUUGUCUAUUAGAAGCUUCUUCAUUUAAUUAAAUCAAUAUUAAAUAUUUAAAUAUUUAAUAUAUACCAUUCAACUGAUUCAAUUGAAAGCUACUUAUUCGAACGCAUAUUAAAAUUUAAAAUUUAGUAAAAGAAAUCAAGUUUAUUUUAUUUUAUUAAAAGGAUAAACUAUCAAAAUAGUUACUUUUAUUUAUCUUAGGUUAUAUUUUAGUCACUUAUAUUUGAAAAGUUACGUCUUAGUAACUUACGUUAACAUGUUAUAACAUUUUAGUCACUAAGCUGUUAAUUGUCGUGGCACAUUAAAUCAUCAUUUCAAAAAAAAAAAGAUUAAAUUAUACAAUUGGUUUCCAUUUUUUUCAUUUUAAGCAAUUUAAUUUUUUUUAUUUUAUGUUCUUUUAACUUUCCUUUUUUUUUUCAUUCUCUUUUGCUUCUCCCCUUGUUUUCCUCCUUUCUCCAUCUCUUUUAACAUAGUUUUUCCAUAUUUUUCAUUUGUUAAAACUUUCUUUAUGUUUAUAAAAUAUGAUGAGAUAUAUUAACAGAUUUCGGGACAAGAAGGGGAAGCGCCACCCUCAAUGGAGGUGGCACCACCGAAGAGAAUAAGCCUAAGACCCUGGGUCUUGGUGGCAGCGACAGUGGUAAAGGUGUGGCCACAUUUGGGACUAGGUGCAUCUUUAUCGAUGUCCUAAAAAGUCUCCAAAGUCCAAUAAGUAGGGGUCGAGAUUGCCACGAUUUCAAGCCUAUCCCUACCCCACCCCACCCCACCCCUCACUUGCAAUGCAAACAAUAUCACACCGUCAAUCCUCAGAUCUAGUACUAUAAACACUCACAAAGAAUCAAUAAUCCAAACAUCAGAGCUCCAUAAUGGGCCCAGAUUUCUUGCUUAGGACCUUCAUUCUCAUCCUUUUUUUCUUCUUUUAAGAAAUUAAUCAAUCAAUUGUUCUUGUAAAAAAGAAACCAAAAGAUCGAAAUUUCAUCCUUGGAUACCCUAUUUUCUUUCUUUAAUUUUAAUUUUUGAGAACUUAAAAUUGAGAUGCAAUUUAAGUGUGGAAGUAAUUAUAUGUUUUUUUUCUCUAAUAAGUAGAUGAUGGUGGCUGGCUUUGUACAAAAAAGGUGUUGUGUUAUGAAAUUGAAAUCUCUUUGCCCGUGCCACAUGAAAGAAAAAUGGAAAAUAAAGAAAAAAUUUAAAAAAUUAAAAAUUUUAUAAAAUAUGGGGACCAAUUGCAUUGGUGGGCAUGGAGCCAAGAAGAGCCUCUGACUGGUUUUAGCGUGUUGUUUCUAGAGGGAUUUCAGCCGCAGGAGGCUCAGUGGCGUAGAUUGGAGAGUUUGUCGAAUUAGCGGACUCUACUGGCAGAGUUGAAAUCGUAAGUAGGGCAGGAACAAAUGGAGUGUUGGCUCUCGAGGAAGCAAACCCUUUCUUAAGUAUGCGUUGAGCCAGCUGUGGGCGAUCACUGUCUUUUGUAUGUUGGGUGCUUCCCUCCACCUUUGGCCUCUUUUGAUCUUUCUUACCAGUCGUUAUUCUUGGUGGGGAAACGGUAGCACCUUCAUUCCCGCGAACCUCGUCUAGUAAAGCUAAGACAUCCAUGUUGACUGCUAGAACGAGCGUAGAGGUAUAAGAACUGGACAUAGACCUUGCAACAUAAACAUGAGAAUUAACCUGAUUGGAAGGAGUGGAAGACGUACCAUGAAAAAUAAUGUUCCACUAGAGUGAAUGCAGUCCACAAUAAUCAUAGAAAAAGAAGGGAGGCUCCCUCAUCCUCUCUAUUAGAAUUCGUGCCAAAUAUUUAUUAGAGUUUUUGGGUUAGGCUACUUUAGUAGAAGGGACAUUCUGAGAAACCGCCCAUAAUAGAAUUUCAUUAGCUUGGCCGCCAUUGGGACUUAGACUUUGCAGACAGUAUUGGAAGACAUGUUUGACAAUGACAAUUUCUCCCAAUUCUAGAACACGCCCUACCCUUAAAUGUUUGAAUUGUUUCCAAGCAACCCCUGAGUCAACAAGCUGACUUUGUACGUAGAUGUUUUCUCGGGGUAGGGACCAGUAGGUGGGAAAGCCAAACCAAGUUUUGAGCUUACUGGUGACCCUUACAAACUUGUAUUUUCUAAUAUGCAGGUUUGAGGUCUAAUUCUGGAUUAUGGGCAUAAAACCCUAGAGUGUACUGAAGUGGGCAUUUCCAAUCGAGAUAUCCUGUCUUUUUACCUUUAACUGGUAAAUCUUUUGGAAUACACCAAGUAUUGGCAACUCACGAUGCAUACAUAAGUUUAUGAAAAAGGCCAUCAGUGUCUACUAGGAUAGGGCAGAGAGUUGCCCCGGUGUAAUACCAUACUCAUUGAGCACCAAGCAGAAAAAGAGGUGUAGAGACAGGUGGAAGCGAACUUCGAACAAGAAAAAGGGAAUGAUAAACCCCAUGGUAUUUUCACUUAGGUGACACUCUCCUUACACUAUUUGAAAGUCGAAGGCAUAGUUCUAUCAAAAGAUGCCUCGGGCCCUAGGUAUCGAACCAGCUUUUCAUCGAUGGUGCUACAUUCAUAUAUAGGAGCAGCCACACAUUGGGUAUUAUCAUGACCAAUCUUAACUACAUCUCUAGGGCUGUCAUUUCUGUUACUCUAGCCACGACCACCACGGCCUCUUUCGCGUGUAGUUGUUUGAACCAUUUUGAAUAAAUGAAAAAGAAAGAGAAAUGGGAAAUUACCUCUAAAGAAAAUGUAAACUGAAGAAAAAAAGAAGCAAGAAGCUUUGACAGAAGUCAAAUGGAUUGAUUUGACUCUCUCCAUGACUGGUCAAUAGUGAGGUUAACCUUUGCCAGAUUUUCUUUUACAUACCCUAGAUUUGGUAAAGACAUGAGGGGGACCGAACGUAUGUUUAUAGGAGGGGAACAUUUUAGAUAGUUUUUCUUCUUACUUAAUGUUUAGGUUCUUCUUUUUAACCUCAAUAUUUUCUUCUUCGUUAAGAUCAAACUAAGAUCUAGUUUAAUCAGUAGAUGAUUCAACAUUCUGGUAAGUCUUAUAACUUUGUACGUUACAAUUAUGGAAGAGAUGGGUGUUACAAGAAAGCCUUGUAUGGAGGUCGCAUGUAGUUGAAAUAUUAGCAACAUGUCUGUGAUAGGGAUUCUAAUGGGAAUCUUAUAAUAUUUUAAAUAGUUGCUGAUGUUGGAUUUGGGCGAACGUUUGAAACAGAAACUCCAGGCCGAGGUUAAGGUAAGUCUUUGAAUUCGUCUCCUUCAUGUAAUAAUAUCAUGAUCCUUUGUAUGAUCAUCGUAUACUUAGAUAAGCAUGUCUUCCUGAGGAACCAUAGUAUGUAUUCUUGCUCGUAUGAUUAUCUGUGAAGUAUCUAUACGUAUGUGUUGACAUGUAUGUUAUGUUGCAGGGUAAUGACAAUGUAUAGAAAGUGUAUGGGAAUUUAUGUGAUAAGAAAUAAGGUUUGACUGACAGUAUGAAUGAACUCCGUGCAGAUAUGUUUAUUCUAUCAUUUGAGUGAUGCAUGAUUAAUCUGCCAUGAAUUAUACUAGUAUUUAAAUCAUUUUUACAUAUAACUUUAGCUUAUUUAAUAGUUAAAUCAAAGUAUCUUAGUAUAUAUUUAGGUUUUCAUGCUUAAAGUAGUAAUUUAUACUUUCUAGUAGUUUUUAUUACAUUUUAUAUAUCUAAAUAAGGUUACAUGAUCUUGUAGGUCCAGUCAGGAGCUAAAGACGCUUAUUUGGGCCAAAACUGAUGCCUAUGUUAUGACAUUAAGAUAAAAGCCAAAAACAAGUUUUAGAACGAAAUUUCCCUCGAUGUCAUGACACGACUCUCCUAUGUCGUGACAUACCCCUUUUGGUUGGUUGCAACAUUGCAGGCCUGUGUUGCAACUAAGCCCCUGCGUAUCCCAAAAACUCUUGUACAUUUUAUUAUGUUUUUGAGAAAAAUUAAGAGUGUUUGUCCUAGUCGAACUCUAAGUACUUCAAGAAUAUUUUAGGCACUUUAAUAUUUCGAGUUUAACUUAUAUAAAGGCCAUUGUAAUAAGUUUAAACAUAAUCUUAGGGAGAUAGAAAAUAUAUUUAGUUUCAUUCUUAUUUUUUACUUAGUGUAUUUUUAUGUUCUUGUAAUCAGAAGAUCUUAUUUCGAAGUGAGAUUCUCGUAAGUGGAGAUUGUUCUAGAGCCAUGCUUUUAUCGAUAAAUCUAUGAGCAUCUCUUUUCAUUUAUUCUAUUCUUUAUAUCUCUUUCUUUAACAUUAUUUAAUUGAAUGUUUGUGUAAAGAUUAGAAUCAAUUUAUACUUUAUACAUAUCUCAUAUGGUUUCAACUGUUCUAAUCUUAUUAAUUGAUUGAAGGAUAGAGUUUCUUGAUGGAUUAGCUGUUUAGGAGAGGAAAAACUUAAACCCUAAGCUUAACGACCCUAGGAAGUUAUUUAGGUGGGAAUUAACCCAAAAUUGAUAUGGCCUAUCCGUGAACACUUUAACCCCGAACCGGUCUAGAUUGUGAUGUCGGAAGAUAAGUAGUUCUUGUCGACUCAUUAUUCUAGUGGACAUAUUGAAAGAUCUUGCUAGGGUAUCGACUGAUUGAUUGAUUAGAACCCUACAUAAAUAAUUAAUUAGGUAAAACAAUUAGAUCUAGGUUAAAAGGAACUCGCGUAGUCAAAACAAGGAAUAGGAAAAGUCGAUACAUGAAUCUAGGAGUAGACUUCAGUUUAGUUAAAUUUAUUUAGUUUAUUAUUAUUAUCUUGCUUCUUGAUUGACACUAUUAAUUCGUGACUCGAGUAGAUUAGUAAUUAUUUUUAGUAAUUGGCUUAAUAGCAGUUUUCCCCAAACCACAAUCCUUUGGGUACGAUCCUCGGAAUACUUACCAAGUGUUUCAUUGUAAACGCACUAUAUUACAACCUGACUCGUAUACUUGCGGACACCUCCUCAAAUCCAUAUAUUUAGUUGUAGUAUUCAUACUCUAGAUGUUAGUAUGUCUGAAGGUGGUUAAUGACAAUGUAUGCUGGAGAUAAGGGGGUUUCGAGUGGAGUGUCAAAAAAAAUAUGUGAUACGAUAAUAAACUCCACGUUGGUACUUUGAUGAUGUUCGUUAGGAUAGUAAACACGAUGGCUGAUAUGACGUAAUGUAGCCCGUCGGGACAGUAAACAUGAAGGCCAGUGUGACAAUUAUGUGGAAAGACCAUGGCCAUGAGAUAUUCUGGAAAUAACAGAUGAGCUACAUUUUUCUUAUAGGGUUGCUGCAUGUCCCUAGGGUGAUGAUGGGCAAACCUCAGGUAGUGUUGAGUUUAGGCAAAUUCAUAUUGCCAAACACAAUAGAUUACUUAGGAAGCCUUUGUGGCUAAUCUUGUGAAAAGUUUUUGUGGCUAAUCUUGUGGAAAAGCCUUUGUGGCUUGUUAUUUAGAAAAUCUGUAGAGUGAAUUCUGUAAUGAUCAAGUGGUGAGAUGUUAAUCUGCCUUGUGUGAGAUCUGGGUAUGCCUAUGAGGCAUUUUCUGAUAAAAUUCCCGAUAGAGUAACCAUUUGAUGAAUCCGCCUUAGUGAUCUGCUAUGACAGGGAACCUUAUGUAUUGGAAUAUGGGGUAGUAUAAGUGCUUGUCAAACUUGGAAUUUCUUAGGUCCUAUAUUGAAGUUAUCUUGGAUUUUAUUGCUUGAAUUAAAACGUUGUAUUCUUUUAAGUAAGUAUGUCUGUCUGGAUUGAUUUGAAGAUACGAUGUAACUAGUGUUCUAAUAAUCGUUGGGUCUUGUAAAAGAAUCUGUCAAGAGUAGUAUCCGCUGAGUAUCAUUCUGAGAAGCGUAUCUAACUACAAAUUGUAAAGAAAUUGUGUAAUGGAAUUUGAAAUAUGAUGUGAAGUUUAAGACCCGCCAGUUGGGUAAGAUGAGUAUAAGAUGAUUAAGUGCAGAGAUUGACGUAUGGUAAUCUGCCAAUCAAGAACCAGAUCGAAAGUAUCUGCCAAGGUCUGAGAGGGAAUCCAAACCCUUGAGUCGAGAAAUUCUACAAUAUCGUUGAAAGGUAAUAUUGAAUGAGACCCACUAAGUUCUUUUAAACUUAUAUGCGUCUUUUGGUAUGCAGGUUUGAGAACUGAACCAGUGCGUUAAGAGGGACGAAGUCAGGGAUGUGCCAUGGUGGUAGACUGAGGGCAAUAUUAUGCAUAUAGAGGGACAUUUAUAGAACAUGUUUUUCAAAUGAAAAAUAGUAAUACACGUUACGAAUAUGUUUGUUUUAUCAAACAUUUAUAAAGUUUUAUUCUAGUUUUGUGACAAACAAUAAAUAUAUUAUUCAAACCUAUUAUCUUAAAAAGGAUUUUAAAUAAAUAAGAGGUACAUUCAAUAAGGUUUUUCGUAGAUUGAAAAAUUUAGUUAAGUAUGUAAGUAUUGUGACAUCUUAUAUUCAGAUCCGGUAAAUGGGGUCGGAAAUAAUGUGUUACAUACUUAAUACGAACUACGAAAAGAAAAAGAAAUUUAAAUUAAAUUAUGAAUAAAAAAACUUAGAUUGAAUGUUUUUUUUUCUUUUAUCACUGAAAAAAAUAGAUUUAAAAAAAAGUAUAUAUAUACAUAUAUACAGUUGAAUAUUCAAACAUUUGUUUCCUUCCUUUUGCCUUCCUAUCAAAACAGCGUUGAAAAGGAAUUGUUUUGGUGACUACAUCUUCAAAGCUUAAAUUUAGAUGAAUCAUAAAAAGAAUUUCUUUUUCUUUUUUUGGGGUAAAAAAUCUUGAUUCUAUUAAUUAGGAUUAAACUGAAAUUUAAAUUAUUUAAUACUAAAAAAUAAAUAAUAUGAGGAUGUAUAUAUUUUUGAAAUCCAGUUAUAACUUUAUCCUCAACCAUCCAUCAUUUGACUAGUUAAUGUCCAAAAUAAAAAAAGUUAGGAAUGAUUGGGUUGCAUGUGUUGCUAUUUCACCAAGAACAAGUCAAAGGGUAUCUCAUCAUCUUUAUUAAAAACAUCAAGUUGGUAACCUAGUCUAUUUAAAUAUUUAUGUUUGUUAAUGCCUUGGUUUCAUUCCCAAAACAUAAUAUUCCAAAUUUUUUAUCAUAUAAUUCAUUGACUUAUUAAUUUAAUAAAAUUAAUGGGAUUUACCAAAUUUAUCUUAAAAAUCAUAAAUUCUAUAGGAAACUUAAAUUACUGUAUUUUAAGGGUAAACUAUAAAAAUAGUCACUUUUGUUUGUCUCAGACUCUAUUUUAGUCACUUAUGUUUGAAAUGUUACGUUUUAGUCACUUACGUUAUUUUUUUAUACUGAAUUAGUCACUUUGCCGUUAAGCUCAAUUACUUCCCUAAUGACAAUUCUAUAUGGCAGUCCAAAUGAGUUUUAAAUACCAACUUGGAUAAGAAUAGUUUUUUCAGUUAAAAAGGAAAAGAAAACUAAAAAAAAGGAGACGAACAAUUUUUCUUUUCCAGUUCAAGUUGUAAUUAAUUUAAAAUUUUCAAUUAAUUAAAAACAUAUUCUCGUCCCAGUUGGACAUCCAAAUUAGCAUUUAAAACUUAUUUGGACUGCCACAUAGGAUUGUCGUUAGGGAAAUAAUGGAGCUUAACGGCAGAGUGACCACUUCGUAACAAAAUAAUAACAUAAGUGACUAAAACGUAACAUUUCAAACAUAAAUGAUUAAAAUGUAGUCUUAGUGAAAAAAAUUGACUAUUUUUAAAUGUUAAUUAUAAGGAUUAGAAGCGGGCAUGUGUGAGCGAAUCUAAAAUCUAUUACAUGUACGACCAUGGGUAAGGGCGAGCUUGAACUAAAGAAAUGAAAAUUUUACACUGAAAUAGUUUAUAAUUGAUAUAGUAAAAGGAGUGAAACCGUGGACAAAUUACCAAAAAAAGCCCUAUUUUUUUAAAAUUUACCGAAAUGAGCCCGGUAUUUUAUUAUUUACCGGAAUGAGCCAUUUUUCCCGAAAUCGCGUCCACGUCAGCGCGAUGUCAGGGGACGUGUCAGAACAUCACGUCCACGUCAGCGCGCUUUGCUUACGUGGACACAAAUUGCGCCUACGAGGACGCGAUUUGCUGACGUGGAUGAACAGUUUAUGUUUUUUAGCUUGGAAAACUUUGAAAGGCCAUAACUUUUGGCUCGGUUGUCCGAUUGAGACGAUUUUUUUUUAUUUCGAAUAACUUUUUGAGAUGUACGCUCUGACAAACAGCCGAAGGCGGCUUGCCACAGUUUUCGUCGAAAAAGAUCAUUUUUUGCCCCUAAAUUUCAAUUUUUUCGGUUUAAAAUUGAAUUUUGAAACAUUCAAAUAAUUAUUUUCCUUAUUUAUUUGAACUAAACACCGAAUUUUUUUUAUAGAAUUGUUGUAUUAUUUUUUCUGAUUUGACACGUGUAUGGAAUAGGUCCGAUAAAUCGUUAGAACGUAAGUAAUAUAAUUAAGAUAAUAACAGUAUUUUUAUAAUAUAUCAGUUAAUUAGUUUAGCUUAAUUGAUUAAGAUGCUUGCUCUUUUCCCUUAGUACCUUGGUUUAAAUAUUGUUGGUAACAAUUUUAAAUCUUUUUCGUACUUGUUGCUAUUGAUGUAAUAUUGAUGAGUUAAUUGAUUAAAAAAAUAAAUACAAGUACAAAAAGAUUCAAAAUUUAUUUUUUCAAAAUACCAAAAAAGCCCUAUAUUUUUAAAAUUUAUCGAAAUAGGCCCGGUAUUUUAUUUUUUUGAUCGUUGGAUACUGUUCACACGCGGGCCGAAAUCGCAUCCACGUCAACGCGAGAUGUUGAUGUGGAAGGAAAUCGCGUCCUUGAGAGCGCGAUUUCCUUCCACAUCAGCAUCUCGCGCUGAUGUGGACGCGAUUUUCCGAAAAAGGACCAUUCUAGUAAAUAAUUAAAAAAUAUACCCAUUUUGAUAAUUUAAAAAAAAAAAUUUAUUGGUAAAUUACCCUGUACCGAACGAAAGAAGUCUAUCCAGAUUAGGUGAGCUCAGACUCUUUGACUUUUUCUAAUUACAUCCAUUUGGAACAGCAGAAAAGUCAUCAUAUCCCAACACAUUAUGUUUUUUAACCUUCAACUAAAACCGCUGUUCCAAGUCUCCCGCGCCCAAGCCUGUUUUAUGGAGGGCAGGGCCAAUAGUAACUAUUCCUACCCACUGUUCAAUAUAAUGAUAUAUAUAUAUAUAUUGCAUUUCUUACACUAACUAUGCAAAGAACAACAAAAUUGCCUUGUGUCUCAUAACCCUACAUAUCUUGGGCUGCCAAAUAAUACACUCCAACAACAAUAACAUCUUUUAUCGCAAUACGUCCAUCGUAUUAUAUAUUCACUUCUCUGCCUUCGACUUAACCUGCACUUGAACAUUAUCCACUAUCAAACAGUGAUAUGAAUAUAAAUCUCGCCAAGACAUUUGUUAUAAUCAACAUAUGAUCCUUAAAUGCUAUUUUCCUUACCCUUAAUCACUAUUUUCAAUAUAAUCGGAUAUUAUUAACUUAACCAAACUGCAUGCAUGCUUAAUUUCUCUGAAAUUUAAAUAUAGAGACACUAGUGCCAUAAACUUUAAGUUCACAGAGUCGAAGACAGUUAAUAACUACAAGCAUAUAAAAUCCCACCUUUUAUUGCCUGAGCAUGUUGCAGUAACAGUAAAAACACUCGAAUAGAUUCAAACUGGCAAGAGAAAUAUAAAUAACUGCACCUUCUUAGCAACGAAAAGUUCCCUCCGCGUAUAUCGAUCUGCCGCAAACAUUAUGCUGAAACUCAAACGACACUCAGCAGAAGAAUUUUCAAUCGGAGAUUAAUGAAAGGUCAUUUGAUGUUUACAUGUUGAACAAGAUGUAGGGUACAGGUGAAAAAGUUAAGUCAUUACGUUUGAUCAGGUGAUGUUAGAUGAUACAAAUGACAAGCAUGGCCCGACAAAUGCUCUUCUACUACUCCCAUCAUCUCAAUCUGCUGCUUGGGAUCCCGGAUCAUUUGUAUCUGGAAAAAAGAAAGGAACAAGUUAGAAGUCCAAAAUUUUGAAAGAACCAUAUAAUAAAGGGAAUUUAUAAUGACAAUAAAAUCAGUGGGUUGCGGUUGGCAGAUGUAUAUCAUCAUAUGUCAUUCCUAAGGGUCAAUAUCUUCCAACAUUCUCCUACCCCCCCCCCUCCCCGACCCCUAAUCAAUAAGAAAAAAGAACUCGAUAUCUCUUUCAAUCACAAUUAAGAAUAAGUGAGAACCACACGCCUGAUUCAUGUCAAAUGACACCCCAAUUUCUGAAAGCAAGAAAUAAUAGCCUUAGCAAUACCAGACGUGUCCAAUUUGCCUGCUAAAUGGGACUCCAUCACCUAAUCAAGAUCUUUGAAGAUUAGCAAUAUGCAACCAAUAGGACAAAAUACUAAGGAUGGUGCCUAAGAAAACUUAGUAGAAAUAAUAUUUAAGAAAAAGAAGGCAUUCCAAAGGACUAUCAUAUCCAAAGACCAAGACAAGAAACCGUAAACACAAGCCCAAGAAAACUUGUUACAAACAAACUCCCUAUUGUAUGUAAACACUAAUGGAUAAAUCCAUCCACAAAUGUAAAAUCCAAAAUAUGACACAUAUGUUUUGUUGUUGCUGCUCCAAGUCGUGAUAUUUCUUCAGAAUGUAUCAAACCGGCUUCUUGAUAUUGCUUCAAACAGUUGUAUUUUGCAGCCUCAAUUGUUUAUAACACUAUUGGUUAUGCCUAAUCAACCUAAUUUGACAUAUUUUUCUUUCAAGCACUUUCAAAACAAAGAACCUUAUUGAAAGGAGUACCUGUAGGUUAUAUCCAGAGAAGGCUCCAGGAAACUGCUCAGCCAUGAUCUCCAUGGCUGCAAGAAAUGCAACAACCUACAAAACCAUCAAUAUUAAGCAACCAAAAAAAGGAAAUCUAUAUUUCCAACUAUUAAAAUAGUAUUUCAACUGAUUAAGGGUUAGAUGAUCUGUUUCCCCAUUGUGGCGAGAUCACAGCAUAAACCUUUGACUCUUCAACAGUCCUAUAGAGUCGAUCCCUGUCUCCAACAGUGGUGCCCUGUUGGAACAUUGGCAGCAUGCAAAAGAAGAGAACAAUACAAAGAACAAAGGAGGAAGAAACAAAGAACAAUUUACUUGCUCACAAACGUGCAGCAAGGAAGCAAUCUGCUUUACACAAGUGAUAUGCUUACUCAUUCAAUAUGAAAACAAUACAUUUAUAGUCAAAAUACAUCACCAAAUACUACCUACUACCACUAAGUAGCCUAGUAACUUGAUAAACAUAGCUUGUACACAUAAACAAGCCACCUAAACUAGUCAUUCAACACCUAAUGUAUCAAGUUGUCAUCAACUUGUUCAUUUUCAACUAGUUUGAUUACAAUGAAACUAAAGAGAAAACCUUGCUGUUACAGCAAGCAUAAGUGCUGCAGCAUGUUUACAAGCUGCAUGCACUUCAACCAAAAAUAUCACAGCAGCAUGGUUGGCCAAUUUUCAACAUGCCCAUAACAAAAGGUACUCCAACUUUGCCAUAGAGCUCAGCAUUAUCUGUAUUUAUCAAACACCCCAAUCCUAUAAACAGUUUAAAAAGGUAAUUGAUUGAGAGAUCAAAUCAUAAAAUCAGACUUGAAUUGCAUGCAUAAAUUUAUUUAACAAGUUGUAAAUCUUUUAAUGAUAAGCUGAGAAGAAAGUAAUUCAAUCAUAGUAUGGAAUAUCACCACAGUAUCACUUCAGAUUUUGGAGACAUUAUUCCACACGCUAUCGAAAUGUUUCUCACUCAAGUUCGUUUUAGUUUCUUUAUUCAUCAAAUAUGAAAUAUGAUGUAGUUUAGUAUGCAUGUUCCUGAAUAGGUUACCAUUAACUGUGGCAGGGACGGUGUAGUCUACCACGAUCAGGUUUGGAUACUCCUGAAAGACAAGCAAGGAUGCUUUCUCUUUCAGAAGGACCAUGCACAAGAAUCUUUUUCCUGCACAGUUCAACAGUUUGUCCAGGCUACUCCUCCGCACCAAAAGACACAGGAACAAUGUGAAGGCCAGCAGAAUCUACUGCUUGGAUAACAGACUUCCCUAUUUUUCUGGUACAACCAUUUACCUGCAGCAGGAAAAGGAACAGCAAGCCAUGGGGUGAAUAUUGUUUUAGAAAAUAUACAAAAUAUUCAAUAACCAAGUUAAUGGUACAAUUUUCGAAGAUAUUUAUUUGUAAUAUUAACGUUUGAUGCAUAUUAAAAUAGGGCUUUUACUACAACCCAUAAGCUUAGAGUAAGUUUUUUUCCAUUAAGCAAGUAGCAAGUUAUUAUAAAAUAUCUCAUGUUGCGGUAAUAUAUUUUGUAAAAUAAAUUACAAUAUGUCUUUUCAGAUUACGAAGUUUUUGACUAAAUUUUUUUGUAAUGGCCAAAUAUUUUGUCUUGUUACAAAAUAAAUUACUUUAUUACAAAAAUAAAAAUCUUACAAUUAAAUUUUACACAAUUUCUUAUGUAUUUUGUAACUAGUGUUAAUACAAUUAGCAUUCAUAAUUGUAAUAUUUAUUGUAAUUACAAUAUAUAUUAUUUUAUUUACUUACAAAUUAUCUUACAAUGUAUAUCAUCCUAUGGUUUUAGGUUUAUUACAAAAACCAUUACUUCAUUACAAUAUUUACUACAACAUUUUAUGCAUUAAUAUAUUGCGUAACACCAUUACAAUAUAUUACCUGAUUAAAUAAUUUCUUACAUAGUACAUAAUUUGUUUUUGUAAUCAAACAGUUUCUACUGAGAAGAUUUGAAAAGUGGGGCGAGGCUAUCAUGUUUGUGAUCGCUUUGGUCAAUGGUGUGUCUAAUUUUCUUAGGGUUUGAUAUAGUGCUUCAAAAUGACAUAUUUAUGUGUUUUAUUUUGAUAAAUUUUUGUGCACGGUGCUAUUAAUUUUAUUGUUUAUCGUUUAAUUUCUAUGUAGGUGCAAUGUAAGUUCAAAAUAUGGAGAACAGAUAAAAAUAUGAACUCACAUGAAAAUUUUGGGCAUGAAAGACUCAAAAUAUUUUUUAGAAUUAUUUUAUUUUUAUUUAAAUAUCAUUUGUAAGGAUAGCUAUUAGGAGUUUAAUUAAGCUUGAGUUUUAUCUCUUAUAUUUUAUAUAGAUAAAUAUUUAAUUUUAUAUUUUAAGAAAUUAUGAAGGAGUAGAACACUAGGAAUUAAUUUCCAGUUUAAUUAAAAAUUGAGUUUGGAAAGAGGGCGGAACCUCCUUGUUUUGUCUUCGAUUUUGAAAAAAAGAAUAGGGUUCAACAUUGAGGGGAACCUAGUCUCUUUCCCCUUCGUCGUUCUUUAAUAUCUCAAGGCAAAAUUCAUAAUAUGUGCCCUCCUCAAGGUUUUAUCAUAUCUUGCACCAAUAUUCUUAAACUCCAAAGUGUUCACCAUUAAGGAUUUCUCAGGUCAGUUUGUUCUUCAAUGUGUUGCCUAUUUCUUAUAGUCUCAUCUAUUGCGACCUUUAAGCGCAAUUUGUAGUGGAAUGGCCUAUAUAUCAUUGUGAUAUAGGCAUUCCACUGUUGAUUCCCUCCACAAGUUGGAUCUUAAGGGAGGAGUAGCAAACAACUCUUAAGUGUAACAGCCCAAUUUUCAGUAGUGUCAGAAUAGUGAUUUGAGAUCACUAAAUCUGAUGAAAAUAUUAGAAAAAUUUAUUAAUUAAUAAUUAUAAGUUCAGCGUGAUUUUAGAAAUAUUUUUGAAUUAACGAAUUUUGUGAUUUAAAAAAAAUUAUUCGGAAAAUUGGGUCAAAAACGAGGUAUCGAGACCUCGAUAUUAUAAACUGAGCCGUAAAUAUUUUUAUAAAUAAUUACGGAGUGUCAUUAGGGUAGUAUUAAAGUUUCGUUAAGAAAUUUUAAUGUUCCGAUGGUUAAUUGAUUAAAAAGGACUAAAUUGCAACAAAGGUAAAAGUUUAAUUAUAGAUUAAAGAAAAGUUAAAAGGACUAAAUAGGUAAAUAUGCCAAGUCCCAUAAAUGAGGCGGCAUAUGCAUGAUAAAAUCUGAGAUUUUUUUUAAGUAUAUUAUUAUUUUAUUGUAAAUUAUAUUAUAUUAUUAUAUUAUAUUAUAAAUUAUAUUAUAUUAUUAUAUUUUAAAUAAACAAAAUUGUUGACAAAUGUAUGGGGUAUAUGAUGACAUGUGGACAAAUAAAAUACAUAUAUUAAUAAUUAUUACACAUUUACUUAUUAUUUAAGUAAAUAAUUUUAUAUUUUUAUUUUAUUGUUAUUAUAUUAAACUAAUGAAAUAAAAGAUAGAAAAGAGAAUAGAAACAGAAUAGCAUGGACGAAACAGAGAAGGAAAGAAGGAAAGAAAGAAAAGAAAGAAAGAAAAGAGAAAAUUGAGGUUUUGAGGUUCUAAGCUCAUUUGGUAAGUCAAUUUAAUCCAUUUUCUCUUAGUUUUGAUGUUUUUGGAAUCCUAGAGAUAAAUACUACUUGAUCUAUGUUGAUAUUUUGAAAGUUAGUAGAUUAUUAGAUGAUGUUCAUGUUGAAUAAAUUGAAGUGUUAGGGGGGUUAAAUUGAUUGAAUUUCAAGUUAGAAGUUAGUAAAUGAUUUAAUUGUAAAAUAAAGUGUAAGUUUUGAAAAGUAGGGACUAAAUUGAAAGAAUCCCGAAAUUAGGGAUUUAUGGUGAAAUUGAAGAGCUAAAUUGAGUUUGUAGUAAGAAUUAAGAGAGAAUAUGGAGUUAGAAUGGGAAAAUAAAAUUAAUAUUGAUAAGGGAUUAAAUUAGAAUUUGGGUAAAGUUUAGGUACAAAAGGAAAUAUUUUAAUAAAAUUGUGUAUUAAUGAUUUUUAAUUGUUUAAUUACGUAGCUAAUGUCGUGCAAGAGUUAUUAUCCGAGAAAGGAAAGGAGAAGGUGGACAAGGAUUGACUCGAGAGAAAUUUCGGUUAGUAUUAUCAUAAUUCAAAUCUAAUUAUUAUUAAUUAUUGUGUUUUAAUUAGAAUGUAUGGUAAAUAAAUAAAGUAAGAAAUUUGGUAUGAUAAUAUUUCUUUGAAUGGAGUAGAUUUCUAGUGAAUAUAAUUAUUGAGAUUAAGUACUGAUAUUGAACUGAAUGAAAUUAGAUUGAAUUGUGAUUAUAUGUGAGUAAUUGAGAUGAAUAUUGAAUUAAGAAAGUGAAAUUGAAAUGUGAUUAUUGAAUAGAAAUUGAAAUGGUUUGAAUUGAAUCAUUGAAUUGAACUGGAAUAUUGAAAUUGGUGAUUGAUAUGGAUUUUAUUGGAAUUGAAUUGAGAAAGUGGAAAUUGAUAUGUGAGACUGAUACUGAACUGAAUUAGGGAAUACUGGAUAUUGUUUUGAGUACCGAGUGAAUUAUGAAAAUACUGAAUAUUGUUAUGUAUAAUGCAUUGAAUUAUAAAAUUACUGAAGUAAUAAAUUACUAUAAUACUGUGAAAAUGAUUGAAAUAAGGAAUUUAUAAUUGAUACUGAACUAAGACGAAAAUUGUACUGAAAAGUGAAUUAAAUACCCUAUUAACUAGUCGGGCUAGUCGGAUAUAGUUGGCAUGCCAUAGGAUAUGGAAAAGUACGGGGUAUUUGCCGGCUUACUGAUCAGGCACGUAUGUGCCGACUACUGUUACUGUUACUGUUACCGUUACUGUUACAGAUUCAGCACUUUGUGUGUUGAAUACUGUUACUGUUACUGAUUCGAUACUUUGUGUGUCGAAUACUGUUACUGUUACCGUUACCGAUUCGGCACUUUGUGUGUCGAACACUGUUACCGUUACUGAUUAAUGUUACUGGUGUGUUUGGUUGGAAUCCGUGUAUCCGCCAAAGUCCGAGUCAAGUUAAUAGGGGUAAAUGGAUAAUUUUGAUAAUAUAAAUUUUAUUGAAUGAUCUUGAAUAUGAAUCAAAAUGAGAUAUUAAAUUGACAUAUGGAAAUAAAAUGUAUGAACUAGCGGUUCAAGAAAUAGAUAAUGAUAUAGUUCAUGAAAUGGUUUUGAUAGUAUGAGAUGAUGUAAAAUUAUAAGUAAAGAAAAGCAAAUUGAAAUAGCUAUUGUUGAGAAAUGAGAAGUGAAAAUAAAAUGACUUGAAAUAGUGAAAUAAUAUGAAAUUUUAAUACAAGUUAUUAAAACUUAUUUAUGGAUUUAAUGUACAAAUUGAGUGUUAAAAGAUCAUAAGUGUAAAUUGAUUAUAAAUGAACGAAUCGAAUUGAAAGAUAGCUAUUAUUAUCAUUGUUAUUGUUGAAACAAGUUGGUUUAAUGUAUUAAAUGUUUAUUGAAAGAUUAAUGGUAUAAAUUGUAUUAAGAAAUAGUGUAUGAGUUAAUUUGAAUACAAUUUUAUACAAGAUUUGAAUUAUUGCUUAUUGUUAUUAAUGAUCUACUUGAUUUAAAGUAUGAGAUAAUUAAUGAAUAAUUGUAGAUACAAAUUUAAUGUAUAUAAAUUAUCGAUUAAUGUUAUAAAUUUGAAUUAGGGUAAUACCACUGAGUAUUCCCAUGCUCAGCGUACGGGUUGUUUCCGUGCGCAGGUUAGUAGAAAGCCAGUGUCGCUCCAGCAUCCAAAGUAAUCCCGACUUCAGAGAAACUUUAGUGAUGUACCUUUCUUUUGAUAACGUGGCAUGUACCUAAGUAAUAUAUAUACCUAAGUAAUGUUUAUACCUAAGUGAUGUAUAGGAAUUAGUCAAUUUGAAUGUUUGUAUCUAUGAUUUUGCUAAACGAAGAUGUGUGAGUAUGUGAUAAUGUUUGGCUUUUAAAAUGGUUAAGUAUGAAUAUGUUUGGUAAUAUGUAUGUUUAGAUGAUAAAUCCUGUAUGGAAAUCAUGAAAGAGUAAAAAUUUGCAAAGAAACAGAUUUCAAGAAGCUACAGUGAUGUAACUUUGAAAAAUCACCUAGGAUAGUAUAAAAUGAAUUAGAGGGUGAAUGAUAUAUGGAAUUAAAGCUUGUUGAGUCUGUUUUCAUGGAAAAAUAACGGUUUAACAAAAGGAGUUUUAUAUUUUAAGAUAUGUGAAUUUUCGUGACACAGGGUCAGAACAGUUUUUGGUGUCCCCUGUUUUGAGUUUAGAAAAUCAUUAAAAAUUAUACAAAAAUAUUUAUGAGUUUUAUUUUACAUUCUUAGAUUCCUUAUUGAGUCUAUUUUCUGUAGAAAUAAGUGAGAACAUCAUAUGAAAAUCAUAUAGUGAGAAAAUUUAUUUUUAGUGGCAAGAGGUCAGGACAGUCAAGUAGUGAAACAGGGGAAAAUUUAACUAAUAAACUGUACUAAUUGGCUAAAUCAAAAAUUCUAAAAAUUUUAUAGUAGAAAGAUAUAUGAGUCUAGUUUCAGGGAAAAUUUGCGGAAUUAAAUUUCGAGUUCCGUAACUCAAGUUAUAAUUAAUUUAGUAACUGCUGCACGAUUGGACAGAUUUGCAGUAAAUAGUGAAAUUAAAUUUCAAACAAGUUUUUAUACUCCGAAUUAGUAAGAUAAGUUAAGUAACGCCUCGUGCUCGACUCCGACAACGGUCUCGGGUAAGGGGUGUUACAUUAAGCCUCAUUUAGGACCUCAGUUUGCAAGGCCUUCAACGGAGUGUAAUGGUGAAAAGGGGUCGAGGGAACUCUUUACAAGUGCUUUGGGCAGUAAUAAUAACGACACCCUAUUGUAGCUUCAUCUAAUCUCCACUAGGCAAACUGUCUAUUUGAACUUUUUGUUAAGCCUAACUGUGGGAUUGCCUCUAAGGAUGUUGUUGAGUUUAAAGUCAAAACCAAGGAUCAAAAACAACUAAAAUUUGUGUUGAAAGAUGAAAAACAGAAGCAAGAAUCGGAUGUUGAAGGAGAAAAGAAGUUUGACUUAUCUCAUUACUUCAUUAAGCAAAAAUAACAUGUACAUAUAUGGUUCUAUUACAUUGAAAGAAAAAAUAAACCUUGCUUGUGCAAGUAACUAACCUGUAACAUCAGCUUAAUGAUAACCUAAAACCUACUAAAAACUGCUAAGUACAUGGCUAACCUUAGCUAAUCAAAAAGUUACAAUCAAAUCAAACAUAUGUCACAUGUUACAAAAGUCAAAUGACUGAAAUACACUAUGGGUAUGUAACACCCCUUACCCGUAUCCAACGCCGGAACAGGGUUUGAGGCAUUACCAGAACACUUACACAUGUAAACCUAUUAAACCGAGUUACAAAAUUUCAUUCAAAUUUAAAACUUUCAAAAUUAUUAACAUGCUUUUAUAACUCUUCACAUUAUAUAUAUAUAAUGCAACAUUUUCUGCUAACCACACUAUCAAAUAAUGGAUUUACUCAAUCGAGCUCAAUAUCAGAUGUCAACUUAUAAUCCAACAUUUAACUUCAAUUGCACUUUCAGAUACUUUUUAAAUUAAGGAUCGUAUUACGGACUUGAGUACAUCGUCUGCCCGGUGUCACAAUUUGCUUGAAUUUUUUUUUUCACAAUGCUAUAACUCAGUAUGGUGUUCUUUAUUGAAACACCAUACUUACUUUUCACAUUUUGCCAUGGAUCCACCAUGGACUUAUCCGUCAAUUCAUCACUGAUUGCCGUACAUAUGUACUCAAUCCUGCGUGUCCAUUAAUUUGAACAAACAAUCUCAUUUUAUUCUUAUUUUUACCAUAAUUAUAAUUCAACAACAUUAUACUAAUUGAUACAUUAUACCAUUCCCACAUUAACGAUUAAUCAUAAAAGUUCAGCCAUAUGAACUUACUUUUCAUUAACUUUCCACACUCAUUUUCUAUGAACAUCACACAAGAUAUAAACAAAUCAUUCAACCAUAGUCGCGAGCUAGUGUAUUUAAACAUAACUCUUUUUGGGGCUAAUCACAUAACAAACCAUAUCAAUGCAUAACUUAUAAAUUUAACGUGGCAUGGUCUAUGUAACUACUUGGCCAAAGCCUAAGCAUGUAUACCAAAUAUGUUCACCAAAUAUACAUAUAACAUAAGCAUUAUAAGUAGGGAUAAGCACAACAUUUAUUCAUGUAUCGAGCUUACCAACAUGUUUUAAUUCAUAAACUCAUGGUCUUACUCCCUGCCAAAUCAUGUACCGAAUAAUUUAGCUUUCUUAACACAUUUAUUUGCUUUUACUAUUGCUCACAUAAGAUUUAUAGAGCAUAGAGCCUUGUAUAUAACACCGGCAUAAAGCCUGCUAGGCACCAAGCCCGAUACAUUUCACCGGCACAAAGCCUGCUAGACAUAAAGUCUGAUAUAAUUCACCGGCACAAAGCCUGCUAGGCAUAAAGCCUGAACUUACAAAAUCAGUCUUUCACAUAAUUCACAUCUAAUUUAAAUCAUUCUCGAAAUAUAAUCAAAUCACAAUAUUACAUUCGGCACUAGCUUAUAUAACUUCAAAUAAUUAAUUUCAUACAUUUUAUUGUCCUCCUCCUCCUCUCCAUUCCACAUCCUUUACGUAUAAAACAUGCUUAAAUAGUAUUAUACAUAAUUUCACUAUUCACUUAUAUUAAAAUUUAAAGCUCUCUAUUUGAAUCAGAGUCACUAAAUCAUAUUCAUCCGGAGCUACAGAGCUCCAAAUUAAGUUCCGUAAAUUUUCCCUGAAACUAGACUCAUAUAACUUCUUACCAUAAAAUUUCCAGAAUUUUUGGUUUAGCCAAUUAGUACAGUUUAUUCAUUCAAUUUACCCCUGUUUUGCUGUCCAACAGUUCUGACACUUCUUCACAACGAAUCAAUUUUCUCCUCAUAAAAAAUUCAUAUGAUGUUCUCGUUUAUUUCACUUGAAAAUAGACGUAUUAAGGAUUUCAAACAUAUAAAUUAUACUCCAUAAUUAUUUUUGUACAAUGUUUACUGAUUUUUCAAAGUUGGAAUAGGGGAUUCUGAAACUCAUUCUGACCGUGUUUCACCAAAAUUCAAAUAUCUCAUAAUUCACACUUCUUUUGCUUACUCUAUUUCUUUUAUAGAAAAAUAGACUCAUUAAUCUUUAAUUUCAUAUCUCACCCAGACUUUAAUUCAAUUUCUACUAUUUUUCGUGAUUUUUCAAAGUUAUACUAGUGCUGCUGCCCACAACUGUUUUAAGGUCAGUUUCACUCAUUCAAUAAUUAUUUGUGUUCACUUUCAUUUAUAUACAUUUACACCAAAGCAUAUUAUAUCUUGGCACAUAACAAUCAAGUGAUCAUAGACACACCUUACUUGUAAUAUUAGGGAUGUUCGGGAUAUCUCGUACACCUGGUAGGACGCCAAUGCCAUAUCCCAGAUAUGGUCUUACAUGGGAUCACAUAUCGGUGCCGAUGCCGUAAUGAAGUUGCACAAUUAGUGCUAACCAAAUUACUCUCGGUAUCGCACACUUAGUGCCCGUUAUUCAACAUCAUUAUUAUAAUUCCGCACACUUAGUGCCUAUUAUUCAACAUCAUCAUUUUAAUUUUACACACUUAGUGCCAUUCAUAUAGCCGUAGCUAUUCCAUACUCGCACACUUAGUGCUAAAUAUUGAUAAAUCACAUUCAUGUCUAUUUCUACUUUCCGAACUAAAAUACAUUCAGCUAUAUAUAUAUUUAUCAUAUUUCCAUUUCAGCAUAUAUAACUAACAUUUAUUCAGAAAUUUUAAUAUCUAAUUGCUUAUAAACUUACUUCGGAUGUCGUCGACUAAUUGAUCGGCUACUCAACUACUUUCGAUUUUCCCCGAUCUAAAUCCCAUUUCUUGUUUUCUUGAUCUUAACAUAUUCAAAUAAAUCUCAUUUUAACAUAUUUUCAUUCAAUUUAGUCUAAUAAAGCAUAAAUGGGCAAAUUACAUUUUUACCCCUAAUAUUUCGCACUUUUACAAUUUAGUCCUUAUUCCACAAAACACAAAAUAUACAAAAUUUGGCCACACUCCUUAAGGGCCGAAUCUUCCUAGUACCCAUAUAAGUCCAUACAUUUCAUUUAUUUCACCUUUGAGUCCUUCAAAAAUUUAUUUUUGUAAUUUAGCCAUAAUUACUCAAAAUCACCAAAAACUUCAACACAAAACAUAUUAAUCUUUAACAUAUCUUUCAUUUUUCAUCAACAACUAUCAAAAAGCUCAAGCACUCAUCAAUGGCAAAGCACAAAAUCAUCAUCAAUUCACAAAAUUGAAACAUGGGUUUUAAAGAACACAAAGCAACGAUAUCAAAAACGUAAAAAUUAUAAAAAACCGAACAAAAGACUAACCUUAAUCUAACUCCCAAUGGCCGAACCUUAGCCAAGCUUUUCUCUUUUUCUUCUUUCUCCAGUUUCGACAGUGGAGAAGAUGAUAUGAUAGUGGCUUCCUUUCUUUUUCUUUUUCUUUUUUUUUUAUCACAUAAUAAUAUAUUAUACCUUAUUAUAACAUAUAUAUUAUUUUAAUAAUAUAAGAAAACCAUAUACAUCACCUAAUGCCGUCCACUAACUUGGAAAAUGGCUUAAUUGCCACAUAGAACCUCCAAUUUAUAAAGACAAAAACAAUUAAGCACUUUUAUAUUUAACCCUCAAAUUUUCACUUUACGCAAUUUAGUCAUUUUCUCAAAUUAAGCAUACAACAGUAAAAUUAUUUCACGAAACUUUCAAAUAUAUAAUUUCACACAUAUUUAACACAGAAAAUAAUAUUAAAAUAUUUUUAGACUCGGAUUCGUGGUCUCGAAACCACUUUGUCCGAUUAGGGUCAAAAUUGGGCUGUUACAGGGUAUUAGCAUGUUGUAUGCAAGCUGUUGCAUUAUGGCUUGGACGCUUGCAUGCUGCUGAUAUGUUGCCAACUUUCAACACUCCUUCUUGGCUAUAAAACAGCAGACUCCAAUUUUCUUCUUCAAAUACUCGAACCUUGUGGCAGCCAAUGGCUUGGACAAAAUGUUUGCGAGCUGAACCUCCGAGCAGUAAUGGAUCAAGUUGAUUUUCUUUGACAAUUCUGCCUCCCUUACAAAAUGAUACUUAAUCUUGAAGUGUUUAGUCUUGCCAUGGAAUACAGGAUUCUUGGCAAUAGCAACAGCUGACUGAUUGUCAACCUUGAUCUAUGUUGCUUCCACUUGAUUAGCAUUCAAGUCACUUCAAAGUUUCCUAAGCCAAAUUGCUUGAUUAAUAGCAGUAGCAGCUGCAAUAUACUCUGCUUUUAUAGUGGAUUGAGCUACUGUCUGUUGCUUCUUAGAACUCCAACUAAAAACACUUGAGCCUAGAGUGAAGAAGUAGUCUGAUGUGCUCUUCAUAUCAUCAACUGAACUAGCCCAAUCACUGUCUGAAUAGCCAACCAGUUUCAGUUCUUCAGCUUUCUCGAACUUCACACCAUAGCCUAAGGUCUCUUUGACAUACCUUAAAACUCUUUUAGCAGCCUUGAAAUGAGCUAUAUUGCAGCAAUGUAUGAACCUCGAUAGAAGGCUGACUGCAUACAUGAUGUCUGGCCUUGUUGCUGUCAAAUAGAGUAGGCAAUCAACCAGACUUCUAUACCUUUUUCUCAUCAACUCGAGCAUGAUCAUUGUUGCUGGAGAGUUUUUCUCCCUGUGCCACAGGAGUGCUAGCAAGUUUGCAAUUUGUCAUGCAAAACUUGCUUAAAACCUUCAAUGCAAAUGCUUGUUGGCUUAUGAAGAUACCAUGUUCAUUCUGAUUCACCUCCAUACCAAGAACGUAGGUCAUCAAUCCUAGAUCAGUCAUCUCGAAAACAUCUUGCAUCUGCUUCUUGAAUUCUUCAAUCAGCUCACUCCUACAACCAGUAACCAAUAAGUCAUCCACAUACAGAGACACAAUCAACAAGGUUUCCUUUUCAACCUUCUUCACAUAGAGUGUAGUCUCAGUAAUUCUCUUCUCGAACCCCAGCCUAGACAAGUAUGCAUCAAUCCUGUCAUACUAGGUCCUUGGAGCCUGUUUUAGGCCAUAUAAGGUCUUCUUGAGCUUGUAGACUUUGUGCUCUUCACUAAGAACAUUGAAUCCAUCAGGUUGUUCAAAAAAGAUCUCUUCCUUGAUAAAUCCAUUCAGAAAAGCUAAUUUAACAUUCAGUUGGUGAAUUUUCCACUGCUUUUGAGCAGCCAAGGCAAAUAAUAGCCUUAUGGUGUCCAACCUUGCAACAGGUGCAAAGGUUUUAAAGAAAUCGAUGCCAUGUUGCUGAUUGUACCCCUUCACAACCAACCUAACUUUGUGCUUGUUCAGUGACCUAUCUGCAUUGUGUUUGGUCCCGAACAUCUGUUUCACACCAAUAACCUUUCUAUUUUGUGGUCUAUCAACCAGCUCCCAUUUGUCAUUUUUGUAGAUCAUCCUUAAUUCAGCCUCCAUAACUUUUUUUCUAACAACCAUCCAUUGUAGCUUCAUCAAAGUAGGAAGGCUCAACAAUGGUCAUACCACACCUCUCAUAGAUGUCCAUUAAGGUUCUAAUGCCUCUGACAGGUGCAUCAUCAAAAUCAUCCUCAGUUUCAGCUUCAAUUUCAGCAUGCUGCAGAUCAAGAUCAUGCUGGUCUUGCUCAGACAAGUUUGCAUCUGUUCCAUCCCAUUUCCAACAGCUCCCUUUAUUGAAUUUCACAUCCCUGCUCACAACAAUCCUCUUAGUAGAUGGAUAAAAAACGUCGUACCCUUUCUUCACACUGUUGUAGCCAACAAAGACUCCAGGCAUAGAUCUCUUUUCUAGCUUAGUUCAGUUGGAACUAGUAUAUAACAUAAGAAGCCAAACAACUUCAAGUGUGAGACAGCUGGUUUUUGUCCAAACCAGGCUUAAAAGGUGUUUUGCCUUUGGCUAUAUUAGUUGGCAGCCUAUUUAGCAAAUACACAGAGGUAUAUACUGCCUCAGCCUAAAAAUUGUUAGGCAUCUUGCCUUCAAACAAUAGGCACCUGGCCAUAUCGAGAAUAGUUUUGUUCUUCCUCUCACAAACAUCAUUCUGUUGUGGUGCUUAGAUUGUGGUUAAUUGGUGCUGAAUUCCAGCUUCAUCACAAAUCUUCUAGAACCUUUGAGAUACAUAUUCAGUCCCAUUAACAGAUCUUAAUGUUUUCAACUUGCAACUGGCUUAAUUAUCAGCCAAUGCCUUGAACUUGCAAAAGAAGUCAUCCACAUCUGACUUUUGUUUCAAAAAGCUCACCCAAUAGAAUCUGGUGUAAUCAUUAAUGAAUAAUGCAAAAUACCUAUUGUCAUUCAAAGAGGAGGUUUUCAUAGGUCCACAAAUAUCUGUAUGGACCAGUUAGAGCCUCUCUUAAGCUCUCCAGACUUUGUUAACAGAAAAAGGCAGUCUAGUUUGCUUGCCAAGCUGACAAACCUCACACACAUCAUUCUUAGGCUCAAUCUCAGACAUGUCUUCAACUAAACUCAUCUUGUGCAGCAAGUCAAGUGACUUAUAGUUCACAUGCACAAGUCUUUUGUACCACAAACAUGAUUCAUCAGUUGGAGCUGUAUGUGCCUUUGCUUCUAACUGUUUCACAUUCAAAGUGAAAGAUCUGUCAUGCAUAGCUACUGUCACUAGCACUUGAUCAAAAACAUCAUUGAUCACACAAGUUUUUCCUUCAAAAAUAAGGGAGUAACCCUUCUCUAACAACUGACCAACACUAAGUAGAUUCUGGUCAAUAUCAGGUACAAAAAGAACUUUUUAGAUGGUUUUGUUACUUAACUGAGUGCAAAUCAUAGUCUUGCCCUUACCUUUGGCCUUGAUGAACUCACCAUUCUCUUUGACACAAAACUGGUGUUUAGCUCCCUUAACAUGCCUUUGUCUGAAGCUAUAUGAUGAGUGCAGCCACUGUCAAUCAGUCAAUGCUUCUUGACUUUGCUCAAACUUGCAAAACAAGAGGCAGUAAAAACAUGCUCCUCUUGAGCUUGAACAUCCUCAGCAGCCUGAGCUUGAUUCUGCUACAGUGGUUAUGUUUUUGCCUUAUUCUUGUAAACAUUGCGGCUUCUACAUUGAAUGUCCGGCUUGUACCAGCAGUAUUUUUCCAAAUGAGUGGACUUCUUGCAAUGAGUGCAUGGUGGAAACUUCUUUUUGGCAGCAUCUUUUUUCCCUUUCUCUUUCUUUUCUGGCCAAAGCUUCUUGCCCUUGCAACUUGAGCUGAAGCUUGAGCUCUCUUUGCUCCUGGCCUGAAAGGCUCCUUCAGAAUGCUCCUCUAUUCUGUUUGCUCUUCUUUGCUCUUAUACAUAGAGAGCAUUUAUCAGCUUUAUCAAGGGUAUAGCUGAUAGGUCCCUCGAGUCUUCCAAAGAGGUGAUUUUUGAGUCAUACUUCUCUGGAAGAGUUGUAAUGACCUUUUCAACUAUCCUUUUGUCACUAAACUCAUCUCUAAGUAGUCUUAUGUUAUUGAAUGUGGCCAUAAUCCUGUCAGCAUACUACUUGAUGGUUUCAGACUCCUUUAUUCUCAAAUUCUCGAAGUCUAUUCUUAAGUUUAUCAACUGCUGCUGCCUGGUCUUGUCUGACCCUUGAAACUCUUCCUUGAGUCUAUCCUAGGCCUACUUUGGAGUGUCACAAGCCAUUAUCCUUGUGAAAAUAACAUCUGAAACUCUAUUUUGAAGGCAUGACAUAGCCUUAUACUUUUUGGCAUAGUCUUCAUUAUGUUGCCUGAUUUAAGCUAUGGUUGGGCUAGCUCUCAAAGGUGGUGGCUCUGUGUCUGCUAGAACAACACUCCAUAGAUCAUGAGCCUGCAAAUAUAUCUUCAUUUUCACAGCCCAAAUGUUGUAGUUCUUGCCAGCAAAGACAGGUGGUGGUGGUGGUGGU